CGCAAAGUAAGGUUAAUCUGAUGCCAAGCAGCUACUGUGUCUUGUCAGCUCACACUUGACAGCAUUUUCUUGGAAACAGUUGGUGAGAUCCUUAUCCAAUUUUGCUAUUUUAGAAGAUCCAUAAUCGUGAUACUCGGAGAAGCACGGGCGAUGUGGAUUGCAUUUGCAAAUCUAAUUGUGAAUUUGGUGUGUUAGAUAUGGAUUACACUUUCAGAAUUUGGUGUGAAUUUGGGUUAAUAUACUCGGACACAUUCUGCUUUGUAUUUUAUAAUUUCAACUGCUUGUUUUGUCAAACGAAUGUGGCCCAUGGGUUAGAAAGCUAUACGAAGAACUGGAUUUUGUAGUUGGAGCCAGAAAAGGUGAAGGUACUAAUCGUAUGCGUAUCCCGGAAAAAUAGCACAGGUUGUGGCUUGGAUACAUCUAUAACUACUGCUGUUUCACAAUAUGCAUUCGGUCUAGUAUCUAAGAAGCACAAAAAGUCGAGUAAAUGUUUAUAUAAUUGGACCGUUCUGGUUCUUAUACUAGAUAUACUUAGUCAUGUUGAGGUCUUCUUUUAUUGCAAAUAAAACACAAGCGUGCAAACGAUUUUGCUGUCUACUCUAACCACUCAAAGAAAUGGCAACAUUAAUGAGAUACCCUAGCUACCUAGAGUUAAUUUGAGCCCUAUUAGUAGCAGGGGGUACAAUAAUCAUCUCCUCUAACUACCGAAGUUGUCACUUGGUUAAUGUGCACAAUUUGAUAAAAUCAUAUAAGUUAUCACUCUAAUAUUAAGAUGGCUAGGUAUGCAAAAGGGACAAACAUUGAGAAAUGGUGAAAGUAGCAUGUUUGUCUGGCUGGUACGCUUUUGUAGGUUAAUUCUUAUAGUGGUUGUUUGAUUCAUUUGCUAUGGUUUUGGCACCCCAUGAUUUUUAACUCUAGACCUCUCCUAUGAUAGAUUCAUUUCUUACUCAACCUUUUCAACUACAAGGAAAAUAAGCUUUUGCAACCGUGCAUAUCACAACACAAGAAUAGUGGCAAAUGAUAGUAGGCAAUAUUUUCAAGUCUCGCAAUACUUAUUUUUCAGUUUUCGUUGCAGGAGAUGACCAUGUAUUGCAAUAGAAGAAUAUGCCAAUUUAUUCAAUGGAGCAUGCCCUAUAGAUAGCCAGAUGGUUAGCCCGGCACUAGCCUGAUUUGGCUCGGCUCGAUAGGCCCGGCACUAUUAGGUCCGAUGGUUUUUUCAUGCUGGGCUGAACUGGCACUGCGUGCCGAACUGCUGGCCCAGGCUCAGCACGAUGGCCUUUUUAUCGUGCCAGGCCGCGCUCCCACGGCGGCCCCCGGUGGUGGCAAGCGCGCCUCCAGGCCGCGCCCCCGCGGCUCCUGGUCGUGCCCCUCGCAGGAGCGGCGGCCAGAGUGCCUGGGCGCGAUGAUCGGCCACUAGCUCGACUACCAGCAAGGGAGGGAGGGGCGGCGACGGAGGCGUGAGGGGAGAGAGGGGCGGCCGUGGAGGCGUCAUGGGAAGGAGGGGCAGCGGUGGAGGCGUCACGGGAGAGAGGGAGGAAGGGGCAGAGGCUACGGGAUAUUAAGGAGGGGAGGAGGGUAAAGAGUUAGGGUUUUUCCGUAUAUAUAUGGACUUGUGGGUUGCUACUAGGCCGUUGGACCGCAUCGGGCCAGCCCAAAAAUCAUGCUGGGCUCGAGCUGGCCCAACAUGCCGGGGAGGCGGCCCAAGCACGGCACGGCGCAUCGUGCUGAGCCGGCCCAAGCAUUAUCCACUGUGGGCUAGGCUGGGCUUUUUCAGGCCAUGCUGCGGGCCGCCCAGCGGACCUGACCCAUUUGGCCAUCUAUAGCAUACCCGCAUAGUACUUGUCGCGGUGUGCCAGAUAUGUUUUUAUAAUCGAACAUAAAGUAAUCCAAUAGAUCUUUGGGCUUCAAUCAAGAGGAACUGAGAUUUUACAAAUAAAAAACAGGGCUUGGGAUUAAAUUGCUGCCAUUUUAUAUGUACCAUAUAUCACAAAAUUUUAAAGUGGGGAUUUAAAUAAAUUUAUACGAAUCAUCGUGACAUCAGUCAGAGGAGCACGCACGCGUGCGUAGAAUUUUAUAUAUCACAUAUUUGAUAUGCUCUCUCUUGCUUGGCUGGUCCAAGUCUAACAAAACCUGGUCCAGCAGACCCGAAGAAUCUUAUGAACCCUCGAUCUUUUGUUGACGGCAUUUGGAUUGUCAACAAUUAUUAGAGAUGAGAAUUAAUUUAAACUAGCUCUUGUUGCCAGGCCUGUGAAGCCAUAGACUCUUUAAGCUAGUCAAACACUCUUUGUAUUAAUAAAUGCCAAAUUGACGAAAAUGACAUGGGAUUAUCUUAAAAUAUAGUCAAUUUGUUUGUAAAAGGGAGACAGAGAAAUACUACCCCAUUCGUUUAUAUAUGACGCCAGCUUAAGCUGAUCACGUCGUAUAUAAAUGAACGGAGGGAGUAGCUUCAUACCGCACGACUCAAUACAAUCUUACUAUUUUUAUCAAGCAAAAAAAGUUCCCCAAGGAAUAAUCGAAACUUUGUCAGUAGUGGAUGAUGGUAAUUCUACAUCUAGAUACGUGAUAGUGACGUCUACCGUCUACGUAAAUAUAUAUAACAACUAAGCUCACGUGCGUAUGAUUUAGCACGAGGGUGAGAGAAAUGCAACCUUGAAAUAUAGAACCAGGCGAAUGCAAGAAGUCGAAGCAAAGACAGUGGCGCAUUCGAAGCUGCAGGUCUGGCGUCGUCGAUUUUGACGUGCACCAUACACUAGCGACUAAGUACCGAUUAGUUUUUAGCUCAAAAUUAGGGGUCUCCGGAAAUCUUUUAGUACCGGGUCGUAACACCAUAUGGUACUAAAAGUGACCAUUUAGUACUGGAUGGUGUUAUAACCCGGUACUAAUAGGUCUAUAACUUUUUAGUACCGGGACAUAACACCACCCGGUACUAAGGGUCACUUUUAAUAUCGAGUGGUGUUACGACUGGUAGUUAAGGUCUUUCUACGGGUUGCUUCAAAAGGCUUUCCCCAACUGGUACUAAAGGGUAUAUAUGAUCCGGUACUAAAAGAUCAUUUUUAGUACCGAUAUAGCAAUACCGGUUACUGAACCGGUACUAAAGUGGAAUUAGGAUCCGGUACUGAAGGCGAAGACGUAUGAUACGUGACUAUGUAUCUUACGUAUAAGAAGUUUGCCUUAUUGCCAAGGAAAUAGCUUUAUAUAUACUCGCGCACGCUGCCGUGAGAGGGAUCGAUCGGUCGUGACGGAGUUGUGGAACCCGGAAACCAGGUAGCAGACGAGUCGCAUGCACGGUGUGGGCCGGCUUAGCUUGGCAGACACGCAUGCAUGCGUUCUGGCUGGUGAACGCCAGACGCGUAUAGUACGGGUGCAGCUGGAAAACUGAUAAGCAUGCCAAGGCGAAGCUACCGGGGCUCCUGCAUGGAAGUUACGCACAUUCAGGCUAUUCAGCACAUGAGAGAAAGGAUUAGUUAAGGGUGCCUCGUGUUGUGUUGGGUGACUACCUCUGGCUUGCUUGCAAAGGUAUCGUAGUAUGCACACGUACUGCAAAAUUAUAUGCAUUUAUGCUACUAUAUAUACUGAAUUGCAGUUAGGUGUACAUAUGCUACUCAUUCCGUUUCAAAUUGUAGGUCGUUCUAACUAGAUACAUAUUUUUUACUAUUUAUACACCUAAAUAUAGAUUAUGAAUAAAUAGUAAAAUUUAUAUAUCUAGAAAAGCUAAAAAUACUAAUCAUGAUCGGAAGUAACGACGGAUGUUCCUGUGCUUACAUUAUCGAAACCGAAUAGGGCCGACUCUCGAUGCUACUAUGCUCUGAUACUAGUACGAGAGAAAUAAAAAAUUAUGUGCAGCUCCACACAGCAAAUCAACUAUAUGUAGCAGCAACUUGCCAAGGAGUAGUGGAGUAUCAAAUCAAUCAGAGGAGAGACGUGUUGCGGCAAAAACAAGAUAUUCAAAACCUUGGAGUAAGCAGGCGUUGAAUCGAAGGUAGAACGGUGGACGAAGAAGCAGCAGCAGCCGGCCGCUUUCAUUUUCGCAAGUGGCACGUACGACAGUUCUACCGUGCACACAACAGUAGCGGCUGCAGCAUAUAUACAUGCACUCAUCAUGUAUACAUGUUCAGCAAUUCGUCUUCAGCUUCGUUUCAAAAAUUCGUCUUCAGCUAAUUUAAAGACCGGCUGGUGCGUGAGCGAGAUAUCGCCAUCCGAUCGACAGCAACCCCUCAGCGCUGCUUGCACACGCACAUUUCUUUCGAUUCGGGGACAGAUUUUAUCCAAGUCGUUUGAUACAUUCAAUUCAAACCCUAGCUCUAGCUUUGACGUGAAUUCAAGGGCAGGGGCAGGAAAUAAAAAGGACAGCCUCGUCCUGGGCUCCUGCAGGCAUUCAGAGCACAUAGACAAUGCAAAUAAACAAGCUAAGCCCUGGGCCAGGCUAACUAAACCCCUCCUGACCCUCUCUCCUGUCUUGAGAGCCGGGGCAUGAAAGGAGUAGUGCCAGUGAAGGAAAGCUACUUGCUUGGCCAUCGGAGGCCCGGCAAUUCCCUCGGGAUCAAUUUACUAACGGUUAACCAUAUGGAAUUAACCGAAAUGCCCGGCCUAUAUUCUAUUGCGAUCCACAUGCGUGCGUGCGUGCAAUGGAGCAUAUAUGUAUAGUCCGCACGCACACAUAUUCCUUGUUCCUCUGAAUCUCUGAUGUCUUCUCUACUCAAUUCGGGCCGACCCAGGAGCAACCCGGAGUUGUUUAAUUGCAAAACUGGCUGGGGAUUAGCGAGGAGAACUAGCUAGCUAGGGACGACGAGACGAGCUGAGACUGAGAGAGAGAGAGAGAGAGCAGUUUGUUGCUUGACGCUGUUGCCGCUGUCCCCCUCCCGUCCCCGCCGGCCCGCCCCUGCUGCACAUGAUCCCAUCCACGAUCAUGCCGUGCGCCCAAAGCAUGCGUCCCCCCGUCUACUUGCUCUUGCGCUACGCGGCUCGAUCGUCCGAAUAUUCGCUGACAGGUGGGGUCCGCACGCGCAGCAUGUCUGGUUUGGCACGUGCACCGGAUAGAUAGACUUCCAUCCCAAAUUAUUAUUACAGACAUACUAUAUAUCUAUAUGCGUAUCAAAAGUUAUGUAUCUAGAGAGGCAAAACGAAUAUAAUUUGGGAUGGAGGGAGUCCAUUCCAAAUAUGUAGGUCGUUUUGACUUUUCUAGGUUCGUAUAGAUAUUAUUAUGCAUCUAGAUAUACAUAAAAAAGUAUACAAAGAUGCAUAAUAAUAUCUAUGAAUGUAAAAAAGCUAAAACAAUAUACAAUUUGGAACGGAGAAAGUACUCCCUCAGUUCCAAAUUAUAGGUCGUUUUGGCUUUUUUCUAGAUACAUAGAUACUAUUAUACAUCUAGACAUAGGGUAUAUCUAAGUGCAUAACAAAGUCUAUGAAUCUAAUAAAAUUAAAACGACCUAUAAUUUAGGACGAAGGGAAUAGCAAAUAGUGUCGUACGUCUAAGACGGUUUUGAAACUCCGUUGGGGGUCCAAAGAUGCACGGCCCCUUGGAAAAUAAAAUGCAUGCAUGCCCCGCGACGCUUUCUUGCCGUUGUUGUGUGAAGUUAACCAACUCGGCCAUGUGCUGAAACCACUUGGAAGAGAUAGGGUUGUUCCUUUGAAGACUGCCGUCCUGCCUUCACGUGAGGAUAUAAAUGUAUAGAGCCCAAAACCAGCUGUCACUCCACGAAUUAUCAUGAACUUGGUGCAUGGAACUGCAGAGCUAUCCUUUCAUCAUGAAACCAAUUUGCGUAUAAAGCAUUAUUUCUUUCUUUUUUCUCAGAAACACGACAAGAUGAUUGCCGCGUUAUAUUAUUAUAAUAUAGAAAUAAAGCAAAGAGCAAACAAGAUAAACCAAAAGAGAAACGAUCGACGACCGGGAAGAUGUGGAGAGGUCUAGAGAACAUAACACCAACAUGAAGGAAGGAAAAAGGCCACUAGCAGUACGAUAUCCACCAGAGGAAAAGAAGACCGGGCUCUCCGUAGCGCAAUGAAAAAACGGAGCCAAGGCGAAAAUACAACAGCAUAUGUAAACCGUGUCUCGACCGGCGAUCAAACAAAAUGAGCCUCAGUGUUAAUUCUUUUUCUUAGGAUCCGAAUAGAGAACUAUAAGGCCAAAAAAUGCCAGAUAAAAUCGUGACUUUUUCUGAUUUAAACGGAAUCGGCUCGAAUUCGAGAGUCACUCUUCCUCACCCCUACUACAAUCAGAUUUGCUUUGUAACGUUUAGGUAAGCAACUUGGUACCCUGGUCGACUGACCAGGAGGCACAUAUUCUCGCCUCUCUUUUUCUACCGUGUUCUCCUUUUCCUUUCAGUCACCAAAGAAACAGCCAAGCAGCUAAGCAUCAACGAGAGCCGACAUGAUCUCAGAGAAAAAGAAAAGAGGACUCUAUGGUAAAAGGCCCAACACGCCCUCACACGCUACUGCAAGCACAAGCUGAGCCCAGAUAAACAGGACGCAUGUGAGGGCCCGCAUGGACGUCCCCCAUACAUGUCAUGGCCCACACCAGCUGGACGACAGGAGCCCGCCGAGAGCAAAGGCAAAUUCCAAGUUUGCAGUCUACGAAAGAUUCAGACCACACGCAUCUGCCGAGCUGGUUCAGAUAAACUCAAUCCAAAGUUUACAACAGCAACAAGACGAGACUGAUCGAGUUGCUUUCGACGACAUGCAUGGAACAAGGAACUCCGUACCUAACACCAACUGCGAGUCCGUUGGCAAUUGCAUUGUGCAUGGCCUGAUCUUCAUCUCAUCACUGCUCAUCCAAGGACUAGCUAGCAACAGAUGAUGAUGAACCUAGCACACGCAAAGGUAAAACCUGAUGUCAAGCAGCUAUGAGCUAUUGCAUGCGUACUACUCUCCUGUCACCUCGCACUUGACAGCGUCUUCUUCUUCGUCCUCUCUUUUCUUGGCAACAGUUGGUGAGAUACUUAUCCAUAUUUUUUUUUGCCAAUAUUAGCAUCAGAAGCUCCGAUCCCUAAUCGCGAUACUCGGAUAAGCUCGGCCGAUGUGGAUUGCAUUUGCAGAUAUCAUUACGGGAGUUUGGUGUGUGGUAGAUGGACUGCACUAGCUGGCGAUAUCAUGCUUGCGUUGGCGUUGCCUUAAUCCGCGGCUUGAUUGGGCGCACAACACUUUGGCUCGUAUUUUAGAGUAUCAAAAGCUUGUUUUUGUCAAGCUAAUGUGGCCCAUGGCUUGGAAAAGUUGUACGCGGAUUCGGGGUUAGUUGGAGCCUUGCAGGAACAAAAGGGGCCAACCGAUCAAUCAUGUAUGCAUCUGGAUCCAUCUUCUUGCAUCGUAUCAGCAAAAGCUUGACGACGCGCGUCGAAUUGAAAGGGUCAUCUGUUGCAGCAAAAGUAGUAAUUAGAAGAAAAAAAAGAAGAAGGAUAGGGUUAAGUGAAGUGGUCAUCAAAGGAGCUAUCUAUUAGCUAAUGGCCUAGAUUGUUGUAUUAGAAAAUGGUGAUGUGGAAGUGCACAUCAUUUUCUUUCACACCUUGGUUAUCAUGGAUCCAAGAUUUGAGAUGGUGGCGCGCCAAAAAUAUCUGCCGCGUCCUGUGGGAGCUACCGCGGCGGGUUAAUUUAUAUUUUUGGCUGCGGAAGUUGUUUAUGUAGUGUCAAAUUAAAAUUCUGAACAUGGCGAAUUCUAAUGUGGAAUAUUAAAAGAUGGACCUCAAUAAACUCAGUUAAUUUUUGAAUGUUAAACCUUUUAUAUUACUGACUACUGCUGCUGUAAAUUUCAAAUAAAUUCAGGACAACUCUUUAAUUGCCACGGCCCACGUGCACCACUUUGUUAUACUUUUUGCACCAUUAGUGUACGAAAACUACUUAAAUUGCUAGGAGAACUUGUUUUUGAGAUGUUUCUGGUGUUAUCCCUCGGCAAAAAAUGUGAGAGUCAGCGCGAGUUAAACUCGCUAACACACUAAGAACAUGGAAUAAGAUAAACACAUAAAUACAGCUUAUAAACAUAUAAUAACCUAAGAUAAAUCCUUCACAAAAGCCCCACCCCAACCUCAAAUCUAGACGAAACUUGAAAGCGUUUUGGACUACUAAUUGUGUUGUCUGCCACUAAAAGGAAGCAACUAACACCAAUCAGUUAAGAACAAGGUUGUGUGUGGUUCUAAGGUUAUUGGAAAAGAAAAAGUCACAUGGGCUGAGAGACUGUUCUGAAUGGACAGGCGGCCUAUGUAGUUUUGUGGACUGCAGCUUUUAUUAAUGGGCUGAUAGCCUAAAGGAUGUGAUUUAGCGGGCCUAAUGUGUGGAACUAGAAAUAGAUCUGGCCUGCAAAAUUAUCAGCCCACUCAUUUAGGACUAAUCCGAGACCCAAUCCAUUAUCGACAGACGAGACAGCCCAGCUCGAUCCGAACACAACCGCCUCUCUCAUCAGUAUCAAGCCGUAUAAUCUCUCGGUAUCAAACUCGCCUGCCGGAUCCCCUGAAAACCCCCAAAUUCUUCUUCGAUUUUUUCCCCCAAACGAGAGUCAAGUCGAGACGCCUCUCUCCCCUCCGCAGCCGCAGCCAUGGCGUCCGCCGAAACCCUAGCCCGCUCCCCCUCGCGCGAGCCCUCCUCCGACCCUCCCCGCGCCGCGUCGUCGGAGCCCCCGCGCGACCCGUCCUCCGAGCCCCACGGCAACGGCGAUGGCUCCGGCGCGGGCGCCGGGGACUCCUCCUCCCGCCGCCGCCGCCGCAGCCGCUGGGAGCAGUCCAGCGACGACCCCGCCGCCAACAACUCCGGCGGCGAGGGCGGGGCCGGGGGGCGGAAGCGCAAGACGCGCUGGGCCGAGGAGGAGCCGCGCCCGGCCAUCGCGCUCCCGGACUUCAUGAAGGACUUCGCCGCCGAGAUGGACCCCGAGGUGCACGCCCUCAACGCGCGCCUCCUCGAGAUCUCGCGCCUGCUGCAGUCGGGCCUCCCGCUCGACGACCGCCCGGAGGGCGCGCGCUCGCCGUCUCCCGAGCCCGUCUACGACAACCUCGGCAUCCGCAUCAACACCCGCGAGUACCGCGCCCGGGAGCGCCUCAACCGCGAGAGGCAGGAGAUCAUCUCCCAGCUUAUCCGCCGCAACCCCGCCUUCAAGCCCCCCUCCGACUACCGCCCGCCCAAGCUUCAGAAGAAGCUCUACAUCCCCAUGAAGGAGUACCCAGGGUACAAUUUCAUCGGGCUUAUCAUCGGCCCGCGCGGCAACACGCAGAAGCGGAUGGAGAAGGAGACCGGUGCCAAGAUUGUCAUCAGGGGGAAGGGGAGCGUCAAGGAAGGGAAGCUGUUGCAGAAGAGGGAUCUCAAGCCGGAUCCCAGCGAGAAUGAGGACCUCCAUGUGCUUGUUGAGGCAGAGACUCAGGAGGCACUGGAUGCGGCUGCUGGGAUGGUGGAGAAGCUGCUAACCCCGGUGGAUGAGGUGCUGAACGAGCACAAGAGGCAGCAGCUUCGGGAGCUUGCCGCGCUCAAUGGGACAAUUAGGGAUGAUGAGUUCUGUAGGACAUGUGGGGAGCCUGGUCACCGGCAGUAUGCUUGCCCCAAUAAGAUGAACACGUUUAAGAGUGAUGUGCAGUGCAAGAUUUGUGGUGAUGGUGGGCACCCGACAAUUGAUUGUCCGGUCAAGGGCACGUCUGGGAAGAAGAUGGAUGAUGAAUACCAGAACUUCCUGGCUGAGCUUGGUGGUGGGAGUGCACCUGAGUCCAUGACAAAAUCUGGUGGUCCCAUGUUGGCUCUUACAGGAAGCGGUGGCAGUGGUGGCGCUUCUGCUGGUAGUGGGAGUAACCCGCCUUGGUCUGCUGGUGGUGGUGCGGCUGCCAUUGGGGCCAAUGGUAUCAAGAAAGACUACGACGAGACAAAUCUGUAUAUUGGUUACUUGCCACCUACAAUGGAUGAUGCAGGAUUGAUCAGUCUGUUUUCACAAUUUGGGGAUAUUGUCAUGGCUAAGGUGAUCAAGGAUCGAAACACUGGGCAUAGCAAAGGAUAUGGAUUUGUGAAGUAUUCAGAUGUCUCACAGGCUAAUGCAGCGAUUGCUGCAAUGAAUGGUCACCAUUUUGAAGGCAGAGUUAUUGCCGUUAGAGUUGCCGGCAAGCCUCCACAGCCGGCACCUGCAGUGUCAGCACCACCGUCAUAUCCUCCUACAGAUCCUGCUUCUGGUGGCUAUUCUUCCCAAUCCUACAUGGGGGCACCACCUCCUCCUCCACCAGGGAGUUACACUCCAGUUCCAUGGGGGCACCCACCACCAUAUGCUUCGUAUCCUCCGCCGCCACCAGGCUCUAGCGUCUACAAUCCGGCACCCCCUGCACCAGGUCAGACGGCCCCACCUCCAUAUGGUGUGCAGUAUCCUCCUCCACCACCAUCCCCAGCAGCUCCGAUCCCUCCACCAGGCACUGCUGCAUCAAGUGAUGGAGCUCAGAAUUAUCCCCCUGGUGUAACACCACCGAGUUCUGGUGCACCCACUCACCCUGCCCCAGCUCCAGUAUAUGCAUCCUCCGGCGCACCAAAUGCACCACCAAUGUACCCUCCACCACCUUAUAGUUACUCCACAUACUAUCCUACAUAUCAGCCACCGCCUCCUCCGCCACCAGCUAGUGUCGAUCCCUCUCAGAGUAUUGCAACGGCACCUUGGGCCACCCACAAUGCAGUGCCACCACCGCCACCACCUUUGUCCUCCACCACCGACCAGCCAGCUUCCUAUGGUGCUGAUGCGGAGUAUGAUAAGUUUAUGUCAGAAAUGAAGUGAUAUGAGCCAAGCUUGGGUGAUUCUUCCAACAAAGGGCAAAAGGUAACUUAACAUGACCUUCUUCUAUUAGUUGCACAAGUUAUUUCAAGUUGUUCAUUAUCCAAUGUUUGGUUCGAAUGUGCUUGCACUGCAAAAAUUCCUGGAGUCACUACAUGGUGUGAACUAAUUAAGCACCGUGAAGUCAUGCAAUAUUUCUACUUGUUUAGUAAGGAUAUUUUUUAAGAUGUAGGUUAACCAUAUUGCCCUGAUGUUAGAAUGUGGCUAGCACUAACAUGCUCACUAGGAUGGUAAGGAAGUUGGUAAAACUCUUUGCAAGGCAAUAUUGAGUUUUGAUAAGAUAUGAUAUUCUCAGAUUCUUUUUUCAAUCGAGAAAGGAAUUCCACCUGGAUAUUUUUUGUAGGAUAUGAUACAAUGCACUUUCUUAUGCACUUCAGUAUAUAAUAAAGAAUUUCUCAAUAGAUUAUAUGCUUGCUUUAUGCUUUUCCCCUCUGUUUCCAUGUGCAGUGGUUUACUAACUAGACCUCACCUUUUCUAUGUUGUCUCAACUUUUUUGACAGGCUUGAUCUUUCUUGGAGCUUAUACCAACCUGAUUUAUUUCUUGUUGGAAGUUUGGGACUCACAUCUUAACCUUGCUGUGUGCUGUUGUGACCUUUGCAGAGGUUGCAUGCUUAAGAAAGCAUGAAGCAUUACUGGCUCAGCAGGCAUCGGAAUAUUUGCUAUCUCCUUCUGGAACUGUUUUAAGGAACCUUUUACUAAUGCUUUUGUUAUGAUAUUUAUUGUCAUUAUUUGAGAUUAUCAUGUGAUGUCACUUAAAGCUCCAUUGUUCUGUGACCCUUAUAAGUGUUAUUCUCACUUUAUUGUUCACAUGUUCUUCCCCUUGAUUUGGUAAGUGCUAGCAGUCCUCAUCAUCAGAAGCAGAAAGAUUGCUGCCCCUUGCUGGUUGGUAUGACUUUGAAAUGCAUGUUUGGCAUCUGAUGAAUAUGUCAAGCUUCCUAUCUUACGUUUUUGGCUAAGUUGUUUGGCAGUUUUCGACUUUUUGUGACAGAUUGGCACAGGCAGUCAGAGUUUAUAGCGCUUGAUGAAUCUCAGGUAUAAUGGAGAUGUUGUGAAUUGUUCUGUGGAACCUAACGCUUUAAAUUUGGUUUCUCCUUUACAUUUCCUACUGACACACAGUAACGAGUUUCUCACUGUUGGUAGUUGAUGUGUGCAUUAGGCAUCAUACCAUGCUGGAAAUCUACGGCGCAGAACUUACAGAUAUAUAUUUUAUAUUGCUAAUAUUCUUAACAUUGUUGGAAUUUUUGUUUGCGGUUCAAGUAGGACAUGCCGGCAUGCAGGAUGUAGUCUGGAGUCUAUGCUCAAGAUGCAUGCUUCAAAAUGAUAUCCAUGGGCUCAUGUGAAGGUUUGGAAGGUAGUUAGCAUAGAUUAGGUUUUUCUAGAUGUAUUGGAAGGAAAGUAGGACAUUAUCAUAUCCUUGUCCCAGUGAAAGGAUGCAAUAGUCAGUCGUCACAACCAGCAUUAGCUACCUUUAUAUCAUGUUGCUGUUACACCAUCUACCUGGCAUUGCCUCCAUAGUUUUGUAGGUGUGUUAUCUGCUCUAUUUCCUGUCUUUAAAGUCUUCUUUUCCAUUGUGCUGUAGAUGGAAAGAUGUAAGGAUUAGUGGUUCCAGUUUUUUUUUCUUUGUUACCUUUCUCCUUUGCUUUGUCCUUUUAAGGUGAGCCAAUCUAAUUUUAGAUGGUGGUUUUACUGCGAGUAGUGUAUUUACUUUUUGGUGAUGGAUGUUUCUUCAAGAUUGUGAUGUCAGCUGGGACAGAACCUCAUAGUUGUUGCUCCAAUGGUAUUCUUAUAGAUAUUGCCUGCACAUGCAGUUUGAUGUGAUCUUGAAUCUGACAUUAUCCACCUCAAUUUGCACUACAACUUUCAUAUAGGCUUUCAUCUGUUGUUCGCUUAGAUUGGACUAAUAGUUCAUAUUGGGAUUCUUUUGAACAAGUAUCAGUCUGUAGCUGUUAACUUCUAGUUAACUCGAAAUAAUAUGGAAUAAUUGAUAUCUUGUGGCGUCUGAUUUCUUUGUUUAACAAUGUGUGUCCCACUAUUUUCAGAAUGGGACAGGUAGCUUAGUAGUAAGAAGGAAUCGAUCUAGCCAUCUAGGUGUGCUAUGUGGUCUUUUUUUUUCUUGGUGCGUGAUACGUGGUGCUUUGUAACUGUAGAGAACCAUUGUAGAUUGUUUUGAGUUUUGACGCAUUGUUUAGUUUCAUGAUGUUGGUAUGUAUAUGAUGCUAAUGAUCUUUCAGGCUUGACACAGAGAUUGAUUUGUGUAUUUUACUUGGCAUUGAUUGAUUUAUCCAUCUGUAUUGCUAGCCAAGAUUUCAGGCAUGACUGUCAAUCUGCCAUACUGAAAGACGUCCACUCUGAUGUCUUGUGCAUGUCCGUUUGACUUGGUGGUAUUCAUAUAUUAGUGUUAUUUGUUUGUUUACUUUAUCAGUGUUCUUUUGUUUGGUUUGAUUUGCGACUGGGUAUAGCAUUAGUGUGCCAUUUAUUUAGCAGGGCUGUCUGGAGUUGAUGUUUGCUGUGUGGCUAUUGUUUGCUUGUAGAAAUCUGUAUUAUUUCGUAUGAUUAUUUUAUUUUAUUGAAUACCGUGCAAGUUGGUUGUAUUUGUGUGAAUGUGUGAAGAAAUAAUUUAGUUCAUACCAGUGGGCGUUAAUAUUAGUUGAAAAAGCAUAUGCUGAAUGAGUCAUGUGUGGGACAAUGUCUCCGAUACCUAUGAGGUCAAGCAUUUUCGGCAACCUUCCUCUUGAUUUCACCUGAACAUGCCAAGGUAUAGUGAAGUGGAUAUGGGUGCUGCUGCUUUUGACACUGCACUAAUGGAACUGUGUAAAUCCACUGGGCAAUGGAGUGUAUACAGUACAUACAUUAUUUGAAGGUUGCGUUGCUGCCUCUUAGUGAUGCCUUGCGUCUAAUUGUGUCUUUCAAAGACAUCUGUUGAUCUUCCAGUAUACUGAUUGCUCCAUCAGUCCAGAUCCCCAUCCUUCUCUAAACUUCUUUUGCAAAAGGGCUGAGGGCAAAUUUGUACUGCCGUUUUGGGUUCUUGGUCACAUAAGGGGCAAGCACUGCCAGUUUUUCAGAGAUUCUCAACUGUCACUGUUAGAUUUUUCAGAAUAAAAUGGAACAAUUGAAGUCUUGUGGUCUCCGAUUUCUUUCUUUAACAAUGUGUGUCCCACUAUUUUCAGAAUUGGAAAGAUAGCGUAGCAGUAAGAAGGAAUCAAUCUAGCCAUUUAGGUGUGCUAUGUGGUCUUUUUCUUCUUGGUGUUUUAUAUGUGAUGCUUUGUAACUGUAGAGAACCAUGGUAGAUUAUUUUGAUGCACGUGCAUUGUUGUGUUUCGCGACUUUGCUAUGUAUAUGAUGCUAAUGAAUUUCAGGCUUGACGCAGAUUGAUUUUAGUGUAUUUUACUUGGCGUUGAUUUAUUCAUCCAUCUGUGCUAGCCAGGAUUUCAGGCAUGACUGCCAUUCUGCCAUGCUGAAAGAUGCCACUCUUAUGUGGCAGAUGAGAUGUCUUAUGCAUGUCUGUUUGAUUUGGUGGCAUCCAUGUUUUAGUGCCUAUUUUUUUAUUUAGUUUAGCAGUGUUCUUUUGUUUGGUUUAGUUUGCAACUGGGUAUAGCAUUAGUGUGCGAUUAAUUUAGCAGGGCUUGUCUGGAGUUGAUGCUUGCUGUGUGAUUAUCGUUUUGCUUGUUGAAAUCUGUAUUAUUUUGUAUGCAUAUUUUAUUUUAUUGAUUCCAUGUUGUGUGUUAUUUGUAUUGAUAAAUUGUAAUCUGUUAAUGACGAAAGGCAAAAGUACGGAAAAGUUUGUGUUUGGGAUGUGUUUGGUUUAGUCGCUUAGGCUAUCUGUGUGAAUGAUAUGUACUGUGCAAGACUGCAAGUUGGUUGUAUUUGUGUGGACUUGGGUGAAAAAGGAUAUGAGGAAUGAGUCAUGACUGGGAAAAUGUCUGAUACCUAAGGUUCAGCAUUUUCCGCGUCCGUCCUCUUGAUAACGACCUGGGUUCAACAUGCCAUUGCAUACCUGGGCUCAACAUUCCAUUGUAUAGUCAAGUGGAUGUGGGAACUGUGUAAGUCCAUGGGGCCAUGGAGUUUUUACGUGUCCUGUUACCUUCGAUUUACACAGGAAUAUCAAUUAGACAAAGGCAUCACUAAAGCGACGUCUUGCGUCUAAUUGUCUUUCAAAGACAUCAAUUGAUCUUCCAGUAUGCUGAUUGCAAAAUGACAGUGAGGGCAAAUUUGUUGUGUUCUUUUGCAGUAGGACAGGUGGGGCAAAUUUAUGCUGCCGUUUUGGGUUGGUGGUCACAGAAGGGGCAAGUUCUGGAAUACACUGCCAAUAAAUCAGAGUUUCUCCACUCUCACUGUUAGAUUAUUUUUGCUGUACUACUGAAGUAACCAAAGAUCGAACGAGUCCCCAUUCCCAUGGCUUGCCAGCGGAUCAACUGUGCCUUGGAGGUUGGAACUGUAAACAGAUUCCGUCGUAUGUGCUCAUCUCUUGUCCAGCACUAAACAAUUUCAUCCGCUCAGCCCACCAACGGUACUACAGUGCGUUCCGCACUACAUCAUCAAGCUGAACGAAUUGGACCUUUCCAUCCUCCACGGGCCUCUGUUCCAAUUGUGAUUCUUUUCUGGUCUCCAUUGAGGUAGGAGCUGGAGGCACUCUACGGGGUCGAAAUCGCAACUCCUGCGAAAUCGCAUUCUCUACCCCACUCCACCGCAAGAUCCUUCUAGAAAAAAUCUUCCAGAAAAAUCUGGUAAGACCGAAAGCGUCUCCGUUUCCAUUAUCGAUGCUUCUAGAAAGGUCACUAGCCAAGAACGAGCACUCCUUUUUUUGCUAAAAGAAAAGGCCACCAAAGAUCGAACGAGUCCCCAUUCCCAUGGCGGAAGAGAAAAAGUCUUGACGCAUGAUCUGUAACCGGCCUGACUGCCAGUGGCAGUCCAUUUCAUCCUCCUUUCCUUCCGAUACGUUGCCUGCUGGUCCAGCUUCCCCCACAUUGGACUACCUGCUCCCUCGGGUGCUCUCGUAGUCUUCUUCCUCGGGUGUUCUUUCGCUAACGGAGAAAAACGAUGCAACCGUAGCGAGAGGGUGACGGUCUGCAUCUGAGCCCUUGUGACGGAGACCAGCCCAACACGCCCCGGUUCCCUCUUGACCGUGUCACGUCAGUCGAUUCGCCCAAAGCUUUGACUGGCAAAAUACUACUGGCGUUCACACAACGAUUCUUUGCUCCAGUGUACGCGCGCGCACACAGGCUUGUGCUACUAUUUUGGUUUGGUGAUACAAAGCACGUGAAAGGUAGCGUCCAGGGUAUGUUUGUACAAAUAAACAGAGAUAAAGUGGGGACACGGUCCAUGGAAAUGCAAGGGAAAUCGAGCCAAAGUCCUUGUAUGUGAGUUGAUAAAAAACAAUUUAGUGGUUUCAAUAAAGUGAUUUAAAUAUCUCGAUUAGCACAACUCGUGUGGCAAUUUCCUAAGCUAAAUCAGAUGUACGUUUAAAAUUAAAUGGUUCAAAUAUCUAUUUUUAUUCUAAUUUUUAAAUAAAAUGGAUUCAUUUUCUCGGUCCAUAAGAAAAAAAAUGUAUACCUGAUGCCAACAAGAGGUCAAAGCAGAAAGGAUUUGAGCUUCGAACACAAUCUCAUAUGACCCCAACUACACCUCAAAAAAACUUUGAGCUAUGUCAACAGCAAGAGCGAAGGUAUAUAAUAUAAAUUUCCUGUCUCUGUGUGUGUGCGGGGGUGGGAGGGAGGGGGGGUGUUUGCAGGUGCACCACAAAUUCAGUGAUUAGGAUAGAAUUUCACUAUAUAUGCACCCUCCACAGCUAGGGUUCUGGGAUUCGAAAUAUGAAACAUAUUAGGUACCACCGAAAUGGGUGAAUUCGGACCAAGGUUUGGUUGUUGGUUGUUCAACUGGUCGACAAAUUCAUUUUAAAUAAAAAUUUACUAUAAUUUGAUGGAAAUUUAGGUAUUAAGCACUUCUAAAGAAGAUGGUGGGGAGAACUACGAAGGUAUGGUGAGGAGUUCAAGAGGAAGAAAGUGAAAGCAUGAUGUUUCUACGUUCAUUAGCUGUUACAAAGUGAGAAAGGCACAAGGAAGAUGUAUAAUUAAGAUUUGUUCACAUCUUUAUAGCUACGCUACGGAGUAUGUGGACUUGUAUGGAUCUUAACAAUGGUAGAAAAAUUCAAUUUCGGCUGAGUUUUUUUUGGACCCAUCCAGUUUUGUUUCGAUACUCACUGAAAUUUUUCCCAAAAUGGACCGAAUCCUAGAACCUUGGCUAUGUCAUUGUCUAAUUUGUUCUAGCUUCGUCAUUGCCUAGUGACCGGAUAAUGUUAAUGCUAGAGUUUUCAAUAUCAAUGAUAUCAUAGAGUUGAGGAAUCAGUGGCGGAGCUAGGAUCAAUGUUUAAGGUUGGGGGUGGGGGGGGGGGGGGGGUUGGGGGGGGGGGUUGCAAUAACGCGUACACAUAUGCUAUAGCAAUUAGUUACUAAUUGAAAAAUUGCAAAUCAUAUGAACUGCAACGACAUAGGCCAAGAUGCUUGAGGUCAGUUAUUUGCGUUUGUUCCUCCCCAAUUGUCAAUUUGACCAACGCCAAUGUGUGUGCUACUUAUUCAAAUUUUAUUAGUUCUAUGUGCCAUAUUUCAUGUUUGCAUUGAAAAAUACUCCCUCCGUAUACAAAUUUGAAGUCGUUCUGGGCGACACUUCAUCGAUGCGAAAGGAAGUCGUUCUGGCUUGAGGGCCGGUUUUUGACGCGUUUGCCCCUGGCGACGCUUUGUUCUGCGCGUCCGCUGGUUCUCCGUUCGAUGCCUAGCACGCUCACCGCCCGCUUCAUUAAUAGUCCAGCCCAUGCAAUUUUUCCACAGACCCAUGCAAAAUCGUGUUAAAGUAAAAAAAACGCCGGCCAAGGGAGUCAAAUCCUGCCCGCAAGUCUCAAGUCCCACCCACCUGACCAGUCCAGCUACGAAUCGUUCUCAUCUAGGAGUCACCCACAGACGUAUUUAAUAAGGGCAAACAUGGGAAAAUACCACUUAAUUAAUGACUCCUUGGUAAGCACAAUCAUGUCCUAAACAACUUUUAUUUCCUAUAUGGAGGGAGUAUGAUGACAUCAAGUUUAGCUGCGUCAAAUUUGCAUCCAUCUGAUCGAACACGACCUGCCCUUUGCACAAAAAUCCAUUCACCUAGAACUCUUUCAUACUACCUUGUCAGUUUGGCGCUAGCAAAAUCAAACUACACAAGAACAUGAUGCACAAAAAUAUCAUGCGGUCAAUCGAUUAGCCUUCAAUUGCUCGUGACAUCCAUGCGGGAAGGGGAGACCAUGACCCACGUCGGCAAGCAGUAGCUCCGCCAGUGUGAGGAAUAAUAAGCUGGAGAGGGGGAAGGAGGAGGGAGGGAGCAUGUUAGGAAAGUGGAUUUAUCAAGGACAAAUCCUAAAAUCCGAACUUAAGUUAGGAAAGCUUCCCGUCGGCAUGUUUCACACAAUUCGCAAACUGAGACUGUAGGUAAAACCCAAACAAAAAGGUUUUGACUAGACUUUCUGAAAUGUCACGUUUUCUAAGCGACACCUCCUGAAUCCCUGCCCCUCUGGCUCGCCUACGGUAGACGGUAAUUAAAGAACACGACCCAAGUGAAACAAUCCUGCGGCAUGCACGACUCGGCCGCUACGACGUCGGCUGCCAUGCUUGACAUGGCAGCGGUCGGUCGCCGCCGCCACCACCACCACCUGGCUGCCAUGCUUGAUAUGGCUGCCGGACACGGCGGCUAGCCGGCCACCACGCCUGAGCCUGACCGGUUUAUCCCGACAGCGAACUGCCAGCGGUGGUGGAGAGCUCAAACAAGUGGAAGCCGCACGCGCGUGCCCAAAUAUAUCCCCAACGCUUUCGGCCGACGACCUGCUUCCGGGGGAAUGGAUCGAGCCCAUGCGAUCCGCCGGCUGCCAGCGUACCCCCGGCUGGCCGCCGGCGGCGAGAGGCAAAGCGCCGGGCACGCUCGCGACUAGCUGCUGGCACCCCAAGCCAACAGAAUCCAUCGUGACGGGGAUCAGAGCAGCACAAAAAACACCCGGUCAACAAAAACUAAACUAUACGAUAUAUAAAUCUGUAAUCUAAUCACCCAGUGGAUCCGAAUUUCUUAUCUGACCGAUGACUGCCGGAGAAAGCGCAGAAGGGUUCCAAGUUCCAACUUCCACGCCAGAGCCAGCAGGUGUGUCCGGAUCGUUGAACUUACAACGGGUGAGCACGUGCAGCCGUGCUAGCUCACUCAGGCCUGGUUUGGUUCCAUUUGCUUAUUUUUAAGCAAGUGUCACAUCAAUGUUUAGAUACUAAUUAGGAGUAUUAAACGUAGACUAUUUACAAAAUCCAUUACAUAAGUGGAGGCUAAACGGCGAGACGAAUCUAUUAAGCCUAAUUAGUCCAUGAUUUGACAAUGUGUUGCUACAGUAAACAUUUGCUAAUGAUGGAUUAAUUAGGCUUAAUAGGUUCGUCUCGCUGUUUAGCCUCCACUUAUGUAUUGGGUUUUGUAAAUAGCCUACGUUUAAUACUCCUAAUUAGUAUCUAAACAUUGAUGUGACACUUGCUUAAAAAUAAGCAAACAAACCAAACGCCCCCUCACUCACUCCGACGGGCUGACCGGUCCACCGCACUCAAGGCCUCCACCGCACCAUGUGAUGUGAGGUAACUAACCUCAGUUACCUCCGAACUUUAACCUCGUGCAUAAUUUGUCACCGUCAUCGUGUGGCAUGUUCCCUUCAGCUUAUAAGCCGGCUGAAAAGCUGAAAUGGCUGAUUCUCUGUGAGAGGAAAUACUGUUUGGUGGCUGAUAAACCAGCUGAAUAAGUUGAAGCGAACAGACCGGUGGUUGCAGCAGGUCGACCCUGCUUGCUUGUGUGGGGGAAAACAAUCACGCCACAAAAUCUGUUCUGUCAAGUUGGGCUUAAUAUUAAACAAUCACCUUAUUAUUUUAAUCUUGUACUGCCACGCUAAGAAGGUUCGUCGGGAGGACUAGAAAUCAAAGACUCGGCAGCGUUGGUCGUCGGGAUACAAUAUUAUAAUUUCAUUUUGCAUGGCCCCGCCACAGAAAUCAUGCAGCAGCUUGCCACAUUGCUUCCUGCGCAAAAACUGAAGAAGGCCCGGCAAUUCCUUUUCUUUUUCUCCAACAUUCAUGUCGCUCUCGUUCUUCAGUCGUCCAAGUAUGCGCACCCAUCACGCUGCUCGUGGAAAAAUAAUAACACCCAUCAAUUCGAUAUAACAAGGCUAUAGUGAUGGAGAAAGAUGAUGAUACGAUUGCUCGCUUAAAAAUACAGAAAUGCGUGAUCUUGCACAAAAUUCUCAACCAGCACGUGGUUCCAUGCGCUGUGCUACUUGUACGGAAAUGGUAACUUCACACAAAUUGCUCCCAGCGACUUGUUCGCCCGGCGUAAUGGGCAGGGAAAGCCGGUGAGAUGAGCUCGGCCGGGUGGGUCCACCGCCACCACACCAGCAAGCAGGGGAGGGGUGGGCGAUCACGGAUCAUGGCGGGCAACUGGGAAAGCGACAACGCCGACACUGACCUCACCCACUGGGCCACUAGCUCAUUUAAUCCCUGCCUGCUAAUCACUCCCUCCUCGCUAAUCGCCAAAACCCACCCACCCGCCCGCGACCGCCAGCGGCCUCCGCCUUGACGUUGACGAGUCGUCGGCCGGCUGGCCGGCCAUCCCGGACUGAGCCCCUCGCGCGCUAUAAAACCAGCUCACCUGCUCGCCCCCGGCUGACCACCUCCACCGCAGCAUCUCACCAGAGGCCGGAGCUAGCACGAGAGCUGAAGAGCCAGGCGGCCAGGCCGAAGCCAAGAACAAGAAGGGCGCGCGCGCUCGAUUCCCUUCUCUCUUCCUCGAUCCCCCGAUCCCGAGCGGGAGCUCCGAGCAGCGACGGCGGCGGAGAUGGUGGCGGCGAUCGCGGUGGCCUCGGCGGGCCUGGGGAUGCUGGCGGGCGUCGCCAUGGCCAACAAGUCGUCCGAGGGCGGAGCCGCGCAGUGGAGGCCCGGGCCGCCGCCGGCCGCGCUGCGGUGGGGCGGAGGCGCGCCGCGCUGCGAGGCGUGCGGCGGGUCGGGCAAGGAGGAGUGCCGCCUGUGCGCGCGCUGGUCCGACGCCGGGGCAAGGGGCAGCCGCCGGUCCGGCUGCGGGGCGUGCGCCGGCACGCGGCGGACGCCGUGCCGGAGCUGCGGCGGGUCAGGGACCGGCCGGCGCGCGCCCGUGCGCGUCGCAACCUCAGGGCGCGCGGCCCCGACCGCCUGGUCCGCCAGAUGAGACGACGAGACGAGCCGGCCUGAGCCGAUCCGUCGCGGCGGCGCCUCUUCGCCUCUCCUCGACCCGGCUGCCGGAUCAUGGAUGAAGGCUCUGUCCUCUGUCUCUGUGCGGCAACCUGCCGGAACGGACAGAGGAGCCGCGGCGUCGAGUUGUUUCUUCCUCUUUUGUUUCCUGGCUGGAGAAAGAUUAGAGAGAAUUUUUGUAACAAAAGAUAGUAUAUACACUAGAUUAGCGACUUGAUCAAUAUAUCUUGGCAUAGCAAGGUUGAUUCCAAACAGCUCGUCUCUCAGCUGAUCUCCAAUUCGCUCGCUUCCUUGCUUGUUCAUGUCAAGAUUUAACCUCUGCCUUCUCUCUCUCUCCCCCCCUCUCAAAAAAUAAAAAUAAAAAUUAACCUCUGCCUGCCAAGAUCUUUUCUGGCGAGGAUCGAUGUCCAGAUUUCCAUGUUCUCUAUGCCUACGCGUGAAGGAACUAACAUAAGCGCCACAGCCUCAGACUCUCUCCCUCCCCAACAUAUCGCUAACCAUGAUGAUCAAAUUUCCGCAGCGACCAGCGGCGAAUUCGUUUGAUAGAUGACAGCACAUCCAGUCCAGCUUCCAAAUCAAUUCCGUGGUCUCGCAGCAAUGAAAGAUUGGUUUGAUGAACUGCCGAUGCUGCAGUGGUAAGCGAGCAGAGCACCAAACCAAAUUGAUCCAUGGAGUGCAGAGAGGGGGACAGUGAGCUAAGCUAGGUGUGUGCGUCUGAACGCGAAGAUCAAAAUGGGAACCCGUUCACAUUCGUGCGCUCAAUUCCACUAGCUAGCGACAUGAUGAGAAUCUUACCUUCCACAUCGCCCUAGAAAGGUGAUGUUACUGCAAUUCCUAUAUAUAAAAAGAAGAGAAUUCAACAAGCUCCUCGACCGGAGAUUCAUAUUUUAUCAGUCCCACCACAGACCUGAACAAAAGCACGACAUGAUCCAAUCUACCAGCUUCUCUCCGGCGACCUCCACUGAAUCUCAUCAUCAUGCACCUUGGAUAGGAUUGUCCUAGCCAUGGCUUGAGUUCUUCUUCUUCAACACCUCAAGGCCUCGAGUUCACAGGUUCAUUCGGGACCGUAGAAUCACGGGCACGGCAGAAACCGCCACCGGCAUCGACAGCGCAUUCCUUCAGCCACUGCGCCCCUGAAACCGACCCGCACCCACAUGGAGCUCACCAUGCUCGGCUGUCCAGGGUCCAGGGUGCGGUGCUCCAUCACGCAAUUGCUCUCGGCCUCCGAAUCCAGACAGCUCCCGGGCGACGGAAAGAGCGGUAACCCGCUUGCUCGAUCUGGAAUUUGCGCGUGCCGCAUGGAAUGUGUAUGCGUUCGGUUAGGGCCGGUUGCCACUUGGCGUCGACGCGAAAACAAGCUUGGACCUUGCAUCGAUAUGGCUCGCUUGACGUUCCCUGGGUUCGUUUGAUGACACCAAGAGGGGGACGAUCCAGCCAUCCAGGAUGGUCGUGUUUGCUUUGGUUCGGCAGAGGUACUGAAAAACUUCCAUUUUUGUCUUCUUGUUUAUUGCCGCCAUCAUUGAUUCGGGCAAAGAUUGUCCCUAAUUUUGGGUUGCUUGUCUUAUCUCUUCUCAGUUCUUACUUUGAAGAACUAGCAUGGUAGCAUGUGUGGCUCUGUGCUAUUACACAUGUGUGGCUCUGUGCUAUUACACGUCUAGUUUUGAGAAUGGUUUGCAUUCUUUAUGCAACUCUAAUGACUAAAUCUAAGAAUAGUACUGACUGUCGGUUGCCAAACUCUUUUCAUACACUCUAGAUAAACUUUAUUUUGAGCAUAUAUAUCUAAGAUAGGAAUGUUUAGGUUAUUUAUCUUGAGCACACUCCAUCUUAGGCACAUGAUAACUUCACUGUCGUUCUCUGCGACAGAGGAAACAGAAAAGAUAUUUUUUUCUCGAACACGCAGGAGAGCUGCGUAUCUUUAUAUUAUUAAGAGAGAAUAAAAAGCCUAAUUACAGAAACACCAUCUCAGCUUGGACCAUAAUGAGAGGUGUGAGGUCUCAACUUACAAAGAAACUUACGGCUUAAGCAAGAAAAAGGACCUGACCCGGGCUACCUAAGCCACACUCUAGACCAGCAGCCUCCCUAGGUCCAGGGCAUUUAGCCCCUUGGCCCCAGCGAGCUGCCACAGUUGGAUUCAUCCUUGAAACAGAAACCAAAAGAAUUUGGUGGGCUACCAGAAACAGAAAAGAUUAUUACCCAAAAAAAUUGGUGGGCCAAUUGCGAGCCAUUCUUUGGAGACAAUAUAAUAGAACCCGGAAGAAGCCUGGCAAUUUCCUCGGCUAGCUCAGUUCCACUAGUGGAAGAGGAAUCUUACCUUCCACUACAUUCUAAAAGGUGAUUCAGAUAAUGAUCCAGAAAGCUGAUAGUACAAUUAUGUGGAUGGAAAAUUUAAAAAGGGAUCCCCACUGGUUCAUAUUUUGGUCCCCAAGCAUGCAUGGAUCCACAUAAGAAGAUACCUGUAUACUUUCUCUGCUGGUCUCCAGUUUUCACCACUAUCACUACUAAACCCUCCACCUGCCGUUCCAAUCCGUCGAUUCCCCUGUGAUCUUUGAUGCAGUGGCUUGGAUGCUAGGAUGAAGUUCCAUGGAAUCAAUCGUCUUUCAGUUCACAAGACCGGGAUCAUGAAAGAUAGCACCUUGUUCGGUUGCCCAAGGGCAGUGCUCCUUGACGCAAUUUGCCUUCCUUCAAAAUUUCAAUCGAACAGCUCCCUGCACUGCCGCCCCAUGUCCAUGUAUGCCCUGGAAGGCGAUGGAAAGGAAGCCUACUUGCUCUUUUCAUUGCGCGUGUUGUUCAUAUCCGUGCGCGCAUUCAGUUUUCAUUCGGUUGGGCUCGAUUGCGACCAAGAAAGUACUCUUCAACUUUUAUUUUUCCAUUAGACAUAUCAACACAUCGAACCAACAAACUUAUCUGGUGACUCACAUCUGGGGUGCAGUCAAGGAUAACCGAAAAAUAUUUGGCAUCUUUAACAAUCUUAAGCCAUAAGUGAAACCAACUUAUUCUGAAUUUUAUGACUAAGAUAAUGAUACUGAAGCUCUUUGUUUUGAAUACGUCUAAGGUGGUCUUGCGUCACCAAGUCAAAUUCUGCGAUCAUGUCACAACAAGCUAAGAAAUUACCAUUAAGGUUAUUGUAAAGUUGCUCACUAGAUCCUCGAAAAGCUAAGUUGCGUUUACCAAGAAAUUUCACAAUGGCCACUAUUCGUAAUAGAACUUGUCUUAGGCGUUCUUUCUCCUUUGCAAUUUGUUGUUGUAACUCCUUGUCGAUCGUUUCUCGUUUUCUUAGUAUUGCACUCAGUUCAUUCCAAGAGUUCAUGUUGGUAAUAUGAUCAACAUUAACUUCAUGCUCUUGCAGUUGUUAGAACCGAAAAGCUUACAGCAAAAGCAAAAAACUUUAUCAACAUGUUUUGAAUAGACUAACCAUUUCCUGUCACGUACUUCUCCAUUGCUCAUUUUUCUAGAGUAAUGAGUGUGAGAAAAAUGUCUUGAGUUGGCAUCCAAAGGAAAUAUAAUAUUUUCUUCUCUUAUAGAGGCCCCUUCUCUACUAAUAUGUCCUUUGCUUUAUUAUCAAGAUUGUCCCAAUUGACUGGAUCAUGCAUAUCUGAAGUAAAAACUGGUUCUUCAUCACUAGCAAAGUGCUCAUGAUCACUCACAUUGUUAUCAUCCGUGUUGAUGCCAACAUUAUCUUCUGGAAUAGUAUUAGUUUGUUCCUCCACAACAACUAUCACCAACUCGUCUGGGUUUCUUGAAGCUGUUGUACUACUCUAAAAAAAUCUAUAAUUGGAUCCUCUUUGUGAUUCUAUCAACUCAUCUACAUGUUUCUUCCUUUUCUUUUAAUCACUGCCUGAUGCAUGCUUCCUAGAUGACAUGAGGGCACUGGAAUUUUUAACAAGACAAUUAGUAACUUACAAAUGUACUAACAUAUUGGAUCGACUUAAUCAAAUUAUUAGUAAAUUAUAUAAGUUACAGACUUACAGUAUAGAUGAAUUUUGAACUUCGAAUAUCAAUGGAGAAUUGGAGGGGGCAAGUUUGUUACCUAUUUUACUUCUGGCUGUGGCUCGGUGGCUGCCUGUGGCAUUUGUCAGCGUUGGAACUCGGACGGUCGCCGGCGUCGAACGAUCGGAGCCUCGGAGGCGAGUUCCUCUUGGCGGCAUGCGAACAGGCGGACUGGUGGAGGGCGCAUGAUCGAUCCGUUCUCUCGUGGAUUACUGGAUUUAGCUGCUGGUGGCCUGCUGCAGUGCUGCUUGUGCUCCAGCCUCAGGCUAUGGGCCUAGCCCAACUGCUGAACUAAACGUCUAAAUGUCUAAACCACGUAAUCAGCAGCCAUGUAUACGUAUACCUAUACUACAUGUAUACAUGGGAUGGCCCCCCUCCGUUUUUGGGCUCAGGGCAGCUGCACUGCUCGACCCCCUCCCCCGCCCCGGCCGGGCCUGGGUGGAAGCAAGCUUCCCAUGUUUAGCAGGAAGUUACGGGUUGUUUUGUCAUCUAGAGAUGUUAAUUCUCUCCUCACGUUUUCCUAUUUCAGGGUGUGUACCCAAUAAACGUUUGCUAGUUAGCUCAUUCACUAUCGAACAUUUGCCACUAUUUUUACACUAAGGGCCUAGCUCGAAUUUCAUUACUCAGAGCAACGAAAUUACGUAGUUCAGGUUCAGGUUUCACACCAACAGUAGACUACUACACAUUACCCAAAAAGAGGACUCCAACUGAGCAGCACAAAGGACCUUCUAGCUGAAGCGCACACACACGGAGACUUAGAGUUUAAGAAGUAGACAUCCAUUAAGGCUAUUAGACUGGACACAACUUUCGUUCGCCAUCUUCAUCAACUUGACCGGCUUGCAGACAGCCUCUACCCCCAAGCAGCCUGGACCCUCAUUGUAGCAACACUAUCCCUGUUUCCUCCGUUGCACCUUUAUGAGGGUGGAAGUGCAGUGCCGCCUCCUUCAUCGUUUCUGCUCCAGCUUCCAGGUUCAUCUUGUCAUCCUGCUUCUGGAGACUUGCCCAGUAUGUUAUGAAGGAAGAUGCUAAGCAAUUAAUCUCAGUAGGAGAUUUAAUUUGUUUCUUGUCAAAACAGACUAAAUUUCUCAAUUUCCAUAUUGCCCAGCAAAACAGCUGACAAGACAACCAUAUGUACACUUUUGAUUUGAGGCAAAUAUCUCAUGCUCCAUUCCCAAAACUAUACAAAGUUGCUUGGCCUACAGGGAGCACCAAUAACCAUGGCCAUCAGGCUCCAAACAUACCUUGCUAAGGAAAACCAAAAAAGAUAUGUUCUACAGAUUCAUCCAUACUACAGAAACAAUAUCUCUUGUCUCCCUGCCAGUUACGUUUUAGCAAAUUAUCUUUGGUUAAAAUGGCAUUUUGGUGAACUAACCACAUGAAGAUUUUUAUUUUCAAAGCGAUUUUUACUUUCCAAAUCUUUUUUGUUAGGAAUCUCAAUAUCAUCACUGCAUAAGUGAUCAUACAUGGACUUAACUGAGAAGGUUCUGUUCUUUUCCCAACUACAUUGGGGUUUAUCUCUAUCAGUAGACAACGCACAAGUAGAUAGUAUAUCUCUCAUCUGUCUUAAUUGGGUUUGAGCUCUCUCGUCCAGCCACCUUCUAAAUGUUAAUCGCCACCCUCUUGCAACCAUAGCUGCUACACAUUCUGUUUGUUCAUUAGAAAUGUCAAAUAGGUCUUGAAAUUUAUCUCUUAGCGAGACUGGGCCACACCAGGGAUCUCUCCAGAAGUCUGCCCAUUGCCAAAUUUGAUAAUUCUACCUUUUAUGUAGAUAUCUUUAACUUUUAAUAGAUCAUUCCACAUAGGGAAAUUAGUUGGUUUGCUUUUUAAAUGUGAUAUUUCUCCAACAAUCUUAUAUUGCGGCUUCGUUUCGCACACGCAAAACAAAAGGAUUGUCAUAAAAUUGUUUCAGAAAGGUUCAGAACAUACAAAUUGCUUGCGUAGGUGCACCUCCUUUUGAUGAAACCACGAUGACUACAGGACACCAUAUAGUUUCCCUGACAGCGACCGGUGGCUUGUUGGCAAUCGAAGGUCUUUAGCAACAGCAUGUCGCUCCGCCCGAAUACAUGUUUCUCAGCAACAGAACGAGUGUUACUUAAGCCUUAAGGUGUGUUCUCUUGUUGUGUACUACUUCCAUACCAAAUUACUAUUUGUUUUACCUUUUUUCUAGAUACAUCACUUCUGCUAUAUAUCUAGACAUAAGUAUAUAUCUAGAUGCAUAUCAAAAUGUGUGUAUGUAGAAAAGCUAAAAUGAAUAAUAAUUUUGAAAGGAGGGAGUAUAUGGUCUGAAAAUAUGGCACAAUUCAGUUAGCCAAGAUCUCUGAAUAUACUUUGUCGUCGCUGCUCGGCUGCUCCUUGUUCGGUAGAAGGACAAUAUAUUUGCGGAGUUGAGGAGAUUGAAGUUGCUUACUUACAUUUCUUGUACGUAGUUGCUUGAUAGCUUGCACUACGUCACGUUUUAUUGGCUCCCAGCAAUGAGAAAAUGGGAGAUAAGUUGACAAGUCCAGCGUACGCAUCCGGUCCCUGAGCUUUGUCUCCUAGCAUGCGUGGACGCGGCUUGAGUUGGAAAUAAUGCUCUUCCUGUAUGGGCUCAUCCAAGGGCUGUAUUGAGCCAGUUGAAGCACGCAUCCCGACUUUAGGUCCAAUGAUAUUCGCGCUUGUGCCGAGCUAGCUGCUGCUCAGAAGAAUGCUUAAAGUCUUCUUAGAUAAUACUCAGUGGAUGGUUUAUCGUAGUGCUAAGAAUCACUAAAGAGAAGAGAAAUGCUAAAAGAACUGUGCGCAGUACUUCUUUCAUUCUCGGAAAGUUAACCUAUUUUUCUGAUCACUAGACUAUGGCUCCGUUUGGAUCCCAUCGAAUUUGAGAAUCCAGCGCUGGGUGGGAUCAAAGACACUGUAAGACAAUAGUUUAGCCUAAGCCUGCUACUGAGGAGGGUAUGGACAAAUCUACUCUUGUUCAUAUCCAAAUUAAAAAAAAUAUUAUUCACUUCUUAUCCUCCCCAAUCCCGGUCAUAUCCAAUAGAUAAUUAACUUUGUACUGUAUAUAUACACAUUUUCAAUUGAAUAAUUUUACCCUCUAGUAGGUACAUAAUUUUUUACCCAUACCCUUUCCAUUUGAAAUGGGUAUGGAGAAUGGAUACACAUUGGCAGGCCUAAUGUAGCCCUUGAUAUCCUGGUGAAGCCGUGAAGGUGAACUAGCGACAGCCCGCCAAACAAGGACUAACCAUGUGGCACAACUUGCUUGCCGGCACGUCCCUCUGCUGCGAAAGAUCAGGGGUGCUGCGCCGUGAAGGUGAACUAGCAGAAGACGACGACAGCCCGCCAAACAAGGACUAACCGUGUGCGAAAUAUCAGGGGUGCUGCGCGCCAAAAUCUUGCCUUGUUUGCACAGCGAAACGGCUCAACUGCACAGACGCUCGUGCCAAACCUCCCCUUCCGCAACGACGCCUUGUUUGCCUGUCGUGGUAUGCGACCCUUGAAGCACUUCUAUAUUAGACGCAUCAUCGUAGUAGGAAGAACAGAACAAGAAGCCGUCGACAAAGAAGAAAUUCGAGCUCCAACGACGACACUGUUUCAGUUAGCCUUAUCCCAAGGCCUUCUCUUCAGCUCUUUUUUGAGUCCACCUGGUAUAAUCCUUGCAAGAUGGUCGGACCGAUCGUGCUCGCGGCGUCCGCCGGCCUCGGCAUGCUCGCCGGCCUCGCGACGGCGGACAGGUGCUCCUCCUCCUCCGGCGGCGCGCGGGGGCUGAGCUGCGUGGCGUGCGGCGGCACGGGGAAGGUGGCCUGCCUCUGCGCCCGGUGGUCGGACGGCGACGACGUCGGGUGCCGGCCGUGCGCAGGGACCGGACGCACGCCGUGCCGGAGCUGCCGCGGCUCCGGCCGCACCGGGCGGCGGCACGAGCCCGUGCGGGUGGUCGUGCGCGCGCAGAGGCCCCUGGAGGCUGUUACAAAAGCCAGGAAAUGACGAGUUCCUCGCGCUAAAAUCGUAGCGAUGUUGUAGCAACUAGGCUACUAGCUUAGCAAGCUUCCUGCUUCAGCAUCCCAUCAGCGUCGUUUCGUUGUACAUUAUGUGUUGCAGGGCUAGUUCUCUCGGAACAUACGAGGAUCUUGAGAUUGCACUUAUUCUUUUGAUAUAUCUUAUUAAUCUAUUACAUCAUUUAGAAUUUGCUUUCCAUUUUGUUGUUAAAUUUUUCAUUCAGUCACAUAUUGUCAUCUCAGCCAAUUUUUGGACUGGUUUUCAGUCUGCCCCUCUCUUUGGGAUUCUUUUCACUACUGGAAAACUCAGCAUUUGUCUCGAGGCUAAGUACCGGUUGGUUUUUGACCCGGUACUAAUGCUAAUGGCUAGUUCCCCACGAGCCCCCGUGACCCCUUUACUACCGGUUGGGGGCUCCACCUGCUACUAAAUGUCCUUAGACACAUUAGUACCGGGUGGAGGCUCCACCCGAUACUAAUGUGCCUGAGGGCUCCAAGCGGUACUAAAGGUGGCUCCACCCGGUACUAAAGGGUAACCUUUAGUACCUACCCUUUAGUACCGGUUGGACCCCCCGAGCGGCACGAACUUCCCUCCUAUAAAUCAGGUGUCUUCUUCCACCUGCCCGAGUCAUGUCCUCCAGCUCGGGCUUCAUCCAUUCAUGGCGAAAUAGGGGAGAUGCUGUCGGAUUUUUGACCAUUUCGUGGGGAUUUCACUCAUUUAAGUGUUCUAAAGGUUAGAAACUUCAUCCUCCCUUGAUACAUGGUUAGUAUACUAAGUUUUAUGCUUUAGAGCUAGAGUAAUUUGAAAUUUUUAGAAUAAGGUAUAAUGGAGAAAAAUUUUAUUUAUAUGCAUGUGUUAUUUAGAGCUCAUAUUUGUGAUUUUUAGAAUAAGCUACAAUUUUUUAGAUGCUAUGUUUCACAUUAGUCAAAGAAAUUGGUAUAAGGUUAGAGUAAUAAUUUCAUAGUUUAGACCUUUACAAGCAUGACCUAAAUAAAUUAUGGGGAAAAAUAUAAUUUCUUUAUAUUUUAGUCAUUUGGAAAUAUGAACGAGAUAAAUUGUGGUAUAUAGAGAUAAUAAGAUGAAAUAGAGGUAUGUAAUUAGUCACUUUUAGAAUAAGCUACAAUGGAGAAAAUUUUCAUUUAUAUGUUAUAUUUGAGCUAAAUAAAUUAUGGUACAUAGAGAUGGCUACUGCUGCUAGAGGUAGUGGCAAUGGUGGGGGCGAUCGUCGUUCCUCUCGCGGCAAGGGGAAAACCAUAAUUGGCCCUUAAGUUGAAGAAAAUGAGCAUGUGGCAGAGAACAAUGCUUCGUUAUUUGGAAAGAUGUCAUGAAGAUGCUAUUCCGGCGGGUCAGGAACCUCAUUUUGGUGGUCGUUAUGCUCCACCGCCAGUCCCGGGGGUUUUAGAUCCACUAAGUACUACUGUCAUGGGAAGCACAAAUAAACCACAGGAUGAGGCUGGGUCAGCGAAACCUUCGUCUUCGCCGCCUAAGGAUGCUUAAAGUCUUCUUAGAUAGUACUCAGUGGAUGGUUUGUCGUAGUGCUAAGAAUCACUAAAGAGAAGAGAAAUGCUAAAAGAACUGUGCGCAAUACUUCUUUCAUUCUCGGAAAGUUAACCUAUUUUUCUGGUCACUAGACUAUGGCUCUGUUUGGAUCCCAUCGAAUUUGAGAAUCCAGCGCUGGGUGGGAUCAAAGACACUAUAAGACAAUAGUUUAGCCUAAGCUUGCUACUGAGGAGGGUAUGGACAAAUCUACUCUUGUUCAUACCCAAAUUCAAAUAAUUAUUAUUCACUUCUUAUCCUCCCCAAUCCCACCCAUAUCCAAUGGAUAAUUAACUUUGUACUGUAUAUAUACAUAUUUUCAAUUGAAUAAUUUUACCCUCUAGUAGGUACAUAAUUUUUUAUCCAUACCCUUUCCAUUUGAAAUGGGUAUGAAGAAUGGAUACACAUUGGCAGGCCUAAUGUAGCCCUUGAUAUCCUGGUGAAGCCGUGAAGGUGAACUAGCAGAAGACGACGACAGCCCGCCAAACAAGGACUAACCAUGUGGCACAACUUGCUUGCCGGCACGUCCCUCUGCUGCGAAAGAUCAGGGGGGCUGCGCCGUGAAGGUGAACUAGCAGAAGACGACGACAGCCCGCCAAACAAGCACUAACCGUGUGGCCCAACUUGCUUGCUGGCACGUCCCUCUGCUGCGAAAUAUCAGGGGUGCUGCGCCGUGAAGGUGAACUAGCAGAAGACGACGACAGCCCGCCAAACAAGGACUAACCGUGUGCGAAAUACCAGGGGUGCUGCGCGCCAAAAUCUUGCCUUGUUUGCACAGCGAAACGGCUCAACUGCACAGACGCUCGUGCCAAACCUCCCCUUCCGCAACGACGCCUUGUUUGCCUGUCGUGGUAUGCGACCCUUGAAGCACUUCUAUAUUAGACGCAUCAUCGUAGUAGGAAGAACAGAACAAGAAGCCGUCGACAAAGAAGAAAUUCGAGCUCCAACGACGACACUGUUUCAGUUAGCCUUAGCCCAAGGCCUUCUCUUCAGCUCUUUUUUGAGUCCACCUGGUAUAAUCCUUGCAAGAUGGUCGGACCGAUCGUGCUCGCGGCGUCCGCCGGCCUCGGCAUGCUCGCCGGCCUCGCGACGGCGGACAGGUGCUCCUCCUCCUCCGGCGGCGCGCGGGGGCCGAGCUGCGUGGCGUGCGGCGGCACGGGGAAGGUGGCCUGCCUCUGUGCCCGGUGGUCGGACGGCGACGACGUCGGGUGCCGGCCGUGCGCAGGGACCGGACGCACGCCGUGCCGGAGGUGCCGCGGCCCCGGCCGCACCGGGCGGCGGCACGAGCCCGUGCGGGUGGUCGUGCGCGCGCAGAGGCCCCUGGAGGCUGUUACAAAAGCCAGGAAAUGACGAGUUCCUCGCGCUAAAAUCGUAGCGAUGUUGUAGCAACUAGGCUACUAGCUUAGCAAGCUUCCAUAUGCUUCAGCAUCCCAUCAGCGUCGUUUCGUUGUACAUUAUGUGUUGCAGGGCUAGUUCUCUCGGAACAUACGAGGAUCUUGAGGUUGCACUUAUUCUUCUGAUAUAUCUUAUUAAUCUAUUACAUCAUUUAGAAUUUGCUUUCCAUUUUGUUGUUAAAUUUUUCAUUCAGUCAAAUAUUGUCAUCUCAGCCAAUUUUCGGCUGGUUUUCAGUCUGCCCCUCUCUUCGGGAUUCUUUUCACUACUGGAAAACUCAGCAUUUGUCUCGAGGCUCAGUACCGGUUGGUUUUGACCCGGUACUAAUGCUAAUGGCUAGUUCCCCAUAAGCCCCCCGUGACCCCUUUAGUACCGGUUGGGGGCUCCACCUGCUACUAAAUAUCCUUAGGCACAUUAGUACCGGGUGGAGGCAGACACAUUAGUACCGGGUGGAGGCUCCACCCGAUACUAAUGUGCCUGAGGGCUCCAAGCGGUACUAAAGGUGGCUCCACCCGGUACUAAGGGUAACCUUCAGUACUGGUUGGAGCCCCCAAGCGGUACGAACUUCCCACCUAUAAAUCAGGCGUCUUCUUCCUCCUGCCCGAGUCAUGUCCUCCGGUUUGGGCUUCAUCCAUUCAUGGCGAAAUAGGGGAGGUGCUAUCGGAUUUUUGACCAUUUCGUGGGGAUUUCACUCAUUUAAGUGUUAUAAAGGUUAGAAACUUCAUCCUCCCUUGAUACAUGGUUAGUAUACUAAGUUUUAUGCUUUAGAGCUAGAGUAAUUUGUAAUUUUUAGAAUAAGGUAUAAUGGAGAAAAAAAUUAUUUAUAUGUAUGUGUUAUUUAGAGCUCAUAUUUGUGAUUUUUAGAAUAAGCUACAAUUUUUUGGAUGCUAUGUUUCACAUUAGUCAAAGAAAUUGGUAUAAGGUUAGAGUAAUAAUUUCAUAGUUUAGACCUUUACAAGCAUGACCUAAAUAAAUUAUGGGGAAAAAUAUAAUUUCUUUAUAUUUUAGUCAUUUGGAAAUAUGAACGAGAUAAAUUGUGGUACAUAGAGAUAAUAAGAUGAAAUAGAGGUAUGUAAUUAGUCACUUUUAGAGUUAGCUACAAUGGAGAAAAUUUUCAUUUAUAUGUUAUAUUUGAGCUAAAUAAAUUAUGGUACAUAGAGAUGGCUACUGCUGCUGGAGGUAGUGGCAAUGGUGGGGGCGAUCGUCGUUCCUCUCGCGGCAAGGGGAAAACCAUAAUUGGCCCUUAAGUUGAAGAAAAUGAGCAUGUGGCAGAGAAUAAUGCUUCGUUAUUUGGAAAGAUGUCAUGAAGAUGCUGUUCCGGCGGGUCAGGAACCUCCUUUUGGUUGUCGUUAUGCUCCACCGCCAGUCCCGGGGGUUUCAGAUCCACUAAGUACUACCGUCGCGGGAAGCACAAAUGAACCACAGGAUGAGGCUGGGUCAGCGAAACCUUCGUCUUCACCGCCUAAGGAUGCUUAAAGUCUUCUUAGGUAGUACUCAGUGGAUGGUUUGUCGUAGUGUAUCAUGUUGUUUGGGUCUGAAAUUUAAAUUUGUGUAUUUCUAUCUAAACUUUCAACAACAUUUGAGUUUAAUGAAAUUUGUAUCAUGUUUAUUAUGUUUCAUGUAUGAUUCUAUGGACGAUCAGAAUAUCUUUGGUUCGAUAACACUUUGUAGAUGGAUCGGCAAUGGAUGUACAGCGCAGAUAAAUGCUCCAUGGAGUACAUUAAUGGCUUGUAUGGUUUUCUCGAGCUGGCAGAGUCCAACAAGCCGCCGUCUGGUUUCAUUUGUUGUCCGUGCCAAAUUUGCAAAAAUGAGAAGGAUUACUCAUUCAGAAAGACUAUUCACACCCACUUAUACAGUUCGGGAUUCAUGCCUAACUAUUUCGUUUGGACCAACCACGAGGAAAGAGGAGUUGUGAUGAAAGAUGAUGAUGAUGAUGAAGAAGAUGAUAACUACAUUCCUAACUGGGCUCAAGGAGGUGCCUUUACAGAAGUUGCAAUUGGUUAGGCUGAAGAAGAGAUGGUUGUAGAAGAAGGUCCUACCGAUGAUCUAGAUCAGGUGUUGCGAGAUGCAAAGAAGACUACAAGAAUGUGAAGGAGUCAAUAAAAUUCGAGCGUAUGUUAGAUGAUCAUAAGAAAUUGUUGUACCCAAAUUUCAAACAUGGGCAAAAAAGUUAGAUACCACACUGGAAAUGCUGUAAUGGAAGGUAAAAAAUGGAGCUUCUAAUAAGGGUUUUGAUGAGUUAAUGAAACUCAUAAAGAAUAUGCUUUCUGAGGUGAACAAAUUGCUGUCCACAAUGUACGAAGUGGAAAAGGUUGUUUACCCUCAGGGUUUGGAGGUACAAAAGAUACAUGCAUGUCCUAAUGAUUGUAUCCUUUAUCGUGGUGAGAAAUACGAGAAAUUGAAGGCUUGUCUUGUGUGUGAAGCGCUAUGCUAGAAGAUCAGGCGAGAUGACCUCGGUGAUGUUGAGGGGCAGGCCAGCAAGAAGAAAGUUACUACGAAGGUAAUGUGGUAUUUCCCUGUAGUACCACGCUUGAAGUGUUUGUUCAGAAACAAGGCACAUGCAAAGUUGAUGCGUUGGCACAAAAAAGAAUGUAAGUAAGAUGAAAUGAUCAGACACCCCACUGAUAGGUCCCAGUGGAGAAAAUUUGACAGAGAAUUUUCCAAGUUUGAAAAGGAUGCAAUGAACAUACAGUUUGAUUUAAGUACAACAAUAGUGGUCAUGGCACUUGGCCUGUGACCUUAUGUAUGUUCAACCUUCCGCCCUGGAUGUGUAUAAAGCGGAAAUUCAUUAUGAUGCUGGUAAUUAUCCAAGACCCAAAACAACAUGGCAACGAUAUUGAUGUUUACCUAAGACUGUUGGUUGAUGAACUUUUACUAUUAUAGAAGGAAGGUGUACGUGUGUGGGAUGAGGAUAAUAAGGAGGCUUUUAAUCUACGGGCAUUGUUAUUCAUAACCAUCAAUGAUUGGCUGGCACUUGGUAAUCUGUCCAGACAGACAAAUAAUGGAUAUCAAGCCUGCACCCACUAUUUAGAUGAUACAUGCAGCAUGUAUUUGAAACACUGUAGGAAUGUCGUGUAUACGGGCCAUCAUCGAUUUCUUUCUGCUAAGCACCCGUUAUGAAAGAAAUGGAAACAUUUUGAAGGGAAGGAAGAAAAAUAUACUAAGCCCGUUCACCGUAAUGGUAAAUUGUAUUAUCUAUGAUAAAGGAUGUGAGGGUAGUCUUUGGCAAGGUCUCUAGUAGCCAACCUAUUCCGAAUGAUGAGGAUAGACAUGCACCCAUGUGGAAGAAGUCUAUAUUUUGAGAGCUACCUUAUUGAGAAGUCCUUGAGGUCCGAAUACAAUCGAUGUGAUGCACCUGAUGAAAUUUUUUUGCAUGAACAUGCUUGGCUUCCUAGGUACAUAUAGAAAGGCAAAGGAUACAAUUGAAGCACGUCGGGACAUGAAACGUAUGAAACAAUGAGAUGGCCUACAUCCGGAAAAGAAAGGUGAUGGACAUUAAUUGCAUCCUGCAAGUUACACUCUCACACUCUCAGCAAGGAAGAGAAAGAAACAUGUUUGAGUGCUUGAAUAGUAUCAAGGUCCCAUCAGGCUACACCUCGAAUAUAUAGGGAAUAAUAAAUAUUAAAGAGAAGAAAUUCAUAAAUCUAAAGACCCAUGAUUGCCAUGUCCUGAUGACACAAUUGCUGCCUGUUGCACUGAAGGGUAUUCUACCAAGGAAUGUGAGAUGGAAAUCGUGAAGCUAUGUGCAUUCCUCAACAUGAUUUCUCAUAAGGCAAUCCAUUCAAAUAAUCUACUAAAGCUGCAGAAUUUUGAGAUGGUCUUUUACCUUCCUUCUUUAAUAUCAUGACUCACCUUCUAAUCCACCUUGUUGAAGAAAUUUUUGUUCUUGGUCCUGUAUUUCUACACAAUAUGUUUCGUUUUAAGAGGUUUAUGGUAGUUCUGAAGAAGUAUGUUCGUAAUCGUGCCCGUCCUAAGGAGGUCAUUGAUUUUGUGUUGACUUUAUUGACGAUCUGAGUUCUAUUGGAGUCCCUGUAUCACGCCAUGAGGGGAGGCUCAAGGGAAAGGGAACAAGGAAAGCUCGGAUGGACAUCGAUGAGAGUACAUUUCGUAAAGCACACUUCACAGUCCUGCAACAAUCAUUCAUAGUGGCUCCAUAAUUGGAGAAGCACAAGACCAUUGUACGGUCCUCAAACCAGGGGAAUACUGAGGCCUGGAUUACACGUCAUCUCAUUGGCACUUUCGUCUCUUGGUUGCAGCGACGAAUGAUGGGUGAUGACACGAUUGAAGAGCAACUAGCAUGGUUAGCUAGGGGUCCAUCUAUCUCAGUAUCGACAUUCCAAGGAUAUGAGAUAAAUGGGUACACAUUUUACACGACAGCCCAAGACCAAAAGAGUACAAACCAAAAUAGUGGUGUCCGUAUAGAUGCAAUAUACAACAAUGGAAAAAAAGAUAGAUACUAUAGUGUCAUUGAGGAGAUAUGGAAACUUGACUAUGGACCUAUUAAAAUCCCUCUGUUUUAGUACCAAUAUGGGUGAAAUUUACUCGAGGAGGCAUAACGACAAACAAUUAUGGGAUGACAAUAGUGGACUUCAACAAGAUUGGAUAUAGAGACGAACCAUUCGUCCUAGCCAAAGAUGUGACUCACGUUUUCUAUGUGAAGAACGUAUCAAGUAAACCAAAAUAGAAGGGUGCUAAUAAGUCAGAUGACUAGCCAAAGCGCUACAUAGUUCUUCCAGGGAAAAGACAAAUCAUUGGAGUUGAGGAUAAAACUGACAUUUCAGAAGAUUAUGAUCAGUUCAGUGAUCUUCCUCCAUUUUCAGUCGAGAUUGACCCAAGCAUCCUGUUAGCCAAAGAGGAUGCUCCAUACUUACGCUGUGAUCAUAAUCAAGGGACGUUCGUCAAGAGAAAGGUUAUUAACGUUCCAUUAGAUGAUGAUGUGUAAUGUAUUAGAACCAUUAUGCAAUGUUUUGUAGUCAAGUGAUAAAUUAAUGUAAUAAUAUAUUGUAAUGAUAUGUAAUGUAUUGUGAUCAAGUGACAAACUAAUGUAAUAACGUUCUUUGGAGUUAUUAAACAAGAACUAAUUUUUGCAUGGUUAAAAUAUUAAUUAUUUUAAUUUUUUUAGCAUCAUUAAAUAUUAAACAAUAAAUUUGGAUACAAUUAAAUAAGCAUAUGACUAAGUCAUGGUAAACAUGUUAAUAACACUAUAGGCACUAUUUUUCUAGAUUUUUGCAUACUCAAAAUAUUUAUUUUUUCUAAUUUUUAAGUUAACAUAAGUAUUAUGACCAUUUAUAACCUAUUACUAACUUAAUAUUACUAAUUUUACUAUAUUUGAUAUUUAACUGCAGAUACUAUUUUUAUUGUGUAGAUCUAAUCAACAUCAAGAUAACGAACCUUUUUUCAAUUUUAUGAAUACGCAAUAAAUAAAUAUAAUAUCAAUUUAAAAAAAGGAAAUAAAACAUUUGUCUUAGUGUUUACAAUGCCUUUGGUGCCGGGUGGUAGCUACACCCGGUGUAAAUGGGUUUUCGUUUCGCGCGCGGCACACCCCCUUUAGUAUCAGGUGUAGCUACCACCUAGUAUUGAAGGGGUGGUCUUUAGUACCACUGGUAACCACCACCUAGUACUAAAGGGUAUUAGUACCGUGUGGAGGUGAGGCCCGGUACUAGGGGCGAUAAAAAUCCCAUCCCCUUCCUCCCCAACACUUAGCCGCGAUUGUCAUCCCCUUCCUCAUCGGAUCCUCCACCGCCGCACCUCUGCCACUCCGCGAGCCGCCGUCAUGUCGUGCCCCCGGCGCCUUCUUCGACGCUGCGCGCCCCCCGUUGCCCUCGUCGUCACCGUCACCCCCGUCGCACGCGCGCCUCUGAUGCCCCCUAUUGCCGGCGCCCAACCUUCACGAUUGCGCUGCCCAUCUUUCACGCCGGUGCCGCUACCCCAGCCUCCUCCAUCAUACCGGCACCGCCUCCACUUCGCCGCUGCUGGCCUCCUGCCCAACACCGGCGCUGCCCCCGACUCGGCCGCCAGUGCCUCCCCCACUCCGCCACCCCUCCUCCACUGCGCCGCCUCCUCCACUGCACGCCAACCUCCUCCCUGUCAACGUGCUGCCAGCCGGCCUCCCAGCACCGGCGCUGCCCCCGAUCCGGCCACCAGUGCCUUCCCCACUCUGCCACCUGACACCGCAGGCGCCGCCCCCGACCCGUCCUCCAUGAAGCGCAACUGGUCGGCCGCGGGCUUCAUCUUCUUCGCUGACAUAAGCCCGUGGCCGGCAGAUGUCAUUAUUUUUUCUUUUUUCUUUUUUAUUUCUAGAAAUGUUGAAUUAGCUAGAAAAAUGUAGAAAAACGUUGAAUUAGUUGGAAAAUAUGGAAAAGUUCUUGAAUUAGCUAGAAAUUCUAUUAAUUAUAAAUUGUACAACAUGCCAUGUUAGAAAAUUUUGUUAAUUGUUAGAGAUGUCUAGAAAUACUAGACAAUUACUUUGAUACUUUUAGAAAUAACCAAAUUAUUGUAGCAAUUAUGUUAAUUUUUGUAGUCAAUUGUUGUUACAAAAUGUAUAAAUAUUACUCAUGCAUUCCGUAGUCAAUUAUUGUUACAAAAUGUAUAUAGUCAUUCUUUUUUCAUUUACUAGCAAUUCACAGUAAACAAUAAUUUUGUAGUAAUUUGUUGUAACAAAUUCUAUAACUGCUCAAUCUAGAUGGCUGAAAAAUGAAAGAACUAUUAAUUCCUAAUAAUCUUGAUAAGUAGAGAAUUCAAAUCAUGUUUAGGUAUAAUAAUUGCUAUACCUCCCCUUGUUGCCCAUCAUUGCCUCCCUUAGCAAUUGGUUGCUCCUCAUUGCCAUCACCAGAUAUAUUGAGGUAGAUGUCAGUCUAGCUGUGAUCGACCUCUUUGUUUGGCGGAUCAUUCGUGCGAUCUUGAACAAUCAAGUCCAUUAGGUAUUCCUCGUCCAAUUGGGCAUUCUCGUUCUCUGAUCGUGCCAUUGUAACGAAUAUAAUAUAAAAAGAAUUAUUCGAAGAAUGAUUAUAACUUAUACAAUUUUCAAACAAUAAAUGACUUUAAAAAUAAUGAAAUACUUAUACAAUUUUUUAUAAUAAAUUACUACAACAAUAUUUACUGUGAAUUGCUAUUAAAUAACAAUAAAAAAAGAAUUAAACACUUAUACAAUUCGUUAAUAAAUGACUACAACAAUAUUUACUGUGAAUUGCUAGAAAAUGACAACAAGAAAAGAGUUAAACAGUUAUAGAAUUUGUUACAACAAAUUACUACAAAAUUAUUGUUUAGUGUGAAUUGCUAGUAAAUGAAAAAAAGAAUGACUAUACAUUUUGUAACAAUAAUUGACUACGGAAUGCAUGACUAAUAUUUAUACAUUUUGUAACAACAAUUGACUACAAAAAUUAACAUGAUUUCUACAAUAAUUUGGUUAUUUCUAAAAGUAUCAAAGUAAUUUUCUAGUAUUUCUAGACAUCUCUAACAAUUAACACAAUUUUCUAACAUGGCAUGUUGUACAAUUUAUAAUUUAUAGAAUUUCUAGCUAAUUCAAGAACUUUUCCAUAUUUGCCAGCUAAUUCAACAUUUUUCUACAUUUUUUUAGCUAAUUCAACAUUUCUAGAAAUAAAAAAGAAAAAAGAAAAAAUAAUGACAUCUGCCGGCCACGGGCUUAUGUCAGCGGAGAAGAUGAAGCCCGCGGCCGACCACAAGGCCUGAAACAAGAAGUUAGAGGGCCGUAUCAUCAUCAUGGAACUUAAUGAAGAGGGUGAACCAACUGCUCCAGACAAUGCUAAGACCAAAACGGUGAAUCAAAUUAGGUUUCUUGUUAGGGAUAACAUCCCAAUAAGCUUUCAAAAUUGGAAAAGCCCUAAAAUCAAUGAGAACGUGGUCCCCACAAGCACGGUCCCCAUAAGUAUGAUCCCCGAGCAAGAGAAGGAAAUGAUAUGGGAGUAGAUAAAAGAAAACUUCAUGUUCAAAGGUGUAGAUGAAGAAAAAGUGAAAGCUUGGGGCUUUCGGAAAGGUGCAAUUGCUUUUCACACGUACAACAAGAACCUAAACAAAGACUACCUAAAGAAGGGCCUUAGACUAGAUUUCACGAGGCAACAAAAGUUAAGAUAUCACUAUGAUUCAUUUGUGCAGUUCAAGCAGUCGCAAAAGAGCGCUAAAUCAACUAAAACCAACAUUGACAAUGCUCGUCAGAAGAAAUACUUUCAUCGUCUUGGGCUAGGAGGUUACAAGAAGGGGAUCAUCAAAUGGUAGAGGAUGGAAGAUGACAUAAUUACUAAGGGAAUAGUAGCAGCGACUCUCGAAUGGUCAGAGCGAGCAAAGCAUUGGUAUUAUGCUCAUGGCGGCAAGCUCAAUCCCGAAGAUGGAUCAUUUGUGUUCGGCCAAGAAUUAAGAGAAGUGGCUAUGAGGCUUGUUGAGUUAAUGAAGGCUACGACCAAAGGAUCUUCCGUGUCUAAUCGAGAGAAGGACGAGCUGACUAUGGCACUAGGUAAUCCAGAACACCCUGGACGUUGCUAAGGCAAAGGAGUAAUUCCAUGGAUGUUUGCCUUUCGUGAGAACAUUAAUUGCUACAGAAGUCGCCAAAGAAGUAAGGCUGAACACGCACGACAGCUGCGAGAGUUGCAAGAACACGUAGCUUUGACAGAGGUAAGAAUGGAGGAAGCAAUCGAUUGGCGUGUGGCUCUAGCUCUUAGCAAACAAGCUAGUGAACAAGCAGUUGCAUCAUCUGGGGCUAAUGUCGAUGUAAGCCCCUCUCAGCAUCGAAGAGUGUUGCUUCCACGGAAGCCCCAACUGUAGGAUCUUCUGACAUGGUUGAGGACAACCAACACCACCCUGUGGACGACAUCACUGGGAGGCCCCCUUGUGAGCUUGUUACUCCUGUGAAAAACAAGCUCAUCGGGGUGGCAUAUGGUGUAGCUGAACAACCGACACAAGGCCAAACAAUUCAUGGCAUGGAGAUUCCAGCUCGUGGUUACAUCAAAGUUGGGGUGGACCGAGUGGUCGACGGUUGGGAUGACCUCGAAUUGGAGGUACUUGGAGGUGACGGGGAAAAGAAUCUAAGAGAAGCCAUCCACUGUUGGAUUCUGUGGCCCAAGCGCUUACAUAAGGAUUCCGCAACUGAAUCCCCUAACCUUGGGAUCAUCUCCUCAGGGCUCAAGGCUAAAAUCACCUACACCAUCUGCCAGGGCAGCCUCUCCACUAGCUGACAGGGAUCCUAGCAUGAGUCCACUAGCUGACAAGGAUCCUAGCAUGAGUCCAUGCUCUCCACCAGCUGACAGGGAUCCUAGAACGAGUGCACCUCCCCUGUUAUGAGCAAGGCUACACGGUGAAAGAUGCCCUCAGUUCCGCCUACAAAGAAGAAGUAGAAGAAGCCAAAGGAGAAGCAACCAGGGCCCAAGAAAGCUUAUGAGAAGAUUGAUGCGGAAAUCGAUGAAGUAGUGGAUACUUAGGUUAAAGCUCACUUCACGCUAAAGCCUCCCAUGAAGAAAGAUCCACCAUUUGAUAAGGUUAAAUUUUGAGCUUUCAUUAGAGGCAUGGAGUUGGAGAAAAAGAAAAAGCUAGAGAAACUAGCGCUAUCUAACUACGACCGCACAAUAACUAAGACUUUUUAGAAGAACAAGAAGAAAAGUGGGUCAUGUAUUCCACAGCUCGGAACGCAAUCCAACCAAUCGAUUGCCCCGCUCCAGGUGCUUUCAAAGUUUAAUAAGAACCUGCUUCUAUUCGCCAAAGAUACAAAUCUCACCGCAGCUCAACUUUGAGGGGAGGAUCACAUCCCAAAGCACACUGGGGCUAGUAAAUGGAAAUUUGAGUUAGGGAAAUAGCUUGUGUGGCUGCAGUUGGUGGACCAUCUUCCAACGAAGAUGUACAAAUUGCACCAAUGAUACAUGGAGGCUUCAGCCACCAGUUUACUCAUGCUAGAAGUUCAGAUUGGGGAUCAACAUUAUUUCCGUGGUGAGGAACUUUAUUUCCUUUAUAAUCAAGAUGCACUUGACAAAUCACUCUUCAGUUCCUGGGUUCUGUAAGUGUUUAAUUUGCUCUAACUUCAAAAUCCCCGCUCUAGUCAUUGUACGAUGUCUUAUCUCCUAUUCUAUUUUGUAUCAUGGGGGAUGGAGAUUCAAGCUUGUCGGAGGAUAGGAUUGUAUGACGUCGGCUUCAUGGACCCGGAUGUUAUAAACGAGGAAAAUGUAAGAGAAAAACCAAAUUAGACCUUAAAGAAUAUAUAUAAUUUCUUGGACAAGUAACAUUAUAAGAAGUACAUACUUUUGUCGUACACCUUCAAGUGAGUGUGUUUCCCAUCUCUUUUAUUUUUUGAAUUAGCAGUUAAAAGUAAGACUUAAUAGCUUUUCACUAUGCAUAUAUGUACAGUUCCCAUUGGAUACUCCUUAUUUUGUGGUCGAUCGAAGCAUGAUCUAUAUCCUGGACUCUCUAAGGAGACCAAGAAAUCAAUACACCGAUAUAAUAGACAUGCUUAAUAGAACAUGGGCUCGAUUUCGUCAACAUCACUCAGGUGAAUUAAAGGAGCAACUUCAUAUCCACUCUGAAUUCCCGAUAUGUAUUGAAUUUCCACAACUCAUGUCACUUCCUUAAACACAAUAAAUCUAUUGCCUGUAUAAAUCCGUGUCUUGUUUCCUUGCUUUUACCUUCGAGUUUCAAGUCCGACGAUCCCCCACCAACCAAUCUACUACCUCAAGAUACCCCUCGGUAGGUUGUCGGGUAUAAAACACCAACAUCUGGUGCGCCAGGUAGGGGUGAUCGUCAAAGUCAUCGGGCGAGCUUGAAGGACCUCAUCAUCAAGAUCAAUGUACUCGACAAGAAGCAAGUCACCGAGUUGGAGUUUUGAGUAGACAAAUCUACGCCGAGACUCAUCAAGAUCAAUGUACUCGACAAGAAGCAAGUCACCGAGUUGGAGUUUUGAGUAGACAAAUCUACGCCGAGACAAAAUCGAUGCACUCCGCGUUCCAGUCAAAAACCAAGUUGUUUUCCACCGCAGGCUGCUGCAUGCGGCUCGUCGAUCAAGGCAGAGGCAAAUCCGAUUCGAGUUGGGAGAUCAGGCAGACCAAGGGACCCACGCCAUAAUUCCCAAGAUGACAAAGAUCUGUUACAGUCAUGCGCGGCCUGAGGCAAAUAAUCAGCUCCGAUUACUUUUCAUGAAAAGCAAUUUUGAGGGAUUUGUAAUUCACCCACAUGGAAGGCUACCACAAGACCUCAAAAUCAUAACCUAACGUACAUAGAAGAUGUACACGAGCACUGCUACCCCGACAUCCAGCCGCAUCAAGUCGCCGAUGACUACUUCAAGUACUCAUCUUGACUAGAAAACUAGUCGAGGACGGUCUACUUCAACUACUCGUCUCAACUAGAAAACUAGUCGAGUGCGGGUUCCACGUGAUGAACAACUAGUCAGAAUCGACUCCGACUAGUUGGCUUCAUCAAUAAUCGACACGGCUUAGUCGACAAUCAUCCACGAAUCAAGCUAAGUCACUUUUUUAAUUAUUUCAUAUAACUUUUCCAGCUUGUUUUCCGCAUGCAGGGCAACGUGCCGAGUACUUUUUUGUGUACACCUCUCGACGGAAAUUACCCUCCAGGGCUACACUUUGCCAAUUAUUCCUGGAGCAUGUUGACCGACAGCCAUAGGCUUGGUACACAGAAUUACGAAGGCUAUCGCCACGGGUUUGGUGCACUGAGUUCCGGAAGCUCCACCAUAGGCUUGGUACAUCGAAUUAGGAGGCUCUGCCACGAAGUUUGGCGCACUGAGUGCUGGAGGCUCACAGCGGCUACACGCUAGUGACGCACAAAUCCUAUGCGUGGAAAACAUGCGCUCUCCUCACCAAAAAGGCUAAAAGUCUCAAUGACUACUUUACGCGCAAUCGCGCAGUUUUUUAUCACAAUGCCAACUACUUAUUUUAAAUAUCUUCUCUUACGGUUGUUAAUCUCCUUGAGCAGAACAUGUCUUGAUUCGUGAAAGCCUCAAAUCUUCUAUCAUGCCUAAACUCUAGGACGUGUACACGAGACAAAGAUCUCACACGCAGUGGCAGUGGCUAAACAGGGACUAAGACCCUAAACUUAAUAGGCUAACUACUUGGGAAAAAUAUGGUCGAAACAAGAGCAUGAUGCACAGCAUUUACAUUGCAUUCAUCACUGAAUAAAUUUUAGUAGUUCCAAAUUCUACAAUAUGCUACAUAAUGUAUGCAUCUCUUUUCGCAGGUCAAAGGUCAAGCUUCAGCGAUGACUCUCUAGGACGCUCAUUGUACCUCCAAUGGCUCCCAAGCUCAGGGGCUAAGCACCAAUUACUACUCGGAAUAUCUCCAAUGGCUCAGCUAACUUCAAAGCUCGGGGGGUAAGUGUCAAAUAACUACUCGACGUGGCUCCUACGACUCAUCUGGCGCAUAAGCUUGGGAGCUGGACACCAAAUGACUACUUGAAAGAUGACUUGCAUGAAGAGUAAAGGCCCUUGAAUUGAUUGUUUAAUCAUUCCAAGGCUCAAGGGCUGAUAAGCUAUACCCAAUAGUUGAUUUUUUUUCAAGAUGAAAGAAGAAGAUUCAAGAUUUUAUUGACCCUCAGCCUGAUUCUUCGAUUCAACCUAAGGCUCAAGGGCUACUCCAUAUGGAGUGUGACUUUCACUGCCCUCCAUAUCACAAUGAAGAUUACAAAAUCAAGACGAUUAAGGGCUUGAGCACACGAAAGCCUCAUGGAAGCUUUGAGGACCUUUGAAGAUUAAGCCAAACAAAGUACUCGAGGAGCACUAAAACUACUCGGCGGGGAUCUGAAAAGUACUCAAAGACUGCUACAUUCGACUAUGAAGCGCUCAAGGGCUUGUCGGGGAUAGAUCCCUAGUACCCGCUGUGGCGGAACCGCUCAAAUUAACUUAGCUAAAGCACAAUUAAGUCGCCUAACACGCGAUCAUGUACUUUAAUCAAGUUAACUCGGCAGUCCGUCGGAUUUCAUCCGAUAAACCACUUCACAGGACCAGAAAAGCAUAGCUCACACGAAGGUGAGUGGUUCCAGAGAUUACAAUAGAUCAUCCAAAUUAAACAAGUGCAGCAAGAUUAUUACAACAGUGAGUUUGAAAUUCAAACAUAGUUGCAGAGUUUAAACAACAGAAAUAAACAAACGGAAGCUAACAUCAUUGCUGGACAUCAUGACGAAGCCGAUCAUGACAUUAGUGAUCCCGGUCCUCGCCGUCCGAGGAGGGCUCCCACUCGACCGUCCACCCAGGAGUAAGCUGGGGAGGCAAAGUGCCACUUGCAGCAAGCUCAGAAGCGUCAACAUCACCUAAAAGGGAUAUGCCACAACAAGGCUGAGCAACUACGCUCAACAAGACUUAACCGACCGGUGGCACUAAUCCACCAACACCUAGACAUGCAAGCUUUUUGGCUCUGGGGUUUGCUUUUGCCAAAAGCGACUAGUGUAGGUUCUUACUUUCAACAUUUUAGCCACAAGUUCUAUUGUAGUUUACCAUUCUAAGUUAGCAACUAUACUAAACCAAGCAUAGUUUCCAAGCAAUUAAUACAGGUAACAAAAUUAGAUCAUCAUCAUCUUUCAUUCUUACUCAGUGUAGCAUAGCGAUCAAGCAGUCCCAAACUGUGAGAGGCAGACGAAUCGAUUCGAAUUUCUUAACCAUGCAUGGCGAACCUAAUCCCACGACAUCCGCGCAUCGCGAAUGGUCGCUUCAUUUGUCAGUCAACCCCAUCAAUUCCCAGACCCGUGUCGGGCCCACUUCCCUUGGUAAAAGGCUCCAUAGACCCAGCCUCUGCCGUUCUAUGACCGCACUUGUCACCACAUGAUGCACCAGGGGAAAACUCAGUUUCCAGAGAUAGUGGAACGAUCCGCUCAUGUCUAUGACCGCACUUGUCACCACAUGAUGCACCAGGGGAAAACUCAGUUUCCAGAGACAGUGGAACGAUCCGCUCACGUUCUAGUUCAAUCAGGUACUAGGCUUCCCCAUCCCAUACUAGGUAUGACAUUAGUACUUUCAACACUUGAUCACGAACACUAUCACAUCUCGACCUUACUCCAAUUUUUCAUGCAGACAGACAGGGCAAUCCACCGACCACCAAAAUAGUUCACAGAGCCCUACCCCGUCCAUCGUCUUUAUAGUUGUAACAAAAGGAGAGCAAACAACUCCUAUAACUUGCGAGUGACAAGCAAUCACUCGACUUUUACUGAGUCCUAUUAAGAAUUGCAACUACUCGACUGCAAUUACUAGUGUUCAUAUAAAAAGGGAUGCCUAUCUCAUGCAUCUAUCGUUUCAAACAAUUCCUGCAACGUAAAUGCACAAACAAGGCAAGCAAUUGUAUUACAAGUAAUUAAAAUAUAGGAAUUUAUGCUCCGGGGCUUGCCUUCAAACUCGGGGUUAGAGAAUUGGUCUUCGGCUUGCUCGGGCACGGGCUCGACUCCAGCUUGGUGUUGAUCUGCUACGUCUUCUUCUUCGGGCGCCGAGUGCAGCUCGUACAUGCCGUCAGUGACUAGUGACGUUCAACUCUACAUGAGGUGCAAUGCAAUGAGAUGAUAACUUUGAUUUGAUGAUCAGAAUGGCAUUUCACAUUUUAUUACAAACCCUCCUCUAACAUAUGUAAAAAAAUUAGUGGCAUACAAGCCACAAAAAAUAAUUGUAGAAUUCUAGAAACCCCGUGAGAAAUGGAAACAUGAUAUUCUCAACAUCUCUACAAUAAAUUAUACAAUUAUAGGAAUGCCUGCUUCUCAACUCGAUGAUUCAUGAUACCAGAACUGCAGGUAAAUCGGGAGCAUCUAAAUAUAGAUAUUUGAACCACUCUAUUUUAAAUAUUCAAAUUACAGCUCCAACAUGGAUCUUGAAGUUAGAGCUGUGCCAACCAGGACAUUAACAAAAGUUCCAUUUACUGCUCCCUUUUCUGUACAAUACAAAUGGCGCUAAGAGCUAACAUGCCUUUUCUUCUUGUUACCAUUGUUUGCUAAUCGAGUGCUUCGCCAUGCAGGCGAAUGCAUUAGCAGAAGGCGACAACACAACAUACGUAGAGGCCACGUGUUCCCAACCGAGUCUUACAGAGGUCAGUACUCAACCGCGUCGACAUGCGUCCAUCGUCACGUCUCUCCGCUGUGAUAUAUAUAUGCUCACGUGCUACCUGAUACUAUAUUGCCCUGUGUGCCCCCGUUCAGAUCCUCGUGCAACUGCCGAUCUCGCGUACGACAAAUUAAGAACUGGCUGGAUCCCCCUAAUGGAUAAAGAGCACAGAAGUUCUCCGGAUGGCACAGUCGCAACCUCACCCAAGCAAGAUGGGCCUGCCUCACCAAAGCGGUGCUUUCCGCGCAGCCAUUAUACCUGCUAACCAUCAUAAAAGCACCAACCGAAGUAUUAGACGAACUAGACAAAAUAAGGAAACGAUUCCUCUGGGCCGGAGACAAAACGCUUACAGGCGGCAAAUGCAAGGUUAAUUGGAUCAAAUCCUGCUUACCAAAAGAAAAUGGCAGGUUAGGAGUGCUAAACCUCCACAAAUUCGCUAGAGCGUUGAGACUGCGAUGGAUUUGGCACGAGUGGGAGUCACCGCAAAAAACAUGGAUUGGAACGGGGACACCAUGUGACGACUCCGAUCAUCGCCUGUUCGCGGCUUGCACAACGAUCACAGUGGGUAAUGGACGCAAAACAAGCUUCUGGCAUUCAGCCUGGGGGCAAGGAGCUAGGCCAAAGGACAUUGCGCCCAACAUAUAUGUGCUAUCCAGGGGAAAGAAUAGAAAACUAGAAGAAGCCUUAUAUGACAAUACCUGGGUGUCGGACAUAAACAUUCACGAAGGACUGACAACGCGGCACCUCCAAGAAUUUGUAACACUUUGGCGUCUAGCAACAAUGGUGCAGCUGCAACCACAACAGGAAGACACAAUUCGAUGGAAAUUCACGUCCAACGGAAAAUAUUCAGCGGCAUCGGCAUACAAGGCGCAGUUCCUGGGAUCCACUUAUGCACCACACUACAAAACAAUAUGGUACUGCUGGGCACCCCCAAAGUGCAAGUUCUUCGCAUGGCUGAUCCUCCAAAACCGCGUAUGGACCGCCGAUCAACUUGCGCAAAGAGGAUGGCCUCACUCCCCUGCAUGCCCCUUAUGCCGUAUACAACAGGAGACGGCCCACCACUUAGUGGCUGAGUGCAGAUACACUAAGCGAAUAUGGAGCCUAGUGACCACUUGGACGUCGCAACCAAACCUACAACCCUCGGAAUGGCCCCCAACCGACAAUGCCAUGGAAUGGUGGAUGAACAUGACUACAAGGACCGAAGCCCCUCGUAAAGGAACAUGCUCUAUGGCGCUGUUGAUUAUAUGGGAAAUCUGGAAGGAGCGGAAUAGGCGAAUUUUCAACCAUCAAGAGAUGGCAGCACCCUCACUGCUGACCAAAAUCAAGGAGGAAGCAGGUACAUGGAUUUUAGCAGGGGCAAAAGCUUUAGCGAGUUUUUCAUCUAGAGAGUAAUCGCGUAGGAGUGACAUCUUUGAAACACUUAUGUAAUAACCUACUCUAUCAAUGAAAUAGGCACUGUCUCAUGCCCAUUCGUUCAAAAAAAAGAACUGGCUGGAUCGGACGGACCUCCCACCGUCAGAUCGUGACAACCUCCGCCUGAACCUCCUGGUAGCCUGGUACCUUCAGUUUCUGCCGAUCGUGCUCGCGGCGGCCCUGCGGGUGAGGAGGGGCAGGCGACCGGCGGGGCUGUGGAGCUUGAGAAGAGGAGUCAAGGAAAAAAAAGUACCUAGCAUGUGGGUUCAGUGUCACGUGUCAUCUACGUUAGCAAAAUCAUUCCUCAAAAUAGCUAGAUGGUCAACUAAUUAUGAAUGAUUUUGAUAGGUAGGUGGUCCAAAAUUUCUAGUUUUGAAAUUGAAUGGCCAAACUCAAACGAAGACAAUAGUUGGAUAGUCAAAAAUAGAUUUUUUUUUCAUGUGUUUGACCUUCUAUAACAUUACGGUGAGAUGCUAAUACUCCCAUCAUUGCCAAAUAAAGAUCCAACAGCUCAUGCGUGCGUGUCUUCAACCUCCGGCCAUCUUUUCUCUUCCCAGUGACUGUGAGGCAGCCAUUGCUUUUCAUUCCUCUGCUCCUAUAUGUUGCUCUCUACCCUUGGCCCUGCUGCCAGUCUCUUCCCUGUCUCUAGCACCUAUGUCUUGCCAUCGCCACUGCGAUAGUCUAGUUAUAUUCAUGGGAUUGUCAAUUACACGUCCGUGCCUUAGAUCCCAUCCAUGGCUGCUCCCCCGCCAAUGAUGCCUGGCACGGAUUCUCUGACAUGAUGAAGUAGUGACUUCCCCCCUCCUGAAGGCCGUCCGAUCCAUUUCCAUCCAACGGCUGCCCAAUUGGCCCAAUUGUAAUUAUUAGUCCAAAUAAGACCUAAUUCGGAAGUGAGACAAGAAACAAUAUCUAACCGAGACAUUUCACUUAAUAAUUUUUUUGAAGCGAACAUUUCACUUAAUACUUGAAGAAUUACCUGCCAAAAAAUUAAUUGAAGAAUUAAACAAGCAUUUUACUUAAGUAUUUUGAACAGUUCUCUCAUCCAAAUAACCAAAGUAAUUUCCACCAAAAGCCACUACAACAUAAGAUGAAAUUGUACAGUUAGCAAUAGAGUUUUUAUGCCUAUAGACUCUCCACAAAUAGGACCCAAGUUUGAGAUUUUCACACCAAUAGAAUCUCCAUUAAAAACCAACAAUUAGCCGUGAAAAGCCAUAAACCCAUCUGAAGGUAGUAGUGUCCAUGGUUACGAUUAUUUUGGUUAUUUGGGUCAUGGAAGUGUGCAAAAUACUUAGUAAAAUGCUUGUUUACACUUGCAAUACUAAAGUAAAAUGUCUUUAUUAAAUACCGUUUCCUAUCUCACUCCCGAAUUGGGCCUUGUUUGGGCUGAUAAGCUGGACUGAAUGAUUGUACUUAAAAAGGAUGAUGGCUUCGGCAGCUGUUGGAUGGGCAAUGGAUAGCAUCCAAGAGGGGAAAGUCAUCCGUGACUUUCCUGUUCACGUUAGAGAUCAAUCCGUGCCGGUAACUCUAAUGAUUCCGGUGACUUUCAUUUGAAUAGGUGUGAACAAAACUAGGAUAAUGGGCGCGCUUUGCCGCGCCUACAGUUGGGGAAUGUGCCAUUACAGUGGGAAGCAAGGGUCUGUUCGGCUGAACUUAUAAGCCGGCUGAAAAGCUGAAACGGCUGAUUUGUUGUGAGAGAAAAACACUGUUCUGUGACUGAUAAGCUGGCUGAUAAGCUCAAGCGAACAGAGCUCAAGUGUGUUUAACGUCGGCAGGCAGCGGAGCAAAUCGGCAAUGGCAUAGUGAAAAUCGCAGUAAGUGGCGGAAGCACUGGCCCACCGCUACGCACGCACGUCAGGAGAGUUUGAUUUUUCGGACGGAUAACACCUUUGAUUGGGCGUCUGUUUCCAGGAAAAAAAUAAAAAAAGGAUAAAUCCCCGGCAAUUCUGAUUUGACAGCGCGUGGAGAGAAUGCAACAUCUCACCAGCGGCGUGUGACAGGUGCUCGACCUUCAUUCCUGAACAUUAGGCAGAGGCUCCCGUUGGCCUUCAAUACUUUGAGCGAUAUGACUCUAACUACGACGGCAACUAGGUUUAAUUUGGGGUUGCAUAGUUAUCAUGUUUUUAGAUUUUAGAGUAAAGAUGUUAAGGAAAUAUAUUGGUGUUGUCUAAUAGACGAUCUCGUACAUUGACACGUAAUCUUGAGAUAACUUAACAAAUAAACUAUACAAUGGAUUGUCUGUUUAAGUUGUCUCGUAGCAAUUCUAUUUCCGUAAUUUGUGCAUAUAAAAAAAAGAAAUAUUGUGAGUUGUAUGGCAACCACAACUCGUACAAUGGUGUGGUAGUCGUCUCAUAGUUCUAAAAUUUAGCUUAUAGGCAGUUAUUUUGUGAAACAACGACCUCUUUAUCUCUCCUUACCCUCUCUCCUCCACAUCAGCAAAAAUCCUACGUGUCACUGCAUGAGACAACCUAUGAGACCACUGAGGUGUAGCAAUGUACUUGCUCUAAGGAUGCGCUGUCUGAUAGGCAGUCUCAUGUAUUGACACGUAAUCUUGAGACGACUCAAUAGACAACCCGUACAAUGGGUUGUCUUAUAAGUUGUCUGGUAGAGUUAUAUAAUUCUUUAAUUUGUGCAUGUGAAAAAGGAAAUAUUAUGAGUUGCAUGGCAAUAAUAACUCGUACAAUGGUUGUUGAGUUGUCUUGUAGUCCUAAAAUUUAGUUCAUGAGAUGGUUGUUUCGCGAAACAACAACCUCUUUCUCUCUCCUCGCUCUCUCUCCUCCACAUCAUCAAAAAUCCUACGUGGCACUGCAUGAGACGUCAUAUGAGACCGCUUACGUGUUAGCAAUGUACUUGCUCUAAUGGAGGUGGUGGGACGCCAUCAUUUCCAUUCACACCUAUUCAGAAAAAGCCGUUUGAAUCUUUAGAGUUAUAGGCAUUGCAAAAGAUGCCAUAGUAAAACUAAAAAAGUAAAAAAAAAUGGUGAAAAUAAAGACACCACACAAGAAAAUGGAGUUAUGCUAUGUAUCAAGUGCUCAUUUUUUUACCUUUUAGGGCAUGUAAUAUGUGAUGUUUGAUUGAAACUGUGCGGUUGCCUCUCUUUCUUCUUCCUUUAUUUCAGCUUUUCAAUCCCCGUCAUUCUUCUACGCAAGUGCCUCUUCUCGCUUCCCAACUAUGCCUGGCUACUCCAUCUCUGGUGGCAAAAAGCCACUGGAUGCACUCCCAAAAGCCCUUAUCUGCUGCUAAUCUCUCAAUCUGAAGCUCCUCCACUCCUGACACAAGCGAUCCAAUGCCUCCAUCUCUCCCGCUACCACCACCGACACAACUUGUUUAAUUUCUUAUUGUCUUUCUUUUGGAUCAACCCAAAGCAAAACAUCGUCUCUGUUCUUUUUUUAUAAACAUCAACAUCAUCUCUUUUUCUCUUCCACGCUGCCGGUAACGGGCCAAAUUAAACUAUAGCAGCCCUAGCCAGUAGGAGACAACCAAGCAAUGCACCAUAGUUGCGCGUGUUAGAUUAGUUCAGAUUCUCUUGGUAGUUGUAUCCUGGUUUGGUUAUAGAUAUACUUAGAGAUAGAGUUAGAUUCUUUCUUCUCUCAAGCUUGUAAUCUCAUGCAACCAAACCAGGGCCAACAACCUCGUCAUGUAAUCUCUCAGGGUCGGUUCAUAGCCCUCUAUAAACACGCAACCCGUGAUGUGCUGAGUUAAGCAAUCAUGGUUCCAACUACUUUACAUGGUAAUCGGAGCCACUUCUUCCAAAUACAUCUACUAUCCUCCUCAUGGCAUCAUCCUCCUUGCCAGUGGCUCAGCUCGGACCGCCGGUCGUCGAGAAGCUCGCUGGGGAUAACUUCCUUCUCUAGAAGGCAUGGUUCCUUCCCGCCAUACGUGCAGCUCAUGGGGUACCUUGAAGGGACUAUCCCGGAGCCGGCCAAAACCCUAGAGGUUGAGAAGGCCGACAAGAAGGAGGUCGUGCCCAAUCCUGGGUGCGACGUAUGGGUGACCAAAGAUGAGCAAGUUCUCAGCUACUUGUUGAACUUGCUCACCAAGGAUAUGCUAGCGCAUGUUACCGAUGCCACUACAGCAGCAGAAGCCUGGGAGGUGCUCUAGACAAGAUUUGCAACACACUCCAGGGCGCGGGUAGCUAACCUGUGCAUGCAACUCACUAACACCAAGAAGGGAAGCAUGACCUCCAUGGCCUACUUCAACAAGAUGAUGGUGAUCAGAGAUGAACUCGUCGCGGUUGGUAAGAAAAUUGAAGAUGAUGAGAUGAUUAUAAAUAUCAUGAAUGGCCUUGAUUUUGAGUACAAUCCUCUUGAAUCGUCAAUUCUUGGGCACGCUGAUUGUGUUCGCUGAGCGAUCUGUACUCUCAACUAAUUGCCUAUGCCCUGCGGCUUGAGAUGUAUCAAGAGGAUGGACAAUACAAGUCUUCAGCUAACAUUGCAGGUUGUGGACGUGGUCGCGGUCGUGGCAACAAGGAUAGCCAAGGUCGUGGCAACAGUGGAAGAGGAGGUCAAUGUUAGGCCCGUGGCCAUCAAGGUGGUCAUCAAGGGGCAAAUGCUCCAAGGCAAGAUAGACAUUGUUCCAAACCUGUUUGUCAGAUCUCCAAGAAGGUGGGACAUAAAGCCAACAGAUGUUGGUACCACUAUGAUGAUGAUGAACAACAACAGCACACCAAGGUGGCAAAGGCGACAUCAGCAAGAUAUGGCUAUGACUCCAAGUGGUAUGCAGAUAGCGGCGCCACAGAUCAUGUCACUAGCGAGUUGGGGAAGCUAAUCAUCCGUGACAAGUACACAGGAUGGGAUCAAGUCCACACUGCCAGCGGAUUAGGUAUGAAAAUUAGUAACAUUGGGCAUACAAUUUUACAUACCCUAUCAAGAGAUCUCCAUCUAAACAAUAUUCUUCAUGUUCCUAGUGCUAGUAAAAAUCUCAUUUCUGUCCACAAACUAGCUCUAAACAAUAAUGCAUUUCUUGAAUGUCAUCCAAACUCUUUUUUUUAUCAAGGACCAGGAAACGAAGAGAAUACUCCAUCAAGGUAGAUACAAAGGUGGCCUCUAUCCCCUAGGGUCGCCAUCAGCAAGAGGAGGUCCAAGUAGACAAGUUCAUGUCGCCAAUAAGCCAUCCACAUCUAGGUGGCAUAGUAGAUUAGGUCAUCCAGCUUUUCCUAUUGUUUGAGAAGGUCCUUAGAUUGAAUAAUUUGCCUUGUGAUAGUGAUACAAGUUUAGAGUCGGUUUGUGACUCUUGCCAAUUGGCUAAAAGUUAUCAACUUCCUUAUUCUGUAUCAAAUAAAAUUUCGAGUGCUCCUCUUGAUUUGGUUUACUUUGAUGUUUGGGGACUUGCUCCUCCUUCGGUUGGCUGGCACACAUAUUAUGUGAGCUUUAUCAAUGACUUUAACAAAUAUACUUAGAUCUAUCUCUUGAGAAAAAAAUCAAAUGUGUUUCAAGUCUUUAAAGACUUUCAAAAUCUAGUAGAAAGAAAAAUUUGAUAGGAAAAUUGUUUCCAUGCAAAGUGAUUGGAGAGGUGAAUAUGAAAAAUUAAACUCUUCUAGUGCAUAGGCAUCACGCAUAGAGUUCCUACCCCCAUGCUCAUCAACAAAAUGGCACAGCCGAGAGAAAGCAUAGACAUAUUGUUGAAGUUGGUCUAGCUCUCCUUGCCAAUGCAAGUAUGCCAUUAAAAUUUUGGGAUCAAGCUUUCCUUACUACCACAUAUCUCAUUAACCUUCUUCCUAGCAAGGUGAUCAAUUUUGUACUCCAGUGGUAUGGCUGCUCAAGGAACAGCCAGACUGUAGCUCCUUGCGCAUCUUUGGAUGUGCCUGUUGGCUAAAUUUAAGACCUUACAACAAUCGCAAAUUAUCUUUUCGAUCUAUCCACUGUGCUUUUCUUGGCAAUAGCUCUCAACACAAAGGCUUCAAGUGCCUUGUUAUUUCCACUUGUCGCAUCUAUAUGUGACGACUGAUCCCAAAUCUUCCGAGUUAAUCUUAAUUCGAGCCCCUGAUCACCUGUCUUAGUUUUCCAAGCCUAAGUGUUCAACCUCCCAACCGGUCCUGACCCCUGAGACCCGACCCCUCUCUGCUGGCCUCCAGUUCCGACCCCGCCGACCCCAACUCACCCGCCGGAUCUUUCUGAGUCAUCCCCCAACACCUCCCUUCAAUCUGACCGGUGGACCCACGAGAUCUUUUCCCCAGAUCCCCCGCGACAGGUGCACUCGAGUUGCAUGCUCGCUUCAGAGUUCCCCCACCGCGUGGCUCAACUCCUCCGACGUCCGCCGCUCCGCCUCGUCUUCAGCCCACGACCAAAUGGAUUCUCGCGCCCUCCUCCCCAAUCGCAGCGGAAGCCCCUCUGCAACCUUUCUGCAGCACCUCGCCGCCCGCGCCCAUCAUCACAUCGCCAGAUCCCGGCCGCAGAGCCUGAUGUCGCCCGUCUUUUCCGUCACCUCGCCACAGUCGCGUCGUCCGGUCUUCGCUACACGACGAUUCCUCCUCCGCCAACCCCGACCACGGCAGCGACAGCUCCUUUUCCCGCCCUGUCAGAAGCCGCCCGACAAUCUGUUGCUCCGCGCUCGCUCGCGCGCCCGCAGCCGCCUGUCUUCUCACCUGUGCGCCCUCGAUCCUAGCGUCGUUUUCCCGGUCACUUCCAUCAGCUCCACCGCACGACGACGCCUGCCUCAGCCAAAUCUCAACCACCGGCAAACCCGCGCCUGCGCCGCCCUGACGCCAAAGCCCAAUGACCGCCGGCGUCAUCCCCGAAGUCUUGCUCCACCGCCCUCGUCGCUCAAUCGCCGCCUGGGCAAAGCACUCCAUUGCUUCUUCCCCGGCCUUCGCGCCGCUCCCCUUCUCACUCCCGCGCCGCUAUAAAAGGGAAUGCGCGAGCCCCGCCGGAGUCCCCUUCGCCAUCGCUACCCUCCCGCCAUUUCUCUUGCUCCCUGUUCGAGCUCCCAGCGCCACCACACUAAGUCCCUGAGGAACUCUCCUCUCCGCUCCACACUGUUUCCCCCAAUCCACCCAGCCGCUUGCUCCUUCGUGCUGCGUACGAGCUUACUUGUGAUCCACAAGAAGCACCACCGCCGCCGGAGCACCGCCGGACAUCUCUGCCGCAAGCCUUAGUAUUCCAGUUCCUCCGCCCGAACCUGCUCUUCCCGACCCCAAGCUUUCCUUGUAAGACGAAGGUAAGCUGCUGACCCCUUGUCCGCCUCGUCCGACCCUUCUGUUCGUCCGACCCCUUGUCCGCCUCGUCCGACCCUUCUGUUCGUCCGACCCCUUGUCCGCCUCGUCCGACCCUUCUGUUCGUCCGACCCCUUGUCCGCCUCGUCCGACCCUUCUGUUCGUCCGACCCCUUGUCCGCCUCGUCCGACCCUUCUAUUCGUCCGACCCCUUUUUCCGCCUCGUCCGACCCCUCUUAUUCGCCGACCCUUUCUCCGCCUCGCCCGAGGGCUCGGCUGCAUCUUUUUCUUUGAACCGAGGGCGUAUGUGUAAAACUUGGGGACCUUUCAGUGUUGAGUCUGAGGACCCCUAGUACAUCAAACCCUCUAGAUUAAGGGUCAGAUCAUAAGUUCCUUCCCUCCGACCCUUACCUCUUGAUCUCCAUCAACUCCUUUGAACCUCCCCACCCUCUUGUAACUUGUUGCAAGUUUCUGGGCUCAAGCUUGCAAGUGUUGCUGUUGAAUUAGCCGUCUAAAUGCUAACUCUUGCAUUGCAUUCGUGUAGAGCUGCGUCUCGCCGACGGCUACUACGAGCUGCACCCGGCGCCAGAAGACGACGGUGUAGCCGAGCUCCUACCCCCAGAAGCCGAAGCCGCCCAAGCAGAAGAGCAGCUUCCUCCUUUCUCGCUUGAAGGCAAGCCCCGGAUGCAUGAAACCCCUUUGUUUUUCAAACUUGUGCAUGCCUUCUGCAUCUGGUUUGUGCAUUUACGUAUAGGAGUUGUUUGCAACCCUAGAUAUAUAUAACUUAGAUCCCUUGAUCUGAACACUAGCUGUUGGACCGAGUAGCUGCUUUGCUUAAAUAGGAAGCGGUAAAAGUCGAGUGAUUUCCUGUCACUCGCGAGUUGUAGGAGUUGGUUGUUUUCCUCCUGUCACAACUGUAAGGACGAUGGACGGGGCAGGGUUUUGGGUAAUUCUUUGGUGGUCGGUUGAUCGCCCCGUCUGUCUAUGAAACUUGCUAAGGCCCGACAGUGGUAGUGUUCGUGAUCAAGUGUUUGAAAGUACUAACCUCAUACUUAGUAUGGGAUGAGGAAGCCUAGUACCGGAUUGAACCUAGACGUGAGCGGUCGCCCCAUUGUUCUUGGAACGGAGUUUCCCCUGCUAGUUGUCGCACGUGGUGGCAAGCGUGGUCACAGAACAGCAGAGGCCGGGUCUGUGGAACCUUGCACCAAAGGAAAUGGGCCCGACACGGGUUAGGGGAUUGAUGGGGAAGGCCGACACAGGAAGCGACCUCCGUGGUGCGCGGAUGUCGUGAGGUUAGGUUCACCAUGCAUGGUUAAAGAACUCGAAUCGAUUCGUCUGCCUCUCACAGUUUGAGACUGCUUGAUCGCUAUGCUACCCUGAGUAAGAAAGAAAUAUAAUGAUGACAUGGUCUUGAUGAUGUGAUAUAUAUACCUUUGGUUGGUUCUAUGAUUGCUUAGAAUAGGUUGCAAAACUUAGACCGGAUAAUGAACUUAGAACUGGAGCUAAAACUUGAAAAUAAGUUUUUACUUAGUGCUUCUUGGCAAACAAACCCCCCCUCAGCCAAAGAGCCUUGCAUGUCUAGAAGUGGUGGAGUAGUUACUCCCUGUCGGUUAAGUCUUGUUGAGCUUAGUAGCUCAGCCUUGUUGUGGCUCCUAUUUUUCAGGUGAAGUUGCUGCUCCCGAGCCUUCUUCCGCUGGCACUUGGCCGCCCCAGCUCCCUCUGGGUUGGACGGUCGAGUGGGAUCCCUCCUCGGACGGCGAGGAGAGGGAUCACUGACGUCUUGGCUGGCCUCACCAAGGACGUCCGACCCCUGCGUUUAGCUUCCGCUUGCUAUUUUACCUUCGGUGGUUUUCUUUUGAAACCUUGUAAAACUCUGAUGAUUUGUUUUUCUGGCCAAACUAAAUGGUUAAGUUGUUUAACUCGGUGGACUUGUUGUAUUCUCUGGAACCACUCACCUUCGUGUGAGUUUGCUAACUCGAUCCUGUUCACGUGGUUAAUCGGAUGAAAUCCGACAGCACUUCGUGUUAACUUGGCUUAGGCAUGGGUAUCGCAUGUUAGGCGGCUUAACCCUAUUUAAUCAGGUUAAUCCGAAGUGGAUCCGCCACAGCUGGUACCAGAGCUGGUUAGCAAUACAGAGAACACAACAAGCCCUAACACACUUCUUUUAAAAUAAAAGUUGCAAAGAAAAAUUUUGAAAAUCUCGUACGAUCAUUAAGAAUGACUUAGCACGAGAGGCCCUAGGGGAUUUUGGGGUUGUUUUUAGGUGGCUAAUACUUAUUGGUUAUCAUGCUAACUUCCAGCACUUCGCCACGUUUAUCAUACGUGUGCCGAGUUCCGCAUCACGAGUAUGCGAGGGUUGAUAGGGAGUUCUAUUCAAAGGACCCUAUCAUCGCGGUUGUUUCGCCCACGUCUAUUACACGUGCGCAGGUUCCGUAUGUAAUCCAUACGAAGGUUGGUACGGUUCGAUUCCAACGAGCCUAUCAGCAUGGUUGUUCGCCCACGUCUAUCAUACGUGCGCUGAUUCCGCAUCGCGAGUAUGCGAAGGGUUAUACGGUUCCAUUCAAAGGGAACCUAUUUCCACGGUUGAGUGCUGUCCAUGCAGCCUUAAACGCAUGGGUGCCGUUCCUAUAGUGAGCGGUAAUGUUUGGAAACGCUUUCGUGGGUGCUGGCAUGAAAGGUUCGUCUGGGUGUGUUUUCUGCAGGUACACUAACCGCGUUCGCUUAGGAGACGUUGCUAGAACCGACUAGCAAUUAUAGGGAGAGACGUACUUGUUGCCUUGCCACCGGCACUAACUGCGUAAGACCAAGUUUUGGCAGUUGUUUUGGUUGAGAACGAGGUAGGCCGUGCAUGCGACAUAAGCUGAAAUCUGUAAAGUCACCCUCCUCAAAAGCAACCUUGCUCGGAGAAACUCUUCUUCGGCUCUAAGGAUUUCUAGUUCUUCCAGUGUGUUUUCGGUUAAAAACCGAAUGCUUUCUUGGUCCGACCCCUGACCUUUGGAUUCCAUCUCAUGUGGUUUUGGUUUCUUGGUUCCAGAUGGCCGUCCCCGGACACAUUCUGUUUGGAGCGGAUGGCACCUUCCAUUCAACGUGUCUACACUUCGAGGGCUUCCCCGCAAUCUUGUGGGAUACCUUGAAAUGGUUCGGGUACCAGUCCCCACCGUUGUAUGCAGGACGACUGUACCUGGAGCAAGGUGUCCAGACGUGCAACGUAUAGGCGGUAGUACCUCCUCCUCCUGUGCGGCCCGACUGGCCCUCGUUCGGGAUAUCAGCAUACGGUCUUGCCCCAGAAGACACCUGGGAGUCCGCCGCUCUUCAGCUCCUUACUCGUUUCUGUCAGCUGCACCCACUGGAGGUCACCCUAGACCCCAUCGGCCUGUUCCCUGCCAGGAACCGGUUGGAUCCGGCGUGGCUCGACCGCGUCGGCAAUAUCGAGGUGCUGGCCACCACCUACUCUAUGGUCACCAUCUCCACCAACAUCCGGUGUAUGUCAGCCCUCUAUUGGAUGAUUGAGCUCCAAGGAAGAACCAUGACCAUUCUUGCUCGGACCGCCGUGGAUGCCCAAGGACACCUCCAGGCAGCCAGAAGAGACCUGGUAGGCCAAACCUAUCAGCUUAUCCAACGAGGCGUUCAGAUCCAUGACAUGCAAGACAGAAUCUCUGAGCUCGAAGGAGAAGUAUCCGACCUGGUGGACGGCAUGAUCGAGCUAUCAGAGGAGAAAAUGGAAGUGGAAAUGGAGCUGGCGGUUGCCAAUGCUCAUCUGGACGAGCAUCACGCCGAGCUCGAUGAUAUGCACGCCCUCCAUAUGCAACUAGAAGCUCAAGAGGACCCCGAGGAGGUUGAGGGAGCGUCUAGUAUGGACAUUGAAGAAGACGGCGCCCCUUCUCCUACUCAUAGCGUUCAUUUGUAGAUGAAGAGUUGCAAGGAACUCAUUCUUUUGUUGUACUCCUCGGCAGCCUAAAUUUUGGAAAGAUCUGUAAUAGGUUAGCCUUGAGUCGAGUACUCCCUGUGUUUGGAACACCUCUGUAAAAAGAUCCCAAUGAAAUCAAAUCCUGAGUCUGACCUUUAACUCUUUAACAAAGUGUUGGAAUGUUAGACUAAGUAAGUUGUGCAGUGACCACACACGCUGUUUUCUGUGGGUCUGUUCAAGUUUGGCCGACCCCGGUUCGCGAGAUCGGAUGCGCCCGACCCCUCGAGGCAGUUCUCCGCCUCGCCCGACCUUUCGAGGCAGUCUCCGCCUCGCCCGACCCCUUUUUGUGUGGAUCGCUUGCCGACCCUUUUCUCGGGAUGAUCGCCUAGCCCGACCCCUUGGCUUAAGUUCCGGAAUAAGAAAAUUCCAGGAGUCUGGCUAUGGAUCGCCCGAAGUUGAGUACAAGGCUAAGAUAGAUGCUAACUAACAUGGCAAUAAGAAGAAUGUAUCUCCCUUAUGAGGACGUGUGUUGCAUUAUCAGCAAGAGUUGCAUUGGAGAAUUUAAUUUAUGUGUUCCAUCUGUUGGAGUACUUCUAAGAUUAUGAAUUUAAUGGAACGUUAACUCUUGCAGAUGGCGCAUCGCACUAGAUCUGGUUCUGUGCCCGGCAGCAGUGAGCAAAGACAAGAUCUUCCCCCACCCCCGCCCUCGUCUCCACUAGAGGCCAUCUUAGCGGCUCAAACCGAGCUGCUGAGGCAUCUUGUACAAGGACAAUAGAAACAGCCCCAUGGGGGAAGGGCUCCGUAGCAGCCCCAUGUUGCUCGCUAUGAGGACUUCUUGGGGACACAACCCCCUUUGUUUCAGAAGACACAAGAACCGCUCGACGCCGAUGCCUGGGUUCGUACAAUUGAAUCCAAGUUCGAGCUCCUCACCGCCCCGUGCCCCGACCAUAACAAGGCCCAGUUUGCGGCUCAACAGCUGCGUGGUUCUGCCCGGCUCUGGUGGGACCACUACCAUGCUAUGUUGCCGGCUGGCCAUGUGGUCAGCUGGAACGAGUUCAAGACCGCGUUCAGAGCACAUCACAUCCUGGAAGGUCUCCUGGAGCGCAAGCUCAACGAGUUCCUGGCUCUUACCCAGGGAACCCAAGAUGUCCUGCACUACGCCCAAGCUUUCAAUGAUCUGUGCCGUUAUGCCGGCUAUCAUGCGGACAUAGACGAGAAGAAGCGGGACAGAUUCCGUUGAGGACUGAGUUUGGAGCUCAGAGAGAGGUUGAACCCCAUCAAGGUGGAUACCUACAACGAGUUGGUCAACCUGGUCAUAUCUCAAGAGGAUUGCAUGCAGGCUCUCAAAGCCGACCAGAAGAGGAAGGCCUCCGUGGCAUUUCCGAGCCAGCCAACUCGAAGGUUCAGGAUGGUUCCUCCACAAGCGCCCAGCCGACCCCAACAGUCGGGAAGGUGGAUUGCCCGACCCCCACCAGCAGCAGCGCCCCGUUUUCCCAGCUUCCAACCACAGGCGCCCCGGCCGACCCCACCACCACCACCACACCCUGCAACUAGUAGCCGCUGCUUCACCUGUGACAAUGAAGGGCAUUUUGCUAAGGACUGCCCCAGGAACAGAAAUUAGCAGCAUGGCCAAAACCCUAUGGCGAACAGAGGAAGAAGGCCCAAGGUGCAAGUUCGACAAGGACGGCUCAACUGCACCAGCUUGACCGAACUCCCCGAAGGUGCGCCAGUGAUGACGGGUACUUUCCUUGUCUUAAAUCAAGCUGUUGUUGUGUUGUUUGAUUCGGGAGCCUCUCAUAGCUUCAUCGGGAGUAAGACUAGAGAAAGAUGUGAGCUGGAUGUCGGUCACACUAAGGAAUCCUAUGUGAUCGCCACUCCGGGAGGAAAGAUAGCCUCGGAUCAGAUCGUUACUCUUGUACCUCUCCAGCUAGGCCAAACUCUUUUUAAGGAAAAUCUUAUCAUCCUUGACCUGGAAGGAAUAGAUAUCAUCCUCGGGAUGGAUUGGAUGACCAGACACCAAGUGGUUCUAGAUACAGCUGCCCGGACUCUCCACCUCAACUCGCCCUUUUAUGGCAGUUCUACCCUGUUCUUGAACCCUCCUAAAUCCGCACUUCCUUGUGCGUACCCUCUAUCGGAAGCCCGGCUAGAAAGCCUCCCUGUUGUCUGUGAAUACCCGGAUGUGUUCCCAGAGGACUUGCCCAGCAUGCCGCCCAAUAGAGAUGUGGAGUUUUCCAUAGAGUUGAUUCCCGGCACGGCUCCGAUAUCCAAGAGACCCUAUCGGAUGCCGCCUGCUGAGUUGGCCGAGUUGAAGACCCAGUUGCAUGAUCUGUUGGAAAGGGGCUUCAUCCAACCCAGCACAUCACCUUGGGGUUGCCCCGCCCUGUUUGUGAAGAAGAAGGAUGGGAGUCUCCGCAUGUGUGUGGACUACCGACCCCUCAAUGCGGUGACUGUCAAGAACAAGUACCCACUGCCACGCAUUGAUUCUGAAACUCCUUCGCUAUCGCCGGCUUCGCCACGACGUGCAAGAACCAAACUUCAAAGUGGGAUUGUGAAGCCCAAGAAUGUAUGAUGGCAUGAUAAAGUAUGGUUGUUUCACAUCAACUGGUGAACCAGAAUCAGUGCAAGAAGCAAUGGAUGAUCCAUGAUGGAAACAAGCUAUGCAAGAUGAGUAUAAUGCUUUACUUCGUAAUGGUACUUGGCACUUAGUUUCGGAAAAACAAGGCAUAAAUAUCAUUGAUAGUAAAUGGGUCUUUAAAAUUAAAAAGAAAAUUGAUGGAAGUAUAGAUAGAUACAAAGCUAGAUUGUUGGCAAAAAGUUUUAAGCAGCGCUAUGGUAUAGAUUAUGAAGAUACUUUCAGCCCUAUUGUUAAAAUUGCUACUAUCAGACUUGUGCUAUCUGUUGCAGUAUCCAGAGGAUGGUGCUUGAGGCAAUUAGAUGUACAAAAUGUGUUUCUUCAUGGUGUUUUGGAAGAAGAAGUGUACAUGAGACAGCCUCCAGGUUUUGAGGACUCAAGAAAGGCUGGUCUUAUGUGUAGAUUGGACAAAGCUAUAUUUGGGUUAAAGCAAGCUCCUAGAGCCUGGUAUUCCAGGUUAAGUGAGAACUUAAUUAAUCUUGGUUUCAAGGCCUCUAAAUCUGACACUUCUCUGUUUAUUUAUAGAAAAGGUCAAGUAACUAUAUUCAUACUCAUUUAUGUUGAUGACAUUAUAGUUACCAGCUCAGCUCCUAAGGCAGUCACUGCGAUAGCUAAAAGAUCUUAAGAAAGAAUUUGCCUUAAAGGAUCUUGGUGACUUGCAUUAUUUCCUUAGGAUAGAAGUAACAAAAGAAAAGGAUGGAAUCUUGCUCUCACAGGAGAAAUAUGCUUAAGAUGUUCUCAACCGAGUUGGUAUGCUAAAUUGUAAGAUGGUGUCGACACCUUUAUCAAUUACUAAAAAAUUGUCUAGUCAUAAAGGAGAAGUGUUGGGGCCGGCUAACAGCAGAAGUAUUGUUGGUGCUCUCCAGUAUUUAACUCUAACACAUCAUGAUCUAGCAUACUCAGUAAACAAGGUUUGCCAGUUUCUACACUCACCCACCGGUUUACAUUGGACAACAGUUAAAAGAAUUUUGAGAUAUAUAAAGUACUCUUUGCAUUUUGGGUUAAAAAUUCAGAAAUCCAAGUCCAUUUUAAUAAGUGCAUUAUCUGAUGUUGAUUGGGCUGGUAGUGUUGAUGAUAGACGGUCUACUGGUGGCUUUGCAAUUUUCUAUGGGUCUAAUCUUGUUUCUUGGAGUGCUAAGAAACAAGCAACAGUGGCAAUAUCAAGCAUAGAAGCUUAAUAUAAGUCAAUGGCAAAUGCAACGGCUGAGGUAAUUUGGUUGGAGUCCUUGUUGACUGAACUUGGAGUCGUUUCUGUUGACAUUCCCUAUCUAUGGUGUGAUAACUUGGGGGCAACAUAUUUGUUGGCUAAUCCGGUGUUUCAUACACGUGCCAAGCAUAUAGAAAUUGAUUUUCAUUUACAAGAAAGCAGCUUCAAGUUCGGCUCAUCUCAACUAAUGAUCAACUAGCAGAUGGAUUUACCAAGCCUUUGCCGGUGAGAAAGUUUGAAGAAUUUGUUGACAAUCUAAAUCUUUGACAGCAAGAAUGUUUAGAUUGAGGGAGGGUGUUAGAUUAGUUUGGAUUCUCCCUAUAUCUCAUGUAAUAUCUCUUGUAGUUGUAUCCUGGUUUGGUUGUAGAUAGACUUAGAGAUAGAGUUAGAUUCUUUCUUCUCUCAAGCUUGUAAUCUCACGCAACCAAACCAGGGCCAACAACCUCGUCAUGUAAUUUUCUCAGGGUGGGUUCAUGACCCUAUAUAAACACGCAAACCGUGAUGUGCUGAGUUAAGCAAUCACGGUUCCAACUAAUUUACAGCGCGCCGGGGGAGCAUGGUUUCACGUGGCCAAGCAAAGCCUUACUCAAAGCAUGCAUCUUUCUCAUUGCUAGAGGCUACCUGAUAAGGUACUAGCUAGGUCCGGGAAAGGGAAAACUAUGUCCAGGAGAGGAGCCCUUAAAAAAUCCUCGAGGAGCUGUACACAUAGGCAGUAAAGAGCGAUCAUUGGCAGCUAUACCGGCACAUAUUCUUAUAACCAGUCCGUAUGUCCUUGGUUCGUCCAAUGGACAAAACAAGGUAAAUAUAAAAUAUGCCUUGCCACUGAAUAUUGUUGUGUUAUCCACUUUUUAGCAUAUAGUUUAUACGAUUGCAAUAAUGUGGUGUUGAUGGCUGCGGUUUUUAAUUUUGGCUAAGUCUCUCGCUAGAAGUCGCCCUACCUAUAUUUUUUCCUGGCUCCACCACUGAAUACUGAUUGCAUUGAUUGUGGGAUGGCAGAUGCUCCUUAGAUCGAGCCAAGAACAACAUCCUGCACAGACAGGCAAAACCAGCCAUGGAAAGCGUCAAGCUCUCCAGCCUCCUGGGCGCCAGCUCGAGCACGAGGAACAAUAGUGACCCAUCAUCUGUCCGUCUCUGCUCUAGCGCCAUUCGGAGGAAAUAUUCGCCAUGGAGACUAAGGGGACGUGUGUGGAUGAGCCAUUUCGGGUCUCCAGCGAGAGCUACGGCCCAGCAGGCCCACCGGUCCUCGUCUCGCCCCGUCGCUGCACCGCCGUGAAUGUCGCCUCGUCGUCGGAGGCGCGACGUGAUCUAUAUAUCGCCGCCGUGUUGGAAGAACAGGGCCGAGUCGCUCUACGACAAGCCUCGAGAAGGACGGAGAUGAUCAAUGGACGGCCACCACGCAACACUAUCUCUACAGAGUAAUGGGGUAUUAUUGGAGGAUGAAUGUGAUGUUUUGCAGCACGGGGUUCUUCAUGAGAAGAUAACGCCCCCUACUACAUUCAAUACGAUGGACAGAUGUCUUCAUGGACAGGAUACAGCCUUGCUAAUAUGUAAUUGGAAAAAAAAAUCAUUUUACUAACUACGCUCAGCAAUUCAAUGCAACUUAUAUCCUGUUUUGAACUUGAUACACACAUCGUAGGGCUGUUUCCACGAGAAUAUGAAGUGACAUCUUUUUGUUAAUAGAGGCUCUGAAAUGGCAGAGUGCCCCCGAUAAACUUUGCCAUACAAGAAAUUUCGUUAUGAGGACAAAUGGUGUGGCAAAAUCUUGCAUAACUUGAAUAGCCAAACGAGCAAGUUUGUUUUAAUCCAAAUUAUCACUGCCAAACGAAAUUCUUCAAGCGAAGAGCCGAAGACGAUGAUGCCCGCUACUACUACACUCAAGACAAAGGGCGAGAGUAGGAAUGAUUCUCUUUUCGCCCUAGAAAAAGAACGUCCUUUUCUCGUCUUAUUCGGAUCAGAGAAAUGUUUCCGUUCUACUAUUCUGAUCACUGAUCAGGGGAACUUUUUGAGGGGCCCCUUCGCCAUUGUCGAACAGUGGUCGAAUACGCACGUUGUUUAAUUCCUUGUAUAAAAGGCCGCCAUGGAUCCAGGCGCACACCACAUCAGAGCAAGCCUGCAGCCAUGGGAAGCUUCAAGCUAUCCUUGCUCCGCAUUCUUCUUAUUCCCUUCCUCCUUGCUCCAAUCGUUGCCGAGGACCUGACGACAGCCGGCGACGGUGUGCUCCCAACGCUCAUCGAGCUACCAACCGGCGAUGAUGAGCUUCGAACGUUCAUCGUGCACGUGCAGCCGGCCGAGAACCGCGUGUUCGGCACCGCCGACGACCGGACGGCGUGGUACCAGUCGUUCCUCCCGGAGGACGGCCGGCUCCUCCACGCGUACCACCACGUUGCCAGCGGCUUCGCCGCCCGGCUGACCCGCCGGGAGCUCGACGCUAUGUCCGCCAUUCCGGGGUUCCUCUGGGCGCACCCGAGCGAGGUUUAUGAGCUGCUGACGACGUACACGCCCCGGUUCCUCGGCCUGGACACGCCACAGGGCGACGGCGGUGGAAACCAUAGCGCCUUGGGGUUCGGCGACGGCGUGAUCAUCGGCGUCCCCGACAGCGGUGUCUCCCCCGACCACCCGUCGUACAGCGGCGACGGCAUGCCGCCGCCGCCGGCAAGGUGGAAGGGGCGGUGCGACUUCGACGGCGCCGCGUGCAACAACAAGCUCAUCGGCGCGCGGUCCUUCGCGUUCGGCACGUCGCCGCUCGACGAGGCCGGGCACGGCACGCACACGUCGAGCACUGCCGCCGGGGCCCUCGUGCCGGAUGCCAACGUGCUCGGGCAGGGCCGCGGCACCGCCGCCGGGAUAGCACCCCGCGCCCACGUCGCCAUAUACAAGGUGUGCGGCCGCAGCUGCUCCGGCGACGAUAUCCUCGCCGGCAUCGACGCGGCCGUGGGCGACGGCGUCGACGUCCUCUCCAUAUCCAUUGCCGGCGGCGGGCCGGAGGUGCCGUACUACGAGAACCCCAUCGACAUCGGAACGUUCGGCGCCGUCGAGAAGGGCAUCCUCGUCAGCAUCGCAGCCGGCAACCACGGCCCCGGCGCCAGCACGCUGUACAACGACGCGCCGUGGAUGCUCUCCGUCGCGGCGAGCACCGUGGACCGCCUGAUCGGCGCCCAGGUGCGCCUCGGCAACGGCCUCUCCUUCGACGGCGAGUCCUUGUACCAGCCGGACAUCUCGCCGGACGUCUUCUACCCGCUGGUCAACGCCGGCGCCAGCUGGAAAUACAACGCUCAGUACUGCGGCGCGGGCUCGCUGGACGGCCUCGACGUCGAGGGCAAGAUCGUGCUCUGCUACCGCGGCGGCGGCACCGGUCGGGUUGCGAAAGGCGAAGUGGUGAAGCGAGCCGGAGGCGCCGGCAUGAUCCUGGCCAACGGGGCCUCCGAUGGCUACAGCACGUUCGCCGACGCGCACGCCCUCCCGGCCUCGCAUGUCAGCUACGCUGCCGGCGAGGCCAUCAAGGAGUACAUCAGCACCACGGCGAAGCCGGUGGCGAAGAUCGUCUUCCGGGGCACCGUCCUCGGCGCGAAGCCGGCACCGGCCAUGGCUUCCUUCUCGUCGCGCGGGCCCAGCCUGCGCGUCCCCGGCAUCCUCAAGCCCGACGUCACGGGGCCCGGCGUGAACAUACUGGCGGCGUGGCCGGUCCAGGUCGGCCCUUCGUCGGCGGCGGGCUCCGGGCCGGCCUUCAACUUCCAGUCCGGCACGUCCAUGGCGACGCCACACCUCAGCGGCGUCGCGGCGCUGGUCAAGAGCAAGCACCCGGACUGGUCGCCGGCGGCGAUCAGGUCCGCCAUCAUGACCACCGCCGACCCCAACGACCUCUCCGGGAACCCGAUCGUCGACGAGCACCACCAGCCGGCGAGCUUCUUCUUGACGGGCGCCGGCCACGUCGACCCGGACAAGGCCGUGGACCCCGGCCUGGUCUACGACAUCGCCACCGCCGACUACGUCGCCCACCUCUGCAGCGUCUACGCGAGCCGGUUUGUGUCCGUCAUCGCGCGGCGCAACGUCGACUGCUCGGCCGUCACUGUGAUCCCAGACAACGCGCUCAACUACCCGUCCAUCUCUGUCUCGUUCCCGCCGGCGUGGAAAUCCACUGCAGCCGUAGUGGAGGUGCGCCGGACGGCGAGGAACGUCGGGAAGGCGCCGGCGGUGUACUACCCCUACGUGGACCUGCCGUCGGGCGCAGCGGUGAGCGUCACCGUCACGCCGAGCUCGCUGCAGUUCACCAAGGUGAACCAGGAGAAGAGCUUCACGGUGUCCGUGUCCCGAGGUAAGAGUGGUAAGGGGGAUGUGGUGCAGGGCGCGCUCCGGUGGGUGUCCGACGAUCACACCGUCAGAAGCCCCAUCUCCAUCACAUUUGAAUGAUCCCAUCCCAUAGUCGAAGAAGAGUACGAUGAUGCUCUUGGUUGAUCCUUCCACCUAAUAACAAAUAAAAAUUUCGCAAAAAAGAACGUAAUAAAUAAAAAAAAGAGGGUGCUCCCUCUUCGUGCAAACUUGCUUUCAUUUCAUUUCACUUCAGUCACCAGUUUAUGAACGUAAAUGUUUCAGUCGCUGAACAAUGGCAAUAAAAAGGAGGGAUCUUUGAUAUUUGAAUUUCCCUAAACAUGGAUUUGUUCGAUUUUUGUGAUGAUGAUUAGUGAGAUCAGAACAUAUGGGCAGUAUCAUUUCUACUUGGUCAACCAAGAACCUACUCCCUCUAAUCCUAAAUGCAAAUCCAAUUAGAACGACAGCAUCACGGUCUCCAGUAUUCUAGUUUGAUUAAUAAUACCUAUAAAAUAUAUUACUACUUUUUUUAAAUAAAAGGAGUUACACAUUAUGAAGCAUGGCGUGAUCGGAUAUCACUACUUUUUUACAACUAAUUUGCAUGUAUGAGUUCAUAGAAAUCGUUGACAACUACUUAGCGCAUGAGGAGAACAUUUUCUCCAGAUUGCUAUAUGUCGCCUACGCAACUAGGAUAUCUGUCAUCGGAUUUUUUCUCGGUCGGUCCAUUGACGUUGCUUUGGAUCUGCCACAUAUAUUCGUGGUCAAGUUGUUAUGUUGAAGCAUCGUUUUCUUCAUUGCUUGCACAGGAGACGUUUUGUUCUCUUCUCAAAAAAGGAACCGUGGCUUUCAUGGUGUGAUUUUAUCCUCUUUUUGGCUGUUUCUUUUUCUUUUUUGCUUUUUCUUCGCUUCUUUCUUUAAUUUUUCUUUCUUUUUGUCUCCAAUCCACAAAAGAUAUUUUUUAGAUGUUUAUAAUUUACUUUUUUUUGCAAUUUGUAUCAUUUAUUGUUUCUUUCUUUAUUAUUGGAAAGUCUUGGCAACGUAUACUUGAUUGUUCUAUUAAUUAUGUUAUUUUAUUCUUACUUCCUAUAUUUAAAUUUAUCACUGAGUUUGUUCAUGUAUUUCAAUAUUUUUUCUAUAUCCAAUGUAUUUGUUCCUUAUAAUUAUUUGUUCUGCGAGCUUGUAUAAUUUGUUACAAAUACAUGUUCCCUGAGUUUGUAAAAUCUAUUCUAGAAGUACAUAUUUUUAUCCCAUGAGUUCAUAUAAUUAGUCCAAUUGUAUAGAUCUAUAUCAGUUCAUAUAAUUUUCUUUAGGUGCAUAAUUUUUUAUUCUUUGAGCUCAUAUAAUUUAUACAAUUGUAAAAUAUUUUUCUUCUAUGAGUUUAUAUGAUUUAAUUUCUUUGAGGUGUACAAUUAUUUUGUUCUUAAGUUCCUAUAGUUUUUCCAGAUGUACGAAUCCCAUAAAAAAAUUCCAGCUUGAUGAAAAAUAUAUUUUUAAAAAAUAUCAUAUAAACAUAGUUGUAUAUGAUUUUAUUUCAAAGAUCUUUUCUUAAUAAUUAUAAUGAUAUGAUCGAAAUUUAAUGUAGAUAGUUGGUGUAGGAUUUAUGGUUUUCUAGUUCUGAAAUCUUUGAGAAUCAGUUCGUUUGCUUUGAUGUACGGUGUGGUCCAUAUUGCAGCAGGAUUGAAGGAGUCGAUCCGAAAUGACCGAAUUUCGGUGAGGACCGAAAUGAAACUGAAUUAUUCAAAAAAAUUGACCGGAGUUGAAUUUUUCUACUAUUGUUAAGAUCUAUACCAGCCCACGUACUCCCUAGCUAUAAAGAUAUGAAUAAACCUUAAUUGUAUAACUCUUUGAAGUCUCUCGCUUUGUAACAGCUAACGAGCGCAGAAAUGACGUGAUUUUGCCGUAUUCCUCCUUAGCUCCUCACUAUAGUUCCCUAGUUCCCACCCACCAUCUUCACUAGGAGUGUUUAAUUCCUCUAUCACCAUCUAAUUUUGAACAAAUUUCAUAUAAAAAUGAAUUUAUUGACGGGUCAAAACAACCGCCCGAGUUUUCCAUAUUUCCCGAAAUUCACCCAUUUCGGUGGCAUUCCAAAUUUUUCGCAUUUCUAAUUCCAGUACACCGGGUUGCAUGAUUAUCUUCCCCCGCGUGUCCAACUGGAAUCAAAACAGUGGAACUUAUUGGGCCGGACCAGAAAAGCGUGGAAACAGCAGUUUUUGGGAGCAGCGCAACGGGCCUCCAACCGUGGCCCUGAUCUCUUUUUCUUCUCUCUCGUCUGCCCAUCCAGCAGCUGAGAUGUGUGCGCGUGGUGGGCCGAACCACCUAUUGUUUGUUGUUGUAGCGAUGGCGAGUUUGCAGCGGGGAGCCUUCGAGUCUGUUCGUGGAGGCGCCGGCGCCGGCGCCGGCCCUGGAACGCCGCACUCGGGCUCGGAGGUGGAAUCCGCGCCGAGUCGCCACCAUGUUCAAGCGGAAUGCAACCACUACCGAUCCGGCACCACCUCGCAGGAAAAUAUACUAACCGGUAUAAUUUCUUUGAAUUCUCGGCCACAAUUCGUCCAGGAAAAAUGAAAUUAUUUUCCUUGUCUACACACAUCUCACAGAUUGAUGAGAUGGAUGCUCUCAUUCCGUUCCCUUCUUUUUGAAAAAAAAGGGGCAAGAAUCACGAGUUCUAGAAUCCCGCCGCUAUAAACCUACGUAUGUUCUUGGUUCACUAUAUGUGCUGUUUGAUCCGGAUCUCGUCUAGCAUGGCUACGCUCUUGCACUUUUGAGUCUGCUAGAAAGCCUGCCAUCGGAUUCAGGGAGGUUGGAAUGUGGUAGUAUGUUCAAGUACAGGGCAUUGUCUUCGCAGUCCAUUUUUGAGGACCAGCACAGCUGUGCUUUCAUUCUUCAAGCCUCUGAGCUGUCGUCGAUCCUAAUCCCAUCAAUACUGAAACUACAAGUACCGGCGACAGACAGAAUAUGUGUUUGAUGUUUGAUCGUGCCAACAGCAUCUUUAUCUUGCCUACCCCAAUGAGUAGUCCUUAGUCUUUACAUACUCACUCCCUGUCGUCGUUUCGUUUUCCAUGACCGGUUUGGCCGAUGAGUUGUCGCUUUAGCGAAGACCACCCUGUGGAUUCCACCAUGUUGUGGUCUGCCGUUUGAUUGUUGUUACAGUUCUCCAUGGAUCCCUUGCUCCGCCUUUGCCACCGGUAGUAGGUGAUCAAUCACCUCAUCACCCAAGCUAGUAUCAACUCGUUUGAAGAUUCGCAGCCGAUUCGCGUCCGUUAAUUCCAUGGCAUGCUCCUUUCCCUUUCGUCGCUCUGCGAGUUAAGAUCCUGUUCCUAAAUAAUCUUGGUUAACAGCCGUUGAAGUAAGUAAUGUGAUUGGUUCAGCAUUCACAUCACCUUGGGGUUUUGGUUGGCUCCAUGUUGUUAGCCUUUCCGAGUUUAAACACCGCCCUGUGGCGGUGGUGGCCUGCAUUGCACAUGCAUGGAUGGCCACCCCCACCCUGCUGGCCGGCAUAUGGUUUGGUACAAAGCUCUCAUCGCACAUGCAGCACCUCACCUGUGGGUGGUCACUUGCUUUGGACCGGACCCUCCUCGGGUAGCUAUGUUCAUUGUCAUGCCAUUUCGCUCUCACCAGCAGCGUGUGCUGCAAUCCUUUCUUCUCUGUUUGUUGGUUUGGACAAGGCCGCGUGAUCUUAUCUCUCUUCCCCCAGACACUUUAGCACGCAACAAGGUAGCUUGAUUAUUCAUCGUCAUUAUAUUUCAUCAUGUGAAGUGUCUAUCUUGGAUUUUUUGUUGAGCAAUAUUACUGAAUCAGAUUAACCCUGUUCAUUUUGCACAUGCUCCAACAUUGUCUUUCUGAGAGACAUAUUUGGAUUCGGUGUUGAAUGAAGCACAAAUUCGUCUUCCUUAUAGUAGAGUAUUGUAAUUUUUACAGUUGAUGAGAAUGUUAGUUAGACAGGUGCUGCAGCUGUACUAUGGAACAUGACAUCUGUCCUAGUCAAUCUUACUUCAGGCUAUCAGCUUCUUGUUUGUUUGAUUCCUUUUGUCUGUUUGAGGAGAAAAGUACGUGUGCUAGUUAAUCACCUGUUAGUUCCUGUUCUAGAAAUUCCAGGUUUUGUAUCCUAGCUAGCUGUUGUCAUGUUUCCUUUGAUCUUUACCUUUCCUUUUUAUGGUAACUGAUUUUAGAUUUCCAUGCAUCAUGCAUGCACCCGAGUGGAGGACUAGAUGUAGCCUUUGAUCAUUUUGUUUUUCAGUUGCAUAAAUGCAGAAUAUCAUGAUUUAUGAGUUGAUGAUAGUAAUGGCCGAAAUGGUGGCAGGUUUCCCACUCCUAGCUAGCUACUUCGAUGGAAGGAUGGUGGUUAGGGCAAGGCGAUAUCUUUUAACUAUUCAUGUUUUCACUGCUUUUGCACAACCGGACAUGGAACAUGGGUGUCAGCAGCACAUACAUACAGUACAGCUAGUACAUAUGUGUAAUAGCUGCAGCUCCAUGUUUUUAUUUGCUAGUAGCUUGAACAGAUUAAGUUGUGAACUCUACAGCUUAUCAUCAUCUUAACUUUGCGCAGCCUUUCAGGAAUCUUCAUCAGCAUCCUAAAUAUAGUUACCUCUAAUUAACCUUUGGUGAGGAGAGGCAGCUUUGGCAUCAAUGAUAAGGUCAAUAAUGCUGAAAUGCUCCGGAGCAGUUAUGAUUCAUCCAAUCUUUGCAGGAAGAAAGAUGGGGAGUGGUUUCAAAAAGGAAAAAAAAGAGAGAGUGAAUGAAUGUGCAACACGGAUGUGAUCCUUGCAGUGGCAUCAUGAUGUCCUUCUUGACGUAGUGUGGUACCUUCUGAUGAAAGGCAAUUGACUUGCGUUCUUUGGGUUGGGGGGAGUCAGGCUUGUAGGGAACUAAGCGCAAUGAGAAGCGGGGGUAACUUUUGUCUGGAGCUCCUUUUUGUGGUAAUGCAUGCCUGUGCGGAGCACAUUGGCCCUGGUUGGUCCCGGGCGAUGACGCAACGGUGACGACCGGGCGAGUUGAGUUGAGACCAGUCAGACAGAUACCUAGUCGUCCCAUACAUGCCUCUCUAAUAUUUUCUUGUUUUCUUCUUCUUCGUUCUCAUCUGCAAGCCAAGAAAGAAAUGAAAGUUGAUGCUGGUGUGAUUGAGUGGCUGCAUCAUAGUCAUAGGCUCAAUAGGCUGCAAGAAGCCUGCAAGAGCUGACCUAGUGAGUGAGUGAGUGAGUGAGAAUACAGGAAGUGUGUACUGGGAAAGCACAUGGGUGCUUUGCUCUGUGCUUUUUCAGUCUUGAGCCCCUGAUAGCAGAUAGUACCAGCACUGUGCGUGAUUGUUCUUUUCCGCCCUGUUCGGUCCGUUGAUGAAAAGCCCGGCCGGCCGGCACAUGACCAAAGCCAGCCGGCAGGCGGCCGGCCGGGCCGGGCCGGGCAGCAACCACCUCUGUUCCUGACGAUCCCGCGCGCGUCCAUGAUUCGUCUUCGUCCGCCUCAAUCAUUUGCUACCGCCCCUGACGCCUGCACUGCAGGGAAUACGCAUCGAUAUCCAUGCCUGCAUGAACCUGUAUUCAUCAGAAGCCAUCGAUCAUGCACUCGGAUACGGUGACCUCAUCAUCGUCUCCAUCAGCGCCGUACGUGUCGCCGUAUCUCCCCACUGCAGUGUACAAAGUAUAGCAGUAGUGGUAGUGCCUGAAUGUCGGCUGGGAGAUGGAAACUGUUGAGCUACACAUUCAGCUCUGCGAAUCAUGGAAGGCAGGCACCUGUGGACACUGGACAGGACGCGACAUGUGUGGUGUUAUUACGACGACCGCAUAUAAACACCGUCUUUUAAGUCCAUGCACAGUUUUUGUUUACAGUGUCAGUGUACAGUUCAUGACCGCGCGAAUGAUAGCCGUGGAGCAUCAGGUCGUACUUCACGGUUGACUAGGAUUAGCAAUUUGAAAAAAAAAAGCAUAUGCGGUUUCGACAUGACUACUUUGCUGCUCACCACCCAAAACUCCACCAGAGCUUCAUGGGCCAAACAGUAAAAUUAGCUAGUUAGACUACACGCUUCAGCACGAGAGCCCCACACACUAUAGGUGUAUAGCAAUCAGAAAAUUAGAUCUUUAACAAAAAGACACCUUCUAUUCAUCAGGAACCUCCUGAAAUAGAAGAUGAUUUCAGGUGGCGGCAAAUGUGCAGUAAGGCAUCAAGCUCACUAUGGCUGACCCUAGAAGAAUCGUUAGGAGCUAGGCGGUAGGCCGAACCGGUGGCGGUGGUGGUAGGCGCACGGUGGAUAAGUCACCGACCACAAGAUGCGGAGGACUAACGGCUAGGAAGUACAUGGAUGAGGCGCAUAGCGGUGAUAGCAUUGACGAAGCUGGUUUAACAUGGCGGGGGAUGGGUAAGUAGUAAGGAAGCCGCUGGGGGACUGGUGAUGGAGGGCGGUCUCGGUAGCCAAAAAACCACCGGGGACCAUCCGAGUUCGUUGCAUAAUUAGUUGGAAUAAGAAAGAACGGGAACACUAUCUUGAGGAAAAAGAAGGAUCGUGGCUGAUAGACUAAAAAUUGCUCUAUUUUCAUACGCAUAUACACUAGCAAUACCCCUCAAAAAUAUAACUUUUUUUUUCAAAAAAAAACUCGAUAGCUUUGAAGGAAAAGUGAUAUUAUAAAAAAGAAGAAGAAUUAGACAUCCAAAUUUAAGUUAAAGAACUCGAAACCUAGAUGGUGUGUAACCCACACCUCCCACCAAGUAAUUUAAACUUAGUUCCUUAUAGAUUUUUCAGAUAUAAAUUUCUUUGUAAAUACUUUCUUAUAUAUAGCUCAUCCAUGUUUUUCUUUUUCUUUUGGAAAAGCCAUUGUAAACUAAGGAUGCAAUCUGAAAGCGUAGUACGUCGUACUAGUAGUAGCAGCUAUUAAAAAGAGAAGUAGUUCUCCUCGUUGCCGAGUCCAUGGAACAUGAACCAGACGACGAUCAUGGCAAGCUGAACAUAGCGGCAUGGCAUUAAUUCACAAGAGCUGAAAGCUAUGAAGAAAGAGAGUUACAGCAAUGGCGGCAUCCAUCGAUAUCGCCAUCCGGGGCUGCUCACCACAUACUACAGCGAUCGCCUUCCUGCGGCGGCUCACGCAGUUACACGGCGUCCUAGGACUACUAGGGGUGGAAGCGCUGCAUGCAGGCGUGGCAGGUGAUCUCGAGCGCCGCCGCGGACGACGCCGAGCCGACGAGCCGCCUCGCCGCGAUCUGCUUCAUGCGCUCCACCCGCUCCACCUCCUCGCGGGCGCGCUCCCAAAUCGCCCGGGCGCGCGCGAACUCCCGCUCCGCGAGCUCCAGCUCCCGCCGCGCCAGCUCCCGGACGCGCUCCGCGUAGGCGCGCUCCGCGCACGCCAUCCGGGCCUGCUCCGCCGCCUGCUGCUUCACCGCGCGCGCGUCCGCCGCUGCCAAAGCGUGCUGCUGCUGGUGCUUCUGCUGCGGCCUCGCGCCGGCCGCCGCCGCCGGCGUUCUCCUGUUCUCGUUCGCCAGUGAUGACGACCGCGGCGGCGGUGGCGGCGUUCGCGCCGCCGCUGGGUGCCUCGGCCCGAUGCUCAUGGACAGGUUGAGGUCCAGCUGCGGGUUGUCGGCGGCGGUGGCCGGCGCCGUUGGCACGUCGCGGAGGGCUCCUCGGCCUGCCGGCGCGGGGAGCAGCAUCAGCUGGAGCUGGAUCUCCCUCUGGCCUUGCUCCUCCAUGAAAGAAACCAAGAAGGGAGAUGGUAGGUGCUGUAUGUGGUGUUUGUUUGUAACAUUGCUGUGUGUAUCACGGUGUGUUUAUAUGUAUCCUCUGAGAGAGCUAGUGAGCAGAUCAGAUGUGGUUUUACCGGAAUGCCCUUGUGACUACCUGAAAGACGCUGCAGCUAGUUUAGUUAGGGGCAUCCAUGGUUUAGGUUCUUUGAGUGUGUAGUUGCCAAAAAGAUCUGGGAGUUUGUUAACGCUUUCACUAAUAUCUUGAUUAAAACUUACUCAGACAUGGCUAGCAAAUGGUUAUGUGGCAAAAAAUAUGAUAUAAUCAACAGCAUCUCUGCGGGAGUUUGCUGGGGUCUUUGGCUAACGCGUAACGACAUGAUCUUUCAUGGACAGGUAUGGGUGGAUAUAAAGACAGUGCUACGAAGGAUGUGGAAAUGUAUGAUGUUUUGGAAACCGAUGUUCAAGGGGACCCUACUGGAAGAUAUAAACAAAUGGUGCAACUCUUUGGAGGAAGUCCUCAGGACUGGCAAUCGAGGCUCCCUGAAGAAGUUCAAGCUGGGCGCGGCAUGGCGGAACAUGUGACCCCCCGGCCGGAGACUACGACGCUGAACUCCAAAGAGGAACAACAUGAAUACGGAGACUACGACGCUGAACUCCUAAGAGGAACAACAUGAAUACGGGAUCAAGAGAGUAGUUAAUCUUUUCCCCAGUUUUCUGUAUUUUAGACUUCUCUGAGCUGCUGUGCGGGCUGUGCUAUGUCUGGUGCUGUAGGCUACUAGGUAGUACACUGCUCUGGCUUCUGUCGGCGAAUGUAAACGCCUAAACAAAAACAGCUGUUAUGCCUUGUUUUCUAUAAAAUGGGGCAGGGCGAGGUGCCUGUCAGUUCCAAAAAAAAAAAAAUCCAUGGUUUAGGCAGCUGCUGAUUUGUGUGGUCCAGGAGAAAGGCCUGGACAACAACCUAGCUUGUGGAUGCAGCAGCUGCAUCGUCCUAAUCAAAUUCAUGGCUACUUUUUGUAGCCUGUCUACGCGCAGUAGUUUGCACUUCUUUUCCUAAAUGCGAUUUUGGUACUUUUGUAUAACAGUGGUCACAGCCAAGAGUUUUGUCGUUUGCGUAUACGCUAUGCUAUGCAUUGUUUUCUGACGUGGACAAAAAAAAACACAAACUGAAAUGUGGUGUGAGCAUGGUGCAUGUGCUUUGUUGCAAGCAUUACUCUCUCUCUUUUCGCAUGGAUAGCCAUGGUCAUGCUAAGCAUUAAGCUCUUGUCAAAACUUUCACGCACUAUCCUCUAGCUUAGUUACUCAUCGAAGUACAAUGAGCAAGCUUAGUUGGUUGGGAUUCCUGUAGUUGAAUAUCCACUUGUGUUCGAGUCUUCGACUUAAAGCAUAUGCUUAAAUUUUCGGUUGACAAGGGCAUGUGCAUGUGUGCAGUUAUAAUAAGAAGGAUGAGCAUCUAUGUCUGCGCGUAUAUACUCUGAAAAUAAAAGAAAUGCACGGAACCGUUGGUAAUUAAUUUAUAAGGUCGUAUUACUCGAAUCUAGGAGUUUCAAAAAUUAAUCUACUGUGGUUUUUCAAAAAAUACAUGCAAGGCCUUACUUUCUUUUAAUUUCCUCGGUUAAUGAAUGCAUGCAUGGCCUUUGAUGGGCUCAGAGGGAGAGGGGAUCUGCCGACCAAAUCCCCAAUGGGGCACAGGGGGAGCUCAAGAUGUUCUUUCAUGGCCGCUUUUGUUCCACAUGCUGCGUGUCUAGCUUUAUGGGUUGGCAAUGGCGCAAUAAUGCGUUGCAUUUGCAUGCAUGCAUGCACAUGUUCUCCCGCGCAAGCGAGCGAGAGAGCCUGGGAGGCUGGGAGAAGUUUCAUGCAUGCCUGCUUGGGUGCAUGCUGAGCGAGAGCUUUAUUGGUAGGCCUAGGUUGUCCGUCCUGUAAAAAAGAUAGAAACCACACAAAGGUAAGGGGUUUGAAAAGUGAUGUGAGAGAGGGUGAUGAGAGAGGGAGAAAGAGAUGAAAUACUAUUCGGCUACAGGCAAUGGAGCUUCUUCUUUGGAGCUUGCCUCGUUGCCUUUGCUCUUUUGCAGCUUCGAUCUACUGCUUUUGUGCGUGUAUUGGGAUCGUUGUUCACUAAUUCGUGUGCGCGUGGUGUUCUUGUUUGUCUCUGCUUGUUACCGAUGGAUCUGGCUCGCUCUAAUUAUCUGCUAACUUCAUGCUUAGGACAGAACAGAAGCAACAGCACACGAGCUCUAUCUGUGUGGAUACCCAUUACAUAUCCAUCGACAAAUGUGAUGCUUACAAUUCAUUGCCCUCCUAGCUUGAAGCUUAACUUUGACAUGUUUCUUUUUUUUUGUGUUUUUCGAAUAUAUAUAUGGGUUAAGAUAAACUAUUUAGGACGUAUAAAAAACUGGUUGUCCUGCCCAAAGUGGUACAGUCUGCAUUGCCACCAGCUGUUAACUCACUCUUGCACACACCAUCAAUCACGAGUGGUCGAUGCAAGUAACCAAGGCCUGCAGGGGCCAUAAAAAGAUGCAUGAUUCUAUUUUCCCUGGGGAUCUCUGCUGCUACACCGUGCUCUCGCAGUCUUGCCACACCUGCAGGGGUUGCGCUCUCCAAGAUAACACAGCUUAGUGGCGAGAAAAAGAUGGGGGGGGGGGGGGGGGGGGGGGGGGGGAGGAUGAGGUGACUCCAAAUCAGUCACUGGCUAACGGCCGGACUGGCGCCACCAGAAGAGAGCCAGACACCUGCAUGAAAUCAUCGCAUGGCGUCUGCAUGGGGUAAAGCAGCCUGCCUCUUUUGUCCGGGAGAUGACAUCACCAUGUGUAGGCCUUGUCUGCCAAGAUCCUAGUGUUUAGCAACCUGCAUGCAAACCCCAGAUGAUUUGGGUGAGAUCCUCAUGUUAGGAACCAUGCAUGAAAGCUUUCGCAAAAGUGUUUGUCAAUUCAAUGUGGUCCGAGAGAAUGUGUGGAUGGCGAGUAGUGAGACCAUAAUUUAGUUAUUUCUUGACAGUCGGGUUAAAACAGUUAAUCGGUCUGCUGAAACAUACACUUCUUGUUAUUCAUUGCAAAUGUGUCGAUGAAAUGUGUGCUUAGCCUUAGCAGGUCCAAAUAAUCAAGACUGAGUAAAGUGAUGUUGGUUAUCAGAUUACAGAGAGAAUAUAGCAUGCCAAAUCCCACUUUUUGGGUGCACGCAGUAGCUUUUGCUGGAGCAUGGUAAAAAAGAAGGCAGGACAUGCAGGGUAAAAUUAAAAGGGAGAAAGACUGCACAAGAUCCAACAAGUGCAUCCGAGUGCGUGGGUUUUGCUUUAUGUGGGGGAAAAGCUGGGAUCAAAGGGGACAUGGAGCAUGUCAGGCCACCAUGAAUUUAUGUAUCCAUGCAUGCAUGUAAGCUCUACCUAGGUCAGCUUUUUUUGGUUUUGGGGGCCCUUGUGCUCUCCACUAACUUAAUUCUAGCCUGCUACCGCUACUACUGCAAUACUGCACCAAUGUGUGCUACUACCACUCUUAUCACAUGAUCUCACCAAUGUUACUAGUGGUAGUGAGUUAGUGACGUGUUGGUAUGAGAUCUUGCAUUGAGAGACAAAGAGACUGUCCUUUUGGACAAUGAUGUAUGCAUCAUGGUCCUUCAACGGUGCCCAGCAGACACACCCCAGUAUAUGCAAGAGAAAGAGAGCCUUUGGCCAGCAUGAGCAUGAAUCAGCCUCCACAAGACAAGGGUUUUUGCCCAUUUUCAAUCUUGGACUGUUCUUUUCACUUUCCUAUACAUAGCUCUCUAUCCUUUGCUUUUGCACUUUCAAGCAGGUAACCACUGCUCCAGCCACUACUUUGGGCACAUCACAGCACUACACAGUACAAGUCCCUGUGUGAGUUCAUGUAGGGUGGUGUGUUGUCAACAUUUACAGGCUUCACAGUUGCUCAGGUCAUUGGAAAAGGGGGAGAGACGCUGACCUUACACUGUCUCGAGCGAGCUUUACAUAUAUCUUAACCUGAGUGAGGGCCAGAACGCUGGUCAUAGGGAAUGUACAAUCUGUCAGUUGUAGCGCAACAUCUCUGGCAUUGGGCAAUCAGCUCUUAUCCUAAGGUCUCAUUUGAAAAAAGAGUAUAAUACAUUAUCAUGGUCUUACAUCACGAACUAAAUUACAACCAUGCAUGGCUGAUAGGGCAAACCAAAAAAGAUUCGAGGACAACAAUGCAGCUUCAGCAUGGAUGAAGCUCAAUUUUUUUCUAUUUCGGCCAUUGUGUAUUUGAAAUCUUGCUUUGAAUCAUCGUCUAAAUUCAAAGUUUGACUACUCAGUACGACUCUGUAAGAAGUUUGAUUGGUGCUAGCUUAAGGGAUUUGAUCGGCCAUAUGGUUUAAUUAUGAGCAGAUCCAAUUUCUUCGAUGAAAUUAAUUAAGUGAAACACGUAGUUUAAUUUCAAAGAAUUAGAAUAAAGUCGGAUUUAAAAAACAAUUGAAGUUAUUGGUUUUGGAGUAAGCUAUUCAUUACCUGCAGUUUCCAAAGAAUUGAAGUUAAUAAGCACAAGGUCGCAACUCAUCCAUGGCUCCAUGCCUCCAUGUCGGAGUAUCCAAAACAGACGCACCACACAUGGGGUAGUCAGACCCUCUUCCUAACCCCUUAUUAACGUUGUGUUUGGCAGCGCUCCUGAGCAUUGGUUCUAGCCCUCAAUACCAGUUGGUUUUUGAUCCGGUACUAAUGUGAGCUUUAGUAUCUUGUCUAACAGCCAAUGUACAAAAUAGCGGGCUAUGAGAUUUAGCGUAGAGCUGUGCUCAACUGCUAUAGCUCCGCUAUAGCCCGCUAUAGCCCGCUAUAGCGCCGCUAAUUAGUACAACAGUGUUGUAGCGGCAGUUAGCAUCAAACGCUAUAGCGCCGCUAUAGCCUCGCUAUAGCCCGCUAUUUUGUACAUUGCUAACAGCCAUUUGACCUAGUACUAAUGUGAGCAUUAGUACCUUGUCUAACGGCUAGUUCCCCAGGAGCCUCCCGUGAUCCCCAACCGGUACUAAAGGUCACCCAUUAGUACUGGGUGGAGCCUCCACCCGGUACUAAUGUGCCUGAGGGCCUUUAGUACCGGGUGGAGCCUCCACCCGGUACUAAUGUGCCUGAGGGCCUUUAGUACCGGGUGGAGGCUCCACCCGGUACUAAAACUAAUAGGUGACCUUUAGUAUCGGUUGAAGGCCCUAACCGGUACUAACUUCCCUCCUAUAAAUCAGAUGUCUUCUUCCUCCUGCCCAAGCCAUUGUUUCCAGCUCGGGCUUCAUCCAUUCAUGGCAAAAUAGGGGAGGUGCUGCUGGAUUUUUGACCAUUUCGUGGGGAUUUCACUCAUUCAAGUGUUCUAAAGGUUAGAAACUUCAUCCUCCCUUGAUACAGGGUUAGUAUACUAAGUUUUAUGCUUUAGAGCUAGAGUAAUUUGUGAUUUUAGAAUAAGGUACAAUGGAGAAAAUUUUCAUUUAUAUGCAUGUGUUAUUUAGAGCUCAUAUUUGUGAUUUUUAGAAUAAGCUACAAUUUUUUGGAUGCUAUGUUUUGUAUUGGUCAAAAAAAAUGAUAUGAGGUUACUUUACAAAUAUGAGCUAAAUAAAUUAUGGGGAAGAAUAUAAUUUGUUCAUAUUUUAGUCAUUUGCAAAUAUGAGCGAGAUAAAUUGUGGUACAUAGAGAUAAUAAGAUGAAAUAGAGGUACAUAAUUAGUCAUUUUUAGAAUAAGCUACAAUGGAGAAAUUUUUCAUUUAUAUUUUAUGUUUGAGCUAAAUAAAUUAUGGGGAAAAAUAUAAUUUGUUCAUAGUUUAGUCAUUUGCAAAUAUGAUCUAAAUAAAUUGUGGUACAUAGAGGUAGCUACUGCUGCUGGAGGUAGUGGCGAUGGUGGGGGCGAUCGUCAUUCCUCUCGCGGCAAGGGCAAAAUCAUAGCUAGCCCUCAUGAUAAGCCAAAGAAAAUGAGCACGUGCGAGAGAGUAAUGCUUCAUUAUUUGCAAAGAUAUCAUGGAGAUGCUGUUGCGGCGGGUCAGGAACCUCCUUUUAGUGGUCGUUAUACUCCACCGCCAGUUCCGGUUGUUUUAGGUCCACUUAGUACUACCAUUGCAGGAGACACAAAUAAACCAUACCAUAGGAUGAGGUUGGGUCAGCGAAACCUUCGUCUUCGCCGCCCAAGGAUGCUUAAAGUCCUCCUAUAUAGUACUCGGUGGAUGGUUUAUCGUAGUGUAUCAUGUUAUUUGGGUUUGAAAUUUAAAUUUGUAUAUUUCUAUCUAAACUUUCAGCAACAUUUGAGUUUGUCGUAGUAUAUCAUGUUGUUUGGGUCUAAAAUUUAAAUUUGUGUAUUUCUAUAUAAACUUUCAGCAACAUUUGAUUUUAAUGGUAUUUGUAUCAUGUUUGUUAUGUUUCAUGUAUAAUUCUAUGGACGAUCAGAAUAUCUUUGGUUCGGUAAUACUUUGUAGAUGGAUCGGCAAUGGAUGUACAGCGCGGACAAAUGCUCCAUGGAGUAUAUUAAUGGCUUGCGUGGUUUUCUCAAUCUAGCAGAGUCCAACAAGCCGCCGUCUGGUUUUAUUUAUUGUCCAUGCCAAAUUUACAAAAAUGAGAAGGAUUACUCAUACAGAAAGACUAUUCACGCCCACAUAUAGUUUGGGAUUCAUGCCUAACUAUUUUGUUUGGACAAAGUACGGGAAAGAAGAGUUAUGAUGGAAGAUGAUGAUGAUGAUGAAGAAGAUGGUAACUACAUUCUUGACUGGACUCAAGGAGGUGCCUUUGCAGAUGCUGCAAUGGGCGAGGCUGAAGAAGAGAUGGUUGCAGAAGAAGGUUCUAUCGAUGAUCUAGGUCAGGUGUUGCGAGAUGUAAAGGAAAACAUCGAGAAUGUGAAGAAGUCAAAAAAGUUCGAACGUAUGUUAGAUGAUGAUAAGAGAUUGUUGUUACCCAGAUUACAAACAGGGGCACAAAAAGUUGGGUACCAUACGGCUGCAAUGGAAGGCAAAAAAUGUAGUUUCUGACAAGGGUUUUAAUGAGUUAAUGAAAAUCAUCAAGAACAUGUUUUCCGAGGGGAACGAAUUACCGUCCUCAAUGUACGAAGCGAAAAAGGUUGUGUGCCCUUUGGGUUUGGAGGUACAAAAGGUACAUGCAUGUCCUAAUGACUGUAUCCUCUAUCGCGGUGAGGAUUAUGAGAAAUUGGAGGCUUGUCCUGUGUGCGAAGCGCUGCGUUAUAAGAUCAGGCGAGAUGAUCCCGGAGAUAUUGAGGGGCAGGCUAGCAAGAAGAAAGUUUCUACGAAGGUAAUGUGGUAUUUUCCUAUAGUACCAUGCUUGAAGCGUUUGUUCAGAAAUAAGGCACAUGCAAAGUUGAUGCGUUAUCAUAAAGAAGAAUAAAUGUGGAUGAUACUAAAAUGGAUGAUUUUGCUGAAUGCUUGGUUGUCAGAUUGGGUCCAUGCCCUUCACAUAUCUUGGUCUACCCCUGUGACUACUAGACCUCCUAUGUGUGAGUUUGUGCCAAUUCUGACUAAAAUGGAAAAAAUACUUUAUGGGAAUCUCCAAAUUUUUAUCCUACUCAGAAAGAUUAAUUCUUGUUAACUCCAUUUACUCAGCCAUGCCUAUUUUGUACAUGUGUGCUAUGAAAAUUCCAGGUGAAAUACUUGCUUAAAUUGAUAAAUAUAGAUAACAUUAUCUUUGGAAUGGUGGUGACAUCAACCGAAGAGGAGGGUGCCUGGUAGCAUGGAAAAAUACCUACAGAUCUAAAGAAGAUGGUGGUUUGGAUAUUCUAAACUUAAAGACUCAUAAAUCACCCUUGUGUUAAAGUUCCUACACAAGUUCUACAACAAGGCAGACCUACCCUGGGUGCAGCUCACUUGGAAAUGUGUGUGUAAAAAUGGAACUCCUUCCCAUGCUAGAGGAAAGGUUGGGUCAUUUUGGUGGAGAGAUAUCAUGUCUCUCUCUGAUAACUUCCUCACUAUUGCUAGCUGUAAUGUGCAAUAAGAGACACAAUUGUCCUUUGGAAAGAUCUCUGGAAUUUGGGAAUUCUUCAGUGGCAGUUCCCUCAGCUCUUCUCUUUUGCCAAAAAUAAGAGUAUUUCAGUGAAGAAGUUUCUUGCAAAUUCACAGGAGAGAAACUUCUGGCUACCUCUGUGUCGACAGUUGCAACGGAUUAAUUGAUCAUCCUAAAUCAACUUUCACAUGAGUUCAGCUUGUUGACACAACACAAUGACCAAUGGUCAUAUAUUUGGGGGUCUACAUAUUUCACCUCCAAGCAAGCCUAUAUCAGCCUAAGUGGUACCAUGCCUACCUCACCAUUAUUCAAGUGGACGUGGAAAUCUCGAGUUUAAAACAAGCACAAGUUCUUCUUUUGGCUAUUUCUUAGAAACAGACUCAAUACAAGGAACCUUUUAAGGAGGAAAACCAUGUCCUGGAAUCCUACAAAUGUGUGUUGUGUUUGCAAAACCAAAAGGAGGACAGACACCAUCUAUUCUUCGACUGCCCCUUCAGUCAGGCAUGCUGGAUACUUUUGGUCAUUAACUAGGAUACUUCGUUGGAUUAUGAUUUAAUGAUCUUACAAGCUCGACAUGACUUUGGAGAGGUUUUCUUCAGAGAAAUUGUCAUCAUAGUGUCGUGGUCCAUCUAGUGUCACCAGAAUGGCAUUAUCUUUGAUAAUGUCGCUCUGUCUUUUGCGAAGUGGAGAAGCACCUUUGUGAAAGAAAUGAAACUAGUUACUCUACGGGUAAAACUAGUCCUCCGCGACAAGAUUAAUAUUUGGCUGAGUAGUCUUUUAUGAUAACCUCUUUCUUUGUUUUUUGGGCUUAAUGCCUUUCUAAUCCACCUGUACAUAAACCCCUUUUUUGUUUAUAUGUAAAAAAAGUAGGGGAGUCCCCUGCUGAUUCGUCAAAAAAAGAUAAUAAUAAAGUUUAAUUAAUUUCAAUAAAUUAUAUUAUUCAUUUAAUGAAUAAAUUAUAUCUAUGUAUUAAUGUAUUUAUUUUUAUUUGUUAAAGGAUAUAUAUUUAUGGAAAUAUUAUUUUUUAUAUCUAUUUGAUAUAUUGAAUUAUUUAAACAUUUAUUAAUAAAUAUAUUAUUUCCAAUAUUCAUAAUUUACCACCGGUAACAUGAUUUUUUAUCAAGUAUAAAACCGUCGAUAAAACAAAUUGAUACUCGUUAUGACGUUAUGUUCCGAGUCGAGUAAGUAUCCCUAUUCGUUUUGUAUUCAUAUCUGAUAAUGUUUGUAUUUGUCUCCGAAUUCAAAUAUAAAUGUGAUAAAUAGUGCUAUCGAAUUCAAUUCCAUGCACAUUCGAUUCGAAUCCAUCCGUGGUACUGCCGUGUCUGAUAAGACGUACAGGCUGUUCUCAAGCAACAAAAAGAAAAAAGGAAAAGAUUUCCUAUUCAUAUACCAGAACAAUAGAACCCACAGGCCAGAAGCCAUCUGGGCUGACUGGCCUUCUCCUGAGGCCCACUAGGCCACUAGCCCACUAAACACACGAAGAAGAAGAAAAACGACGCCAAAAAACACCGCGAAGAAAGGAAGGAAAAUAUUUUAACGGCUCGUCGGCCCUCCACGAAAACGAAGUCCAGCGGACAGACGCGAACCGAGAAAAAUAUCACAAAAUCUCUCGCGGCCGCGGCGACCGGAAGAAGACGACGACGGCGGCGGCGGCGGCCAUGGCGUGCCGCGCACUCGCGCUCCGCUCCCUCCUCCUCCCCGACCCGCUCAACCGCCUCCCGGCCGCCGCCUCCUCCUCGGCCGCGGCUCCACCGGUGGGGAGGGCGCCCCGCGGCAGCCGCCGCCCGCACCUCCGCUGCUGCUCCGGCAGCGGGGGAGGCGGCGGCGGGGACCCCGGGCAGCCGCCGCAGGAGGCCGUGCUCGAGGCCAUCUCUAGUGAGUCGUCCUCCCCCGCUGCUGUUUAUGAGUUGUUCCUCCGCUCGCCGCUCCUGCUAGUCGCUUCGGUCGGUGCUUGCUCGGUUGAUUGGGAAUUAAUAGUUUAAUAGAUAUAGCGAUACUGAAUCAUAGGUUUCCCUUGCUUUUUCUAUAAUGGAAUUGGUGUGAAAUGGGAUUUAAGUGGCUUGGUGAAUUUUGAUUGCCCCAAGGCAGUGUCGGGCUGUCGGCUAAUUUUUCCCAAGUCUUGUAUGCAUUGUUUGCUUGCUAGCGUGCAUGUAUGGCCUUCUGAAGAUUUUCUACCUUUGAUUGUAGUUUUACAUAUUAAUUCAGGGCUUUUGCCGGUUCAAAAGUCUGGCAAUGUGUUGGUAGGACAGAAGAAAUCUGUUAUAAGAACCUUGUGUUGCACUCCAUUGUUCUUGAACGUAUGCUAUGAUUCAUUUCUUUUUAGUACGUUUUAUAAUCUGUUAUAACAUUGCGUGGUUGUUUAAUUGGUACCUCCAGUCGUCAAUAUUACAAUUUCAUGAUUCCAAAGUAUUUACUAAGAGAAUCACAAGAUAGCUUGUUAUAGAAACAUUUUUUGGUACACAUAGAUGAAUUGGAGUAUUGAUCAAUGCAUGAUGUGAAGUUACACAUUCUGUUAUAAGACUAUGUUUAGUUAUUGCUUAUAUUCACAUACUUCUGAAGUUUGCUUCAUAUAAGGAAUGAUGCUCGUUUCCACCAAGUCAGAAGUUUUGCUAGAGUCUUUACCGAUGCUUUACUUAACAGUAGCUUUUAAUUUUCUGAAACCAGAGAUAGCAAGGUCGAAAGGAAGGGUUGCACUCACAACAAAUAUGGUCAUGGGUGGUACUGUGACGGAUGACAAAAGUGAUGAGUGGCUUGUUCUGGAUCAGAAGGUAUGUCUCAAUGGACCUACUUUGUCCUAUUUGCUGUUCAAACUUAUACUACAUAAGUAUGGACUUACAAAUGGACACUCUAAGGGGAGGUUGUUUUGAGGAAUUCAAUGGAAACCCUUUAUAUAUAUUUGAAUGUUUUUUUGGUACCAAUAUUCCUUGUGGAAGAAAUAGCUUGGUAAUGUUACAUAGCUUCUGUGUUCAUUCAUAAUGUCGAAUUUAUCCUGUGUUCUGAUUUCGUGCAAUGGUGGAUCAUUGGAAGCUAGAUCACAUGACUUGUAACUUUAUGACAUGGUCAGUUGUGGUAUUCUUUCUAUAUACUGAAUACAAUUUUACACCCUGUUUUCGGGAAACACUAGGAAGUGAGCCUAGCUCAACUGGUUAGGGUGGGAGGUGUGGUCGUGCACUCUAACCACUCAGGUUCGAGUCCCCUCUAGCUUGAAUUUGGGUGCCUAUUUCUUCUUCUUAACAAAAAAUCACCUAGCUCCUCCUAGGUUGAUCUAUUUUUUUUUUGUUUUCGGGAAACACAAUAGUGAUUGAGAACAUCUCAACCCCUGCGGAGAUUCAUGAUAGACUUUCAUUUUCAAUAUGCUUUUAGCAUGAUCAUUUUUGCUGCAUGCUAAUGUUCAUCAAUCUGUGUGCAACAAAGUUCAUCUCUCUAUUUUUGAUUUAGAAGUUUCAAUAACCUUGGAAACUGUAAACUCUAUAUUUCAUUUUAGGCAUUCCUUAAUAUGCUAUGCUAUUUUGCUUCGCAGGUAAAUUCAUACCCCACAGAUAGAGGAUUUACAGCAAUUGGUACUGGAGGUGAUGACUUUGUCCAGUCAAUGGUAGUUGCUGUUGAAUCUGUUCUUCAAGAAUCCAUUCCCAAGGUUAGUUGUACAAUUCUCAUAAUUUCCUUGUAAAUAAUGUUGUUAUUGAGGAAGAUGCAGCUACCUGGGUUUUAAACUGGUGGUGUUCUGCAUAGAAUCAACAUUCCUACAUUGUGAUCAUUGAUGACAUCAUUCAUAAGUGAAUAUUGUUACUCUGAUGGUGCUUUAGUUUUUUUUCCUUUACAUUUGGUUAUUUGUUGUUUACUUGAUGGUUUUAGGCUAUUAGUUCCAUGCAAACUUCGCUCUCCCAUACUCCAAUGUUAGAUUGUAGUUGUUUCGUUUUACAAUCUUUUCCUUGAUUUGUUUCCCGGAUCAUCUUCAUAUAUAUCUCAAAACGGUAUGCGCAGGGUCGGGUAUCUCAGAAGUUAUCUUCCAGAGGAAAAUAUGUUUCUGUAAACAUUGGACCAAUUCGUGUAGUUUCUAGCGAGCAGGUAACCCAAUGUUUCAGAUACAUCUUUACUAAGAAAUUGAUGCCUGUUUCUACAGUUUGUUUUUUUAUCUAUUCAUUCCAUUUUGUGAAGACAUUCACACGUUGAAGCUUUGGUGUUGCUUUUCAGGUCCAAGCCGUGUAUCGUGCCAUGAGAAGAGAUAACAGGAUGAAGUACUUCUUAUGAAGUGCAACUACACAUCAGCUAUGUUUCAUUCUUCGUUCCAUUUUGUAACAUUAGAGUCUGUCAUGCAUUCUGCCAUACUUGUAAGUACCGAACCAAAUGGGAAGUUUGCGUUAAUUGCCUGAUUUCUAGUUGGUCUCAUGUUAUGUAGUGCGUUGCUUAUUUGCAGGCUGGAGCUCCAGUGAACUGAACAAAAAUGUGAGACGUAUUCUGUUGCACUCGAGCCCAAACAGAAGCGGCUGAAAUGAUUCGAUACAAUGUAUCUUUGUUGGUUUGGGUUACAUUCUGUAGUGUAGUGGUCAUGUUUAGAUACUACGCAUGGCUUCAGUUACAUUAUGUUCAAUAAUGUAUUUUUAUUGUUUUUAUGUUAUAGAUAUUUCAUAUUAUAAUGCUGUAUAUUACUGUUUUACGUUAUAGAUGUUUCAUAGUACGUCAUCCAAUCUCUAUGCAUAUAGAGCAAUUAUUGGGAGUAUUCCUUAAUUGCCAAUGGAUGUCUCCAAGCUUGCUCCUAAAGAAAAUAUGAAGCCAGCUGUCAAUCUGUCAUCACCUGUCCUUUGAAUGCAAUUGUCCCGUAGAAACCAUUUUCUGAAACUAAACUUAGCGUGCUGCUUGGUGUGUGAUGAUGUCGCACGCACUCCGGAGGAUAAGGAUGCACACCUGGUCGAGAUUUUACGGGCUGUCCUUGGAAGGCUGCCUCAACAUUCAGUAACAGCAAGAACGAGAUGGCCGCUGCGAGGAAGAACAUCGAAACGAAAAAUUAUGUGCACGCGGUGGAUAUUAAUCAGGAGGGAAAAUUGGUUCUGUAGCAUUGAAAGAUCGUGGCUUCAGUAAAAUACCACUGAAAGAUCUUGGCUCCGUAAAAUACCAUGUGACGGAAUGCGAGUUUCAGAUAACGUAUGCAUGUUCAGUAGUAUUUUACAGGCUCGAGGUCUUUCAGUGGUAUUUUACGGAAGUCGUGAUCUUCGAUGCUACAGAACUAAUUUUCCCAUCAGGAGACAUUCGCAUGUAUCUGGCUGGUCAAACAUGUGGGGGCAAUGUGUGAGAUGUGAGCCUUCUUGGAGUCACUUGCUUGCCCACCAUGAUAGCCUAGGUGGUGCAAUUAGUAAAAAAAGACGUCGCCAUAAGCAAAAUUGAAAUGGAUUAGGAGCUAAAGAUGAAUAGUGUACUGGUUUAGAAAACAAAAAAAAUUAAGAGAUCAUCCGGACUUUGUCCAUAGUUGAAGGGAGUAAUUUCCUUUUUAUUACAAAUUUAACAAAAAAAAUCAGCUUUUUUAUUGCUCAUAAUUACAGCCUUAUCUCAUUCGCAAGAAUGAGUUAGAAACAGUUAAUCUUCGCAUCCGAUCUUUCUGACUAAAACAUCAGAAUGGUGUAUUGGUGUGUGCAAGUUGUUUCAACGAAGCGUGGCUUUAGUUUUGGAGACCAUGCAGUUCAGCUGUGUUGUGUUAGCAGGUGCGAAGUAUGUCAUGUCCCGUACGGUUAAUGGAGUUCACCAUGUCCAAUGCCAACAUACGCAUGGAGUAAUGCACAAGUCUCUAAACCGUGAACGAAAAUAUUCAGAUUUAUUCAAAUUGGCACCAUAAUAUUCAUAUUUAUUGAUACAUUCUAAUCGGAAACAUAAUAUUCAGAACUAAGCAGCAAACGGAAAACAGGCAAAACAAAAGAAUACAAUCCAACCCAAUAUCUUGAUAUUAAAUCUCCCACACUUAUGGUACUUAAGCCAUGGGCACCUUGGCAGCACAUAUCCAUCAGAAUCCACAAUGGCCAAACUAUGGUAGAUUCAUGUCGAUUUGUGGCUCAGGAGUUGUGUCGUCCUUCAUUCCUAUGAAAAAUAAAAUGUGAUUAGGAAACUGCAUGUUAACAUGACGUUCAUUAUUAACAGAGUAAGAAAAAUGAACAUUAUAGCUAACCAGUUGGUAUUGUUUGUCUUCUUUGUAGUAGCGGUCGAACCCUAGAGUAUCCUUGAUCUUCUUAAAAGAUGGCAUGAUGGUAGGCGGAGGUACACCGCCAUCUUUGAUUGCAUCUAAAGCAUCCUGCAUGUCAGAGAUUGGGAACUAUAUAUAAGUAGUGCUUUUGGUGCAAAAAUGAAAUGGAUGAUGUAUUGGAAUUAACAGGUGUUACUCAACAGAAAUAGUUGUGAUUUUUUUUUUCAUUGCCAGAUUACUCAACAGCAGUAGUUGUGAUUUCUUUUUCUUUUUACAAGAAGAAGGUGCAAAUACUAUUUGCAUAUAUUGCAUGCAUGUGCUAGCGUGAGAGUCUAUGCAUAAGGAAAGUGGAGUUUCCUUGCUGUGCAGAUAUAAGUGUUGGAGUAAAGCUUGAGUUAAUCAUUUAGGAAACGUAAUUGCUUUUUUUUGGCCAGUUGCCUGAACCCGUGUAGAAGGAAGUAUGCGAGCUCACGGAAUCCGGGAGCGAAUGAAGGUUGUGGUGUUUAAUAUUGAGUUGCAUGUUGCAAGGAGACUAGCAUGGAGUCCUAAACGUGUACAAGAUAGUAGAGCUUGUGGAAAUAAAGAAAAUAGAAAGCCUCAGAAACAUUUGUGUUUCUCGUGUUCGUGUGUUGGAUCCUGGUCAAAAGCCAACGAAUAAGUAUGCAGAAAAAUGGAUCCACAAGAACUACGACUACCUUGUGCUUGUGUUCAAACGAAUUAAAUUUUCACUCGAUUCAUCCUUGAUAACACAGAUGAAUUAAAAAAAAGAAUAAGGUCACAGGCUUCAUAUGUAUAAGAAUACAAACCUCCAUUGCACGGAUUGAGGCGCCCAAUAAGGAUACAGAAUAGAUUACGAGGCUGUAACCAAUUUUCGCAAGUUCAGGAGGGCUCAAUAUGGGAGUUUUACCACCUUCUAUUAUGUUUACCUGCGGAACAGAGUGUAAGUCUUCAUGGAUCAUGUCACUGCUAGAGGAAGGAACAAGUUCAAGCAAAUAAUAAAAAGGACAUUCAUUGUUGACGAGGAAAUAUGAGCGGUAAAAGUAACUUUUACAGUUGUACAGAUAUUCUUUUCAAUUCAGACUUGUAAUACGAGAAAAUGCAUAUAAACUACAUGACAGAAUUUCAACAUCAAAGUGUGGCCUCAAUUAUUCUAUUUUAUAGCACAUAUGUUUUUUUGGUUGUAUCCUUUCAACACCCUUGUCCAAUUCACUGCAAGUCAAUUAAGGGAUCUGGACAAACGCAGAAACAGCCAUAAACCCACAAUUCACAUGUAACUAGAAAACAAGCAUCAAAACACAUCGAAUGCAUGCACAUGUUAUUACCAUCUUUGGAACCCCCGGGGCAACUGCGCAGAAUUGCUUCAUCUCUUCCACCGAAGCAAGGGCGUCAAUUAAGAGAACGUCGGCACCGGCAUCAGCAAAAGCUUUUGCUCUAGCUAAUGCUUCAUCAAGAGAAAUGGCCUGACGGGAAUCUGUCCUUCCAAUGAUAACCAAGUCAGAGCCACUCUCGUUCCUAGCAUCAACAGCUGCUUUUAUGUGCAUGAUGGCUUCCUCCCUUGGGUAUACUUUCCUUCCUUCAGUGUGUCCACAGGCUUUAGGCGACACCUUCAAAUUACUAUACAUGUCAACUUUCUUCCAGGAUAAAUAAAACACAAGUCCACUGCCUGCAGUUUUUCUUUCGGGCAGUGGCAGGGCUUAUUAUCUAAAGCUAACAGAAACAACAAUAGUACUCAUUAUUAGCCAAUAGUGGAAUAAAAAUCACACAGAAAAUUUGGUCAAAAUUUUUAUGUGGUAUUUGAAAAUUUUGAUAACUUAGCUAAGUGAUUUUUAACAAUUUUGUUGCUGCCCUAAAUUUUAUUUUGUGGAGCGUGUCGCGUUUAGCUAUUAUGUAUAAUAAUUGUGUGGACCGAUUCUCCCUCGACCAUGGGGUUGAAGCCGGAUAUUACUUCCAUUAUUAUCUAAAAAAACAGAGUUAAACCUGACAAGGACCGUAUUUGAUACUGUGUUAGCUAAUAAGGUGCCAACGUAUGAAAGGAUUGGUUAGUAUUCCAAAGAGAGCACACCUGAUCUUCGAGCAUGAUCGCAGCGAAACCAGCAUUGAUAUACCCUUUGAUGGUUCUCUUGAUGUUCAUAGAGUUUCCGUAACCAUUGUCUCCAUCACCAAUCACCGGGAUCGACACAGCUUCGUUGAUGAGACGCCCUUGGUCUACCAUUUCCCCGUAGGAGAUGAGGCCAACGUCCGGCAGGCCAAGUCGCGCGGCAGAGACACAGAAACCUGGAAAAGACACGUACGUGAAAAGAAUCCAAUGCUUUGAGACACCUGCUUGAACAUUUGCGCUAGCUGUAGCUGAAGAAAUGAUAUGCACCCUAGCUACAUUCCAAAGUUGUAAUAAAACCAUAGCAAUAGUAGCAUGGUACGUUAGUCAGAAAUAGCCACGGAGCACCAGCAGACAGGAUGGUACGUUAGUUGUCAAUGCCAUUUAUACUGCCAUUCAUCUUGAGGUUGGAUUAGCUAGCAUUACUCAGUUGUAAUGACGCAUGCGAUUUCGUCGUGACGAGGAGGAGGAUGUGUGUUGUCAUGAGUUUAUACCGCUCAUGAAGGCGAUGGGGAAGCCGGCCUGCUCGACGAGGCGCGCGGCGAGGGCGUCGAAGCAGCACGGCGCCUGGUGCGCGCCGGGCGAGGCGAGGAUGCGGCGGAGCGCCGCCGCCGGGGACUCCCCCUGGCGGAUGCCGCGGAAGGACUCCUCGGUGGCGAAGUAGGGGCUGCGCGCGGCCAUCCUGAGCUGGCGGCGCGGGAGACUGGAAAUUGGAUGGAGGAGAGGGGAGCUAGUGUCAGAAUAUGUGACUGACUUUGGGCACUUUUGGCCGUGGCUGAU
RNAcentral lists this long non-coding RNA (92164 nucleotides) under Setaria viridis. Its description in RNAcentral is "long non-coding RNA (SVIR_LNC008239)". The stretch from base 52577 to 52711 matches the Rfam family "Small nucleolar RNA Z247". The record is from RNAcentral. Lineage: Eukaryota; Viridiplantae; Streptophyta; Magnoliopsida; Poales; Poaceae.